This 107204-nucleotide long non-coding RNA is filed under the name Vitis vinifera (wine grape). RNAcentral's name for it is "long non-coding RNA (VVIN_LNC007105)". Lineage: Eukaryota; Viridiplantae; Streptophyta; Magnoliopsida; Vitales; Vitaceae. The record is from RNAcentral.
UUUAUCCAAUUCUUGUGGCCAUGCAAAGCCCUUGUCUUUCUCUGCCCCACUUUCCACCCACACCUCUCACUCCACCCCCUCACCUCUCCUCUCUCUCACCUCCCACUUCUCCACGGCCACAGCCGCUGCCGACAAGCACACGCCCCAUCUCCUUUCUCUCUCCUCCCCCCUCCGUCGCCGGAAACCCCUGCUGCACCACCUCCCUCCGCCGCUGCCCCGGAAUGACCGUUCUGCUGCCUUAACACUGGGACUCUCUAGCCGGAGAAUUACUUGCAAGGCGACGGAAGUGUCGGUGGCGGAGGAGCCGUCGGCUGCGGGCGAUGGCGAGAACUGGGUGCCAGUGGUGCCGCUGUCGGCAUUGCCCAAGGGGGAGCGGCGCGUGAUUAUACAGGACGGAGAGACGAUUCUGUUGUUGUGAUUAUACACGAAAUUUAUGUGAAGAAUGAAAGGCUCUUUUGAGGCUCAUGCAAGCCAUGUAAGAAUUUUAUGUGGCCUUGGUGUAUAUUAUUAUGUGAUAUUCCUUUAAAUAUUAUGGUCUAAUAAAUAAUAAAACUAAAAUUUUAUUUCCUAAAUUAAAGGUACUUUGAUGAAAAGCAUACUCCUCAUUCUAUAUGGAAAUUGAUCUUCUCUCCAUCCUAUAAAAUAAAUGUUCAGAAAACCUAAGGAUAAAAGGGUUUAGGGAGAACAACACAAUUUCUACUUGGCUUAUUGUUUGGUCUCUUCAAGACUUCUAUAUAGUUUAAAGGUAUGUCUUUUCUCAAUAAUGGAAUUGUGAAAAUCAUAUUAUUCUAUAAUUCUUGACUAUUUUGAUUUAAGUAAAAUUAGGAUUUGAUUUACAUAAUUAAAUAAUUACUUAUGAGUUUCAUUGGUGAGCAUAUAAUACCAUUGACAUAUGUUGAUUAAGUGACAUGUAUACCUUUGAUGCUACUGUAAUGAAGUUUAUGAUAAUAAAAGUUUAUUUUAUCAAUUUUCGAUAUGUUAUAUACAAUGUAUGUUUAUGGCUAAUAUAUAAAGUGAAUGACUUUCUUGAUUUAUGAAAUUUAGUGAAUCGAUUUAUGCAUCAACCGCUUUUGAUUGAACCAAAAGUAUGAUUUUGUUCAUGGUAUUGCAUCUUCAUCAUCAAAAUAGAUAUCUAUAUGUAUGUGAAAUAAAUUAUGCUAUAUAUAUAUGUCAAUAGUGAAUUUUGUGUCUUCAAUGGUAAUGUUUUAACGAUAUACAUAUACUAUAUAUAAAAAACCAAGAAAAUUCUAUAAGAGUAAACACAUUGAGAGGAAGUACCACAUAAUCUAUAGAUAGUACAAAAAGGUGAUAUGGUAGUUUAGAAGAUAUCUUUCGGAAAGAGCCUAAUAGAUUCAUAUACUAAGACAUUGACUGGAAAAGUCUUUGAUUGUAACCGGGACAACAUAGGUGUCAGAUAUGCACCUAAUUUACUUUUAUUGCAUUAUGUUUUGAGGGCUUAUGGAAGAUUGUUAUGAUAUCAUCCUACAAAGCUUUACAUGAUAUAAGACAUUUGGAUUUAUCAUUUAUUUAAUUAUAUUCUAAUUGCUCUUUUAUCUAUGCUUGUAAUAGAGAGUUCCCUACGCUCAGAUCCCAACACUUAUAUCAUAUAAAAUAAAGUUUCAUGCUAGUAGAAUAUCUAAAUAUAUUCUUGGUAGUUUUUGGUCAUGCAUGCAUUCGCAUAACUUUGGGCUAUGCACAAUAAUUUUCCAUAUAAUUGGCUUUUAGGUAUAAAUUUAAUUUCUAUAUGAAAUCGUUCAAUAUAUAACUUUCUGCUACAUGAGUCUAAAAGUUAUUAACUUCCAUGCAUGGUGCGACUGGUGGGGUUUCCAGUCACUUGGAAACCAUGUCCAGAUACAUAUGAAGAGAUCAAUAAAACCAACCUUCCACUUCCUACAAUAAUCGUUUACCAAGUGUAUCUUCAAUCCUAAGCCAGUCUGGUAUUCGUUGUUGCAGCUCCUGUAAACUGGCCUCUGCUUGGUCCAGCUCCAGAUAUAGCUGCUCUACUUCAGCUAUCUUCUCAUUCAAGCGCCUACGAAUCACGUCCCUCUUGCCCUCUGCUUGUGCAUACUCAACUAAAGGUUGCACUCCAACAAAUGGGCUUCUUAACCAAUCAACCUUAACCUGAGCCCUCUCCAAAUCACUCAAUGUUCUAUCAAUGAAGUAGGUGUCUGCACCAGACAGGCUACGGGCAGUAUUCUUCUGCAUCAGCUCCACAAUCUGCAGUAUGGAACCUUUGAUUAUCUCUACAAACUGGGGUGCUGUAAAGGAGCAAUUGGCAGUUACGUCUCCAUAUUUGGUCAAUAUUUGCUGCCAAAUCGACUCCCUGGUAUUGGAAGUUACACCAGAUCCCUCAACCAUCUCAAGAAGCCCUGCAGCGGCUGUGUUAGGAUCUGUGAGAGUUUUGUCUGUGUCCUCAGCUUCAGUUGGAGCGAAGGUAGUUUGGAUCUCCUAAAGCCCAAAAAAGAGAAGGAAAAGUAUAGAACUUGUGCUUGGAAUUAACCAACAAAAAAGAUUAAUUUUGAUGUAAAAGUGCCCAAGGAAAAAUAUUUUGGUAGUUUCAGUUGAAAAUUUUGACAAACCUUGUCAGCUCCCGAAGCACCUUCCACUUCAUCUGAAGGCCAAUUAAGUGUAUCUAGGCAUUGCAACCUGUGAUUAUGCUCAAGAUGAAGUUUUGUGAUCACCCAUUGUCCAUUGUCAAGUUUGACUUGGAUCUGGACAUUGCAACCUGUUCUUGUUUCUGAUCUCUUAUACUUUGUUCCCUGGUUGGGAUGCUUCUUGGUCCGGAAGCCUUCACAUGAACAAAGAAAGCAUCGCCCUUUCAGUGUACCAUUUGCUUUCCUUUGUACCUUUCCUUUUCUUACUGUAAAACCAAUUCUCUUGGCAUACUUUUUACAAAAUUCUUCAGCUUCUAACUCAGAAGAAAACGCCAUCCCUCUCCGUGGUAUCUGAUCAUCGUCUUCAGGAUUUUUCUCAUUUACAUUAACCAAUGUUCCAAUCUCAUCACCAUUUACAUUAAUAGCCAUUUCAGUCUCACCACUAUAGAACGAACUCCACCAAGAAUCAAAAUUAAGCUCAUCCUGUACAAAGUGAGAUAGAGAGAGAAGUUUUCUAUGAGAAAAAUGAGAAGCAAAAAGCGGUACAAUGCAUAACAACAAUUUUCUUCUGUUACACCAACUAUUGAUUCAAACUACAUCUUAUCCUGUAACUCUUGUAGAACAAUGAAUUAAUAUAAGAAGAGUGACACUGUAAGACGGCUUAUAGACAAGUAGAUGGAGCAACAAAUUCUUGAUUUGCUGGUUGCAGCUUUAUUUGGGCAGAAAAGUUCAUGAAUUAUUUAUCUUUAAAAUUAACCGUUGUUCUAGAAAAUGGAUCGAGCUUACCUGGAUAGUGAGGCCCCUGAAGGAACCGCCAACUCUGUGGUGGUUUACUAAAUCAUCAGAUUCCUGUAUGGCACCCCAAACAUCUGGGCGUGAACCGAUGGAACUAUACCUGCCAAGAUGAUAGGGUUCGAUAGACAUUCUGGUGCAGUUGAUGGGUGUGGAUCCAGAGGAUCGGUGCUUGAUUGCUUUGCUUCCGGCUGGACCUUGGGAUCUCGCCUUCUCAAGACAGGACUCGUUUUAUAGCUCUCGCAGCCUGCUGUGUGGGACAGCGUCCCUUUUUCCUUGUUUGCUUUGCUUCCAUUUCCAAAUUCCAACCCACUGCGCUUUGACCAAAUGGUCCAAAUCUCCAUUUCUCGGCGACGUCGGUGCGUUCGGUUCUCUUUUCCCUUGUUUUAUUUCCUUCAGUGCCUCUUUCCUCCCAAGAGGCUACUACUCGCCCUCUCAAAAAGUCAAAACUUUAGAAACAUUAAAUAUAUAUAUUUUUUUUUAAAUAGAGAACUAUCAAAACGGUGGGCGGAAAGUGAUAAUCCUUUUUAAAAGUCAUCAUGUUGACCAAUUCUACUCUUCGAGUAAUCAUUUGAAAGCUUAACCAUUCGAAAUUUUCAAUUAUAUCCUAUUUAAACUUUAUUUUUUUAUUUUUUUUCUUUUGUAUUAUUAUUAUUAUUAAAUAUUAAUAUUACUCUUAAUAUUAUUAUUUAUGAUAUUAGUAUUUUAAAUUAUUCAUAUUAUUAUUAAUAUCAUUCUUAUUAAUAUUAUUUAUUAUUUUUUUAUUAUUAUUCAUAUUUUUAAUAUUAUAUUAAAAAUAAUAUUAUUAUAUUUUUAUUACUACUACUACAAAGAAACCUUAGGAGAUAAUUUAUAUUUUUUAGUUCUUAAAACUUGUAAACUUUAUUAAAAAAUUAUUCUUUUUUUUCAAUUUAUACUUUAUAUGUUAUAUUAAGAUUAAUUAAAUUAUUAUUAUUCUUCUUAUUAUUACUAUUAAUAUUUAUGAUAUUAGUUUUAUAUUAUUAAUAUUUUAAUAAAAUAAUAUUAUAUCCAAGUUAUAGAUAUAAUAAAAAUGCAUUGAUGUUAAUGAUAUAGUAGAAUAAAACAAUGUUUCUAAUAUAGAUAAAUACAACAUUUAUCUAUUGAAUUUAUAACAUAAAUACAUUAAAAAUACAAUAUAUUACAACAUUUUUAAUAGUUUUCAUGUAAAAAUAAAAUAAAAUUUUAUCAUUCAAUGCGCUUUUUCUAUUUGAGUCGUAACACCCGACUUUUUCUUUUCCUCUUUAUCAUUCAACGCGCUUUUUCUUUUCUUUGUUGCGUAAAAUAUUUGAAGUUUUGUUGUGAGACUUGCUUCGAUCACAGUUGUAUUCUCAAUUUUGCAAUUAAGCAAAUUUAGCUUUAUUAGUCAGUUGUGGUUGAUAUAAAUGAACUUUUUCUACUGCAAUUAAGUCAGGACUCAUAUCUCAGACUUGGUGUCUCUACUGCUCAGUAAUGGCUGCUGCUGCUGCUUCUUCUGCGUCUUCUCAGGGGCGCUAUGAUGUGUUCCUGAGCUUUAGAGGGGAAGACACCCGCAAUAACUUCACUGCCCAUCUCUGUGAGGAGUUGCACACCAAAGGAAUCAACACUUUCAUAGACGAGGAGAAGCUCGAGAGAGGGCAAGCCGUAUCUGCUGCACUUGUUUCUGCUAUUGAAAACUCCAUGUUUUCUAUCAUUGUUUUAUCAGAAAAUUAUGCAUCUUCUAGAUGGUGUUUAGAGGAGCUGGUGAAGAUAAUACAGUGCAUGAAAAACAGGGGGCACAGGGUUCUCCCAAUUUUCUAUAAUGUGGCUCCCUCGGAUGUGAGAAAUCACAAGGGAAAAUUUGGAGAAGCCUUGGCUAAACAUGAAGAGAAUUCCAAGGAGGGUAUGGAGAGGGUGCAGAUUUGGAAGGAUGCUCUCACUCAAGUCACCAAUUUCUCUGGUUGGGAUUCAAGGAAUAAGUAAUUAUUUAAAGCUUUUUUUCACUCUUACUUUUAUUUUUUAUUUUUAAUAUUGCCAUUUUAAAUGCUCUUGCUAAUUCAACUAUUAGUUAUUACAACACAAAGGGUAUGAUAAUAUAUACCAUGUUAACAUUAUCUGAUUAAAGGACUGGGUUCAUAGGAUUUAGAAAUAUUUUACUGGACUUUUUUAAAUUAGAUAUAAGAUACCAACCAUAUCUUGACACAUAUUCUCAUAUUCUCUUUAUUUUUAUUAUCUUUUUGUAGAUAGCUGGACUUAUUAUGUGUUUAUGCUUUAAAUAUGACAGGAAUGAGUCUCUACUAAUCAAGCAAAUUGUUAAAGAUAUUUUGAAUAAAUUGUUAUCUUCAUCCGGUAGUGAUACCAAGAAUCAAGUUGGAAUAGAUGCUCACAUACAAGAAAUGGAAACCUUAUUAUGCUUGGCGUCAGAUGAUGUUCGAAUGGUAGGAAUAUGGGGCAUGGGUGGAAUAGGGAAAACAACCCUUGUCAGAGCUGUUUAUAGUCGAAUCUCCUAUCAAUUUGAAGGUUGCUCCUUUCUUGAAAAUGUUGCAGAGGGUUUAAAAAAGAAGGGCUUAAUUGGGUUGCAAGAGAAACUUCUUUCUCAUCUAUUAGAGGAAGAAAAUCUAAAUAUGAAAGAACUCACAUCUAUAAAGGCAAGGCUCCACUCAAAAAAGGUCCUUAUUGUUCUCGAUAACGUGAAUGAUCCAACAAUAUUGGAAUGCUUAAUUGGAAAUCGGGAUUGGUUUGGUCAAGGAAGUAGAAUUAUUAUAACGACUAGGGAUAAACGUUUAUUACUUUCACAUAAAGUCAAUCUUUAUAAGGUUCAUAAAUUCAAUGAUGAUGAAGCUCUUGAGUUUCUUGCACGUUAUUCAUUAAAACACGAACUCCUUCGAGAAGAUUUCCUAGAGCUUUCAAGAGCUGUGAUAUGUUAUGCUCAAGGCCUUCCAUUGGCUCUUACGGUUUUGGGUUCUUUUUUAUUUAGCAUGAGCAAAGAAGAAUGGAGAGAUCAAUUAGACAAAUUAAAAAGUAUUCCUAAUAUGAAAAUUCAUGAAGUUCUUAAAAUAAGUUAUGAUGGGCUAGAUUUUGAGGAGAAGAAUAUAUUUUUGGAUAUUGCAUGUUUCCUUAAAAGAGAGGAUAAAAAUUACAUUAAGGAAAUACUAGACUAUUGUGGCUUCUUCUCAGUUAGUGGUAUACGAGCUCUCGUUGAUAAGUCACUCAGUAAGUUUUUUUCACAAUAGGAUAAUGAUGCAUGACUUAAUACAAGAAAUGGGUAUGGAAAUUGUUCGCCAAGAAUCUCAUACUCCCGGCCAGCGUAGUAGAUUGUGGCUCCAUAAAGAUAUCAACGAUGCAUUGAAAAAAAACAUGGUAAGAGCAAAAAAAUGAAAUUUAUUUUAUGCAACACAAGUUAAGAUUUGAAAUUAUUUUGGCUUAAGUAGUUAUAUGCUAAUAAAAUUGUAGCAGACAUAUAUUUAUUCACUAUGCAUGUUUUUAACUUAGUCUCCUUCUUGGUAUGCAGGAAAAUGAAAAAAUUGAAGGCAUAUUCCUCGACUUGUCUCAUUCACAAGAGAUAAUAGACUUUAGCACUCAAGCCUUCCCAAGGAUGUAUAAACUAAGAUUGCUCAAAGUCUAUGAAUCUAACAAAAUUUCAAGAAACUUUGGAGAUACCUUAAAUAAGGAGAAUUGUAAAGUGCAUUUUUCUCCGAACUUAAGAUUUUGUUACGACGAAUUGAGGUACUUAUAUUUGUAUGGAUACUCUUUGAAAUCAUUGGACAAUGAUUUCAAUGCAAAGAAUCUUGUUCACCUCAGCAUGCAUUAUAGUCACAUUAAACGACUUUGGAAAGGAAUCAAGGUAUGAUUAUGAUGUAUUGAUAUUAUUUUCUUUAAAAAGCGUUUAAUGUGCAUGAAAGCUAAUUUUUAAGUCAACUUUCUUUCAUGGUAGGUUCUUGAAAAGUUAAAAGUCAUGGAUCUCAGUCACUCCAAGUCCUUAAUAGAAACCCUAGAUUUCUCAAGAGUCCCCAAUCUUGAACGAUUAGUUCUCGAAGGUUGUAUAUCUUUGCAUAAGGUACAUCCGUCUCUUGGAGUUUUGAAUAAACUCAAUUUCUUGAGUUUGAAAAAUUGUGAAAAGCUCAAAAGUCUUCCAAGCAGCAUGUGUGAUUUGAAAUCCCUCGAAACAUUUAUUCUUUCUGGUUGUUCGAGACUCGAAGAUUUUCCUGAGAACUUUGGGAACUUAGAAAUGUUAAAGGAACUUCACGCAGAUGGUAUUCCUGUAAGAGUACUACCCUCCUCUUUUUCGCUCUUGAGAAACCUUGAAAUAUUAUCCUUUAAGGGAUGUAGAGGACCCCCAUCUACCUCAUGGUUGUUGCCAAGAAGAAGUUCAAGUUCUACUGGUUCCAUACUGCAUCAUUUGUCUGAUGUAGGACAACCCUAGGAUGGUUGCCUACACUCAAGGGUAGGUGGGCUAGGGUUUUAUUUUUAGGGUGUAAGGAGGGGAACAAGGAAUAAACUUUAUGGUAGAGAAAAUUAUAAGAUAAGAAAAAGAGAGAAAGAAGAAACAAUGAAGAAAAGAUGGAAAACCUUAGAGUCUCACUAAGGCCUUCUAGGAGUCUCACCUAGAAGAAAAUCAAUGGAGUCUCACCAUUGAGGGUUGCAACCUUGCAAUGAAAGAAAGUAUAAUAUUAUUCAUCAAAAAUUCAUUCCUUUGAUUUACAUUGAUUAGCCUAUUUAUAGGCUUCUCUAAGAAAUCCAAAGUCUACUAGGACUCUAAUAACCUAUUCUACUAGGACUCUAAUAGGACUCUAAUAACCUAUUCUACUAGGACUCUAAUAACCUAUCAUGACUCAAAUUCUAAUUAUAUUAAUCCUACUUAAAGUUUACUUAGGUCUUCCCUUUCUUCCUUGAAUAAACUUUAAAAGGCUUUCCCCCAUCAUUGUCAGGUCUAUAUUCUUUAACAAGGCUAAACCUAGGUUAUUGUAAUUUAUCAGAUGAAACAAACCUUAGCAGUCUUUGCCUCUUAUCUUCAUUGGAAGUGUUAGAUCUAUCUGGGAACAACUUUGUUACUUUGCCAAACAUCAGGGGACUUUCUAGCCUAGAAGGUCUGUUGUUGGAGAAGUGUAAAAGACUGCAAGUACUGCCAGAACUUCCAUCAAGCAUAUAUAGUUUAAUUGCGCAAGAUUGCAUAUCAUUGGAAAAUGCCUCAAAUCAAGUACUCAAGUCACUCUUUCCAACUACAAAGUCCCCGAAGAAAACUUUCAAGGUGGGUUCUAUUUGUAUACGAUGUAUCAUAAUUUUAAUUAUAUAUGCAUAUAUAUAAUUAUUUCGAUUCUAUCUCUCUAACAUCCUAAUAAUUUUGAUUCUACAGCGUAAUUCGGGUGCACACUUGAUAUAUGUGAUGGUUUAUGGGAGUAGAAUACCAGAUUGGAUAAGGUAUCAGAGCUCAGGGUGUGAAGUAGAAGCAGAUCUACCUCCAAAUUGGUAUAAUUCCAACUUGCUGGGUCUUGCUUUGAGCUUUGUCACUUAUGUUUUCGCAUCUAAUGUGAUUAUUCCAGUAUCGUAUACCUUGCGCUAUUCAACAUCCAGUUACAUUGCUAACCGCAUUAGUAUCAGAUUUGAUAAGGAAGGUGUAGGGUUAGAUCACGUGUGGCUACUUUAUAUAAAACUCCCCCUCUUCAGCAAUUGGCAUAAUGGAACUCCCAUAAAUUGGCAUGAAGUGACUCACAUCAGUGUAUCAUUUGGGACUCAGGUCAUGGGGUGGUAUCCUCCGAUUAAGAGGAGUGGGUUUGAUCUAGUGUACAGUAAUGAUCAAGACGUGAAUCCCCCAGUGAUCCAAUUCAGUUCUAUCUCCUCUCCUCCUCUUCCGAACAAGUCAACAGUAGUCCUUAAAGAAAUCCAUAAGAAGGAGGAACCCAGUGGAAGUGAGUUGUCGAAUGUUGAUGGCUCAGAAUCAGACAGCUCUGAUUACCAUACUGCUGAUGAGGAAGAACCCACAACUGCAAAAGAAACUGACCGCUCAGAGGAUCACUCUGAAUCAGAGAUGCGGCCGCAGAAACGUUUGAAGUGCAGGCAUUAUGAGGGCAUCCCUUGAUGAUCGGAGAAACAGACCUAAAACUCUUCCCAUAACAUCAUCUCUUGGUAAUGGUAGGUUGUGUGUUUCUUUUCUUUCUGCCUUUCUUUCUUAAUCUGAUUUUCAACAUUUUUGCUUGGGUAGAUGUCUUAAGAUCAUUUAGAACUGUUUAAAGCGGGAACUAAAAAAUCCCAUAACACUGUUUGAAAUUAGAGUACUCUCACAUAUCGUCGAUUUCAUGCUUAAUCAUCCCGGGAUACACAUGGUUCCAUAUCAUUAGAAUCAUUUGUAUUAAUAAUGCAUUCUCAGUUUACUAAUUGUGGCAACUAAACAGAGUCCCAAAAUCUCUCUCGGGGUUGAUCAUCUUCAAUAGAUACGCAUUGUUUUAGCAGUGAUAAUGUAUUUUGUGAAUUGCAGUCGCAUGAUCUCCAUUCCUGUGAGCAUUGCAAUUAACUAGGGAGAUUAUUUUAGUGGGGGUGAUGCUACAGCACCAGCGAAGGAGCAGAAGCAGAAGCAGAAGAGAGAAAAGAUCUUGUAACGGAACCCAAUCUUCCAUAAACUAACUAUUUUUGGAUUGUUUUUCAUUUCUAGAAAUGGAACGACUAUGUAAAUUAAAGGAUUACUGGAUUCUUCAAUUCAAAGAGUCAUCACAAAUUUGAGUCACUACUCACCUACAUUUGAUUUCAUUCCUUCUACUAUCUCCACCUUGCUCCUUAAUUCUUAUAAUGAUAAAUGUGUUAUAUAAAAUUUUGAUUAUAUUUCAUUUAACCAUUUUUGCAUUAGGGUCACAUCUCUUAGUCGUAUAGAUAUUGUUUACUUUAAUCCAAAGGACUCCCACGAUUUUAAAACGCACCUAUAAGGUUAAAAGGAAUCCAUGCAUAUAUAGAUAUAUCACAUCCAAUAGGGUGAAAAAGCUUUUACUCUCUUACGCCAUCCCUUCCCAUGAAACCCUCUAUUUUGUGCCCACCUAUACCUAUCCUUUCCCUCUUUCUCUCAUGGGCAUAUCCUUUGCAUGAUACACAUUUUAAUCAACAAAUUAUAAUUAAUUUGUUCACUAAAAUAUUUCUUUAGGUUGUAUUUGGUUCCAAAAAUUACUAAGAAAAAAAAAGAAAAAUAUAAAGAAAUAUUAUUUUUUCAUAUUUGGUUAUCGUAUGAAAAAUAUAUAAAAAAUCAAAUAUAAUUAAAAUUAAGUAAAAUUUUUUGUAUGUUUAAAUUAUUUAAUUUUUAUAUCGAUGAGUUAAAAUAAAUAAAGUCAGUUUAAAGUAACAAAUAAAAAUAAAAUUUCAAAUUUUAAUCUAUUUUUUUAUUUUUCUUUAUUGUUUUUUUCUUUUACUUUUUCUUUCUAUUUUCUUCCUCCCAUAUUUUCCCCUAAUUUUCCACCUUAAAAUUGUAUUUUUGUGAUAACUUUCGAAUAUAUUUGACAUAGUGGUUGCCUAGGGUUCAUUCUAAACCAUUUGUUUGGAUUUCGAAUAUAUUUGACAAUUUUUUAAAUCCUUCCUCCCACCUAUACCUAUCCUUUCCCUCUCUCUCACACACACAACCAUCCCGUUCGGGCCAUUCCCAUGAAACCCAUUUUUUCUCUCUUUUCUCAUCCCUCUCACAAAUCACAACCACUUUUUUCUUCCUUUCUUCUCAUCAUUUCAUGUUCUUUAUUUUUUUUCUCUCUCUCUCCCUCUCUUUCUUUUUUCCAUAGCCAUUUUCAUCUGCCCAUCACCGACGCCACCAUCCAUUGUCCGCCGCGACGUGCCACUACCGACGCUGGCGUCACUCUUUCAUGGCUUCCUCCUCUCUCAUCUCAUCAUUUCUCUCUUCUUCUCUCCCUCUAAAAUACCAAGAGCAUGGCAUGGAGGGAAAAUGGGAAGUUCGGGUGAGCUAAACACCAAGGCAACUUGUAGAGUCAUUGCUAUGGCUACUUUCAUCUUGUUUUCAAGACAUGCAUGGGUAUACUCUUUGAUCUCUACACAGUAGAUGUUAGUAAUUUGUGGGUUUUGUUUUCAUUUGAUGUUUUGUUUAUUGAUUUAUAUUUUUGAUGUUGGGUUUGGACUUGUUGGAUUUUGUUUAAUUCUUUUAGGCGUCAAUUAUUAAUGUUAGGCUUGGUUAUUCCAUGCAGACUUGGGCCUGUGCGUAUUGAAUAUUUAGGUUGGGCCUCAUUCCUUGAUUUGAGCCUGGUAGGGAGGUUUUGGACUUGACCUUGGGUUAAUUUUAUCCUUUAUAGUUCAUUUAUGAUUCAUUGUCGUGUUUAGAUCAUUCAAAAAAUUUGUUUUCAACUAUGUUCUUGAAAAUAAUUUCACUAAAAGUAUCAGAAAUCAGAAGGUGUCCAAUUAGUCGAGUUUUAAAAAUAUUGUUGACAAAUUUACCAAUAAAUUCUUAACAGCCCAACCACCCAAAAUAUAAUUGCCUACUUGAAUGAAAUAAAUAAUAAACUUUAAUUUAUACAAAAUAUUUAUUAUUAUAAUUAAUAUUUUAAUAUCCUUCAUUUAAAAAUAAAAUGAAUAAAUAAAUAAAUAAUCAACACAGACUCUUCUUCAAUGAUCGCAUUUAAUUUACUGCAAAUUUUGCUAAGAGUAUAUUAUUCCCAAUUCUCAUUUUCAUACAUAUUCUAUUAUUUUUCUUUUGCAAAUAAUCAAAUAUAGUUAUCUGUUUGUUUGAUUUGUUCAUCAAUUUGGAAUUAUAUGUAUCUUUUUGUUUCCCACUGGAUAAUUUAGGAUUCACAACUCAAAAUUUCUGAAUCCAUCUUCUCCACUCCUCAUAAUGGCUGAUCCUUCUUCUUCUCCCUUUCUUUACAACAGGGCUAUAACGUGCUCUUGAGCUUUGGAAGAGAAGAGAAGACACCCACAAUAGCUUCACUGCUCAUCUCUAUAAUGAGCUUGAAAAGGUGUUUAUACUUAUGAUAUCUUAAUCUAAUUUCUAGAUUUGGACUCAAUUUUUCGUAAUCAUGUUUUUUUUAUUAAAAAAUGAGUUACAUUAGAAUUUUAUUUCUUAUAUUAUUUUUCUUUAAAAACAAAUAAAAAUAAGUAAUGGCUCUAAUUUUUAAAAAUUAAUAUGUUUUUUAAUAAAAAUGAGUUUCACCAUUAAAUGGAAAUACAAGUAAAACAUACAAAUCAUAGUUUCAUUGUUGUUUUCCUCUUAUGAUCUUUUAUGUUUAUAAAGAGAAAUAUGAAAAAAGUAAUACAAAAGGUAAAAUUAAGUCCUUAUACAAAUUCUAAAAACUGAUGACCCCAUAGACUACUUAUCCUUGCCAAUUCACACUGUUCCACAAUUUUGCAUGUUCACAUUGCUCAAAAUAAAACUAUUAUAGAUCAAAAGAUGCGUCUAGGUUCAAAGAGUUUAGCAGAUUUUUAGGAAUGCUAGUUGAAGGGUGAGAUGAAGAAAUCUACUUGUUGCUGAGUAAGUUGAGGAAAAUGGUCGAAAGCAGGACAUCUUGCAAAGGAAGGAAGAAGAAAUCGGUGUCCGUUUCUCACUUUGAAAUGGAGCUUAGAAGGUUGGAUUGUUCGAUUAGUUAUGGAGAUUUUGUGUUCACUUCCAAAAAGGGUGGCAAAAACUAUUGGGAGCUAAUUUUGGUGGAUUGAUGAAGAUCAAAUCCUCUCUUGGAAUGUUAGAGGGCUCAAUGACAGGGAGAAAUAAAAACUGCUUAAGUCAGUGAUUAGGUCUCAGAAGAAAGAUUUGGUUUGUCUUAUUGAGAUGAACAUGCAGGAGAUGUUGUUAAAGGUGGUGAAAAGUCUGGAUGUUGGUAGGUUUUUGGACUAGGGUGUAGUUGAUGCUAGGGGAGUGUCCGGAGACAUCUUGAUUUUUUGGGACAAUAGAGUUUUGGAUCUUCUAGAGCUAAAAUGUGGAGGUUUCACCAUCUCGAGUAGUUUUAGGAAUGUGGAAGAUGGUUUUGUUUGGGUAUUCACAGGUGUCUAUGGUCUAGUCCUCUCAAGGAAGAGAAAAAAAAAAAGACUUUUGGGAUGAGUUGGGUGUAAUUAAAGGUAUGUAGAACGAUCCCUGGUGUGUAAGAGGGGAUUUCAACUCUGUUAGAUUUCCAAGGGAAAUGAGGAAAGAGGUCAGUUUAACGGCAAAGAUGAGAAGAUUCUAUUAAGUCAAUGAGGAACUAAGACUAAAAGAUUUACCCCUUUCUGAUGGUCAGUUCACGUGAUGUGGUGGCUCAAACUCUCAAGCAGCGUCAAGGUUGUAUCAUUUUUUAGUUUUUAAUGAAUGGGAGGACCACUUUUCAAGUGCCUUCCAAUGCGCUCUUCCUAAGAUCGUCUCUGAUCACUAUCCUAUUACACUAGAGGGUGGAGGGGUUAAAAGAGGUAAGACUGUGGACCCACAUUUUUCACGUGCGUCCCCACUCGAUCGGCGAGACUCGCUUUUUAUUACUAGUGAAAAAAUAAUUUUGGAAAAAGUCGGAAUCGCCACUUAUUUUAUUUUUAUUUUAAAGGGAAAAUAAAACAAAAAAGAAAAACCUUAAAAUGUGACUCCAUAAUUUUUGGAAAAAACAUGUCUUUGAAAAACCUGAGUUUAGGUCCAGGGAUCAAGUUACUUAUUGGGAAGGUACCUCUAGGAGGUAGCACCCCUCUAAGCCUAAAAGAGGUCUCUACUUACUAAGUUGGGGGAAGUGUGGCAAUUAAUUAAUUAAUUGAGGAUACCUAGAUAGGCUAAGGUGAUUUCAAAAAUAACAUGCCAAACAUGAUCAAAUUACAAUAAAUGAGAGUUAGGGUGCAUACCUGGACUGCUUCUUAAGCGCCAUCUAAAGACAUCAAUGAUUAGUUUGGAAAAUAAAACGCACAACAUAUAUUUUAUCCUAGUCUCUUAAUCAAACAUGGCAAGCUAAACAAACAAUAAAAAAGAUAUGUUGAAAAAUUUGAGAAUCGCAUACGAAGCAAUACAUAACGAUCAUAUAUAAAGCAAUACAUAAUUUAUGGAAUUAAGAUACGAAGGUAAGAAGCAUACCUGAAUAGCAUGGGUAACUCAUAAUGCUCUUCCACAAGACAUGAGGGGUUAGAUAAUAAAUAAUGAGAUAAAUUCUAGCAUGCUUGUUAUCUAAUUAGCAUAGCAAAAAUUAUCAGAGUAUACUAAUUCAUCAAUUAUCACAUAGUCUUGUAUAUAAUUCCUAAAAAAAUUGAUAUGAUUGUAACAACCAACAAAGGUGGUAGCAAAAAUAAGUUUUGAAUAUAUUUUUUUGUGUAGGGGUUUCACCAAUUCCCCAAUUGAUAUACACAAAUCUAACCUAGAAUUAUCCCAUUUAUGUGGGACCACAAGCUUGGAUUCGUGUUUGAUUUAAAACCAAAAUUUUCAUUAAAAAAACCGAGAAAGAUGCAAACCAAUAAAAAAAAAUGGUUGCAUAUUAUUUUAAGAAAAUGGGGUUUUUGAUUCUAAGGACUCUAAAUGAAUUUUUAAAAUAGGUUUUUAUAAGGAACAUUUUGGGAAAAGUAUUUUAUUUUAAAGGGAAAGACAUUAUUCACAAACAAACGAUUCGCAAAGGUCAAAUAUAGGCAACCCAAAAUAAAACAAAAUCACAAAGUAAAAUUUUCUCAAUAAUCAACAAAACUAAUAAAGGUGAGGGUAGAGGCCAAUCUUCAUGAUUUGCCAAUGGCCUCUAAAAAUUAAUCUUCACAAAAAAAUAUCAAAGCAAUAAACUAAAUGAUUUUAGAUCAGAUAAGAUUAGAAGAUAUUAAUCAGGAGUUAAAAAUGGGGAAUCAAACACAGAAGAAUAAUAAAAAAACUAACAUAAGAUCAAUUAAGCUAAUUAACUAAAAUUUUAGAGAAACAUAUGAACUAAAUUAUGAUUAAUCCAAGAAUGAAAAUUUAUACAUUUAAGAUGAAAAUAAUACAACUUAAGAUCAAUUAAAACAGUUAUCUAAAGCUUUGAAAAAACAUACAAACUAAAAGUGGACCAACCAAGAAAUAAAAUUAACAAGUUCAGAAUAUGAAAAUGACAUGGAACCAAUCAACUUAAACAACCCCAAGUCUUAAAAACUCACGUACUAAAAGAUGAAAUAAAAAAAUAAGAUUAAUAUUGGAAAACAUAAAUUCAAUUGCAUAGGAUCAAUUAAACUAAUAAACUAGAAUUCUAAAACCACUUAAACUAGAUAACAUGAAUCAAAACAAGGAUAAACAAUUUUAAAAGACAUGAGAUUAAUUACAUGGAUCAGCCAAAUUGAUAAACUAAAAUUAAAAAAAAAAAAAAAGAACCUAAACUAAAUAGAUAAAUCAAAACAAAACUAAAGCAAGGCUAAAAACAUGAACUUUAUCAAUAGAAUUGGUUAAAUUAAUGAACUAAGAUUAUAUAAAAAAAAAAAUGCAAACCAAACAAAUAAAUUGCAAUUAAACUAAAACAAGAUCAGAAGCAUAAAUUUUAUCAAUAAAAUUAAUUAAUCUAAUAAACUAAACCAAGAUUAUAAAAAUACAUCAACUAAAAAGAUGGGACAAAACAAAAUCAAAACUCGUUUUAAAAAACAUAAACCUUAUCUAAUAAAAUUAUUUAACUAAUGAAUUAAAAUUACUAUUACAUUCAAACUAAAACUAAACUAAUGUGGAAUUAAAAAAAUAAACUUUACUUUACAAAUUACUUAAACUAAGGAAUUAAAGUCACUAACACACUCGAAUUAAAUCAUAAGCUAAAAUUAAGUUAAUCCGGAAUUUUAAAAAAUAAACUUUACUUCACAAAUUACUUAAACUAAGGAAUAAAAAUCACUAACUCAUUUAAAUUAAAUCAUAAGCUAAAAUUAAGUUAAUCCGAAAUUUAAAAAAAUAAACUUUACUUCACAAAUUAUUUAAACUAAGGAAUUAAAGUCACUAACACAUUCAAAUUAAAUCAUAAACUAAAAUUAAGUUAAUCCAGAAUUUUUAAAAACAAAUUUUAUCUCUCAAAUUAUUUAAACUAAGGAAUUAAAGUCACUAACACAUUCAAAUUAAAUCAUAAACUAAAAUUAAGUUAAUCCGGAAUUUAAAAAAAUAAACUUUACCUCUCAAAUUAUUUAAACUAAGGAAUUAAAGUCACUAACACAUUCAAAUUAAAUCAUAAACCAAAAUUAAGUUGAUCCGGAAUUUAAAAAAAUAAACUUUACUUCACAAAUUACUUAAACUGAGGAAUAAAAAUCACUAACUCAUUUAAAUUAAAUCAUAAACUAAAAUUAAGUUUAAAAAAUAAACUUUACCUCUCGAAUUAUUUAAACUAAGGAAUAAAAAUCAUUAACACAUUCAAAUUAAAUCGUAAACUAAAACUAAAAGGUGGAUUAGAACUAAACUAAUUGAGAAUUUAAAAAACAAAAUAAACUUUAACACAAAGAAUUAAUCAAAAACUGAAAUUUGUUUUAAAAGAAAUCUAGACUAAAUAAGAAUAUUAUAUGGAAAACUAACCUGUGAAGUGAAAGAGAAAAUCCCUUCUUGGUGACUAAGGUGAUAGCCCGGUCUCUGCCUGAAGUCCCUUGCUCUCCUCUAAAGUUCCGCGUGAAAAUUCUUUCUGUCUCUUCCCCUCUGAAAAAAAGUUCCUUAUGCUUGGAUUCUCUCCUUUAUUUAUAAGGCAACCCACUCCUUAUGGAAUAUCUUAUUUCCAUUUUUUCUACAUGCCCGUGGAUAUGGGAAGUCCAUUAUGUGUGGCUCACUUGGACAUUUCCCCAAGGAUGCAGCCGUAUCUUGUUUGGUAAGUGAUCAGAUCCCUUUUAAUCUUCUUUCCAUAUGCUCCCGGAUUCCUUCUUAAAGCAAAUCAUAUGCAGCCCGGAUUGUUCUUAAAGCCGUGAUCUGCCCACUUUCUAUAUGCAGCCCGGAUUCCUUCCAAGUUUCCCUAUUUGGCCGUGAUCUCCUCUCCUUGAUGUCUUCAAUUGUUUCCUUAUCUCCUAGAGCCACCUUUCCUUAAACUCUCCCAAAACGUAUCUUCCAAUCUCAAUAUGGUAUCCAUUCCAUCUCCAAUGAUCAAGCAUCCAAGGAAAUCCCACAUUCCAAAUAUCAAUACCGUGCACAUCUUCCAUACAUUUCCUAUAAAAUUUCAAAUAAAUAAGGACAAGUAAUAAAAUAAUAAUAAUAAUAAUAAUAACAAUAACAAUAAUAAUAAUACUAAAAAAAAUAAAAAUAAAAAUAAAUAAAAAUAUUUACACAAAAUUAUUAAAUUAAAAUAGAUAAGUAAGGACAAGCAUUAUGGAAAAAGUGACAAAAUAAUAAGGAAAUAAAAUAGAUUAAGAAAUAGACAAGAUAAUAAAUAAAAUAAAUAAGAAUUAAAUAAUAAAAAGUCAAGUCAUGCAACUUUAAAAUAAACAAGUCAUGCAAGUCAUGCAAGCCAUACAAAAAAUGCAAUCAUGCAAACAUGCAAAAAAUUGCCUGAAAGGUGACCUAAGUGGGCCUAAAUGAGCCUAAGUAGGCCAAGUGUAUCUAAAUGGGCUUAGGGUGUCUAAAUGGGCCUAGGGUGCCUAAAUGGGCCUAGGGUGCCUAAGUGGGCCUAGGGUGCCUAAGUGGGCCUAGGGUGCCUAAGUGGGCCUAGGGUGCCUAAAUGGGCCUAGGGUGCCUAAAUGGGCUUAAAGUGCCUAGGUGGGUCUAGGGUGCCUAAAUGGGCCUAGGGUGCCUAAAUGGGCCUAAGGUGUCUAAAUGGGCCAAGAGUGCCUAAACGGGCCUAGAGUGUCUAAGUGGGCCUAGAGUGCCUAAGUGGGCCUAGAGUGCCUAAGUGGGCUUAAGGUGCCUAAGUGGGCCUAGGGUGUCUAAGUGGGCCUAGGGUGCCUAAAUGGGCGUAGGGUGUCUAAAUAGGCCUAGGGUGCCUAAAUGAGCCUCGGGUACCUAAAUGGGCCUCAGGUGCUUAAAUGGGCCUUAUGUGCCUAAAUGGGCCUAGGGUGUCUAAAUGAGCCUAAGGUGCCUAAAUGGGCCAAGAGUGCCUAAACGGGCCUAGAGUGCCUAAGUGGGCCUAGAGUGCCUAAGUGGACUUAGGGUGCCUAAAUGGGCCAAGGGUGUCUAAGUGUGCCUAGGGUGUACUAAGUGGGCCUAGGGUGGUGCCUAAUGGGCCAAGUGUAUCUAAAAACUAUCCUAAAAAUGAAUGAAAAGCCUAAGUCUAAAUUAGGGCUGCCAAGGGUCACAAUAAGGGGUCAGAUAAUCCCUAAACCAAAGUCUCCGAGGUGGCUAAAAAAAGGUAAGUAGUGUGAGUAGCUAUGGGCCACCAAGGAACUACUGUAAAGUAUCGAAUAAGUAUCUAAUAGGACAUGUGCUAGGAGGACAAAAUUGAGGGUCUACAAAGACCCAUUUCCGUUUUGAGAAUAUGUGGCUAUUAUCGAAUGGUUUCAAAGUGUUAGUGAGGAAGUGGUGGACCGAGUACUUGAUUACAAGGAGUAGUAGUCAUUGUCUUGAUGAGACAUUGAAGGGCUCUUAAAAAGGAUCUCAUAGUGUGGAAUAAAUAAAUUUUUGGCAACCUCUUCUUUAAAAAAUCAGAAGCCUUUUCUCGAGCUCAUUUUUAGGAUUCCAAGAGAGAGUUAAUCCCCUCUCUAUUAAGGAGGCAAAGGCUAGAAAAGAGGUUGUCAAGGAGUAUAAGAAAUGGUUUUUAUUGGAAGAAGCUUCUUGGAGACAGAAAUCUAGGGAAAUCUGGUUAAAGAAGGGCAACAAAAACACCAGGUUUUUUCACAAGGUGGCCAAUGCUCGGGCAAGAAGGAAUCUAUUAUCCAAGGUGAAAAUUAAUGGGGUUAUUUUAACUAACAAUGAGGAUAUCAAGGCUAAGGUGUGCAGGGCUUACCAAACUCUACUGACUGAAAAUGGGGACUGGAGACCAAGCCUUGGGAAUCUUCAAUUUAGAGUGUUGGAAAAAGAUAGGUCCAGAAGUUUAGAGGAGCCUUUUUGGAAGAAAAGGUGUUUAAAGCCCUUUCCAACCUUUGUGGUGAUAAAAAGUCAAGUCCAGACAACUUCACCAUGGCGUUCUGGCACUUCUGUUAGGAUUUCACAAAAGUUGAGAUUAUAACCCUCUUUGAAUAUUUCUUCUACCUUGGCACAUUCCAAAGGAGUUUAAACUCCACUUUCCUAGUUCAGAAAAAUGGGUGCAGAAGAGUUGAAAGACUUCAGACCGAUUAACCUGGUUGGUGGACUAUACAAGUUGUUUGCCAAAGUCCUGACAAACAAGUUAAAGUCAACCAUGGGGAAGUUGGUUUUAGACAGUCAACAGGCCAUUAUGUGGACCCGCAUUUUUCACGUGCGCCCCCACUCGAUCUGCGAGACUCGCUUUUUAUUUGUGAAAAAUUAAUUUUUGGAAAAAAAGUUGGAGUCGCCACUUUUUUUAUUUUUAUUUUAAAGGGAAAAUAAAACAAGAAAGAAAAACCCUAAAUGUGACUCCAUAAUUUUUGGAAAAAGCAUGUCUUCGAAAAACCCGAGUCUAAGUCCGGGGAUCAGGUUACCUAUUGGGAAGGUACCUUUAAAAGGUAGCACCCCUCUAAGCCCUAAAAAGGUCUCUAUUGACAAAGUUAAGGGGAGUGUGGCAAUUAAUCAGUUAAUUAUAGAUACCUAAGUAGGCUAGGUGAUUCCAAAAAUAGCAUGCCAAACAAGAUCAAAUCACAAUAAAGGAAGGUUAGGGUACGUACCCGGACCGCUUCUCAAGCGCUAUCAUAAAACAUAAGAGAUUAGUUUGGAAAUAUAACACAUAAUAUGUAUUUUAUCAAAGAUGAUCAAACAUCAAGACAAUCAAUUAUGGCAUUAGACAUGGUCAUGAUUCAUGAUAACAUAUAGAAUUUUAGAGUUGAAGGGUAGAAGGAGCGUACCCGUUUAGCGAGCAUCCACACGUCUAUGGGAACAAGGGUAUCUCAACAAUAGAUAUAAAGUGAAUUCAAGUAUUGCAUCAAGAAGAAAAAAAAUCAACAUAUCAAGCAAACAGUAUUGAAGUGAGUGUUAUGAAUGUUGGGCCCCCACCAAAGCCCUAAUUAAUUUCGCAUGAGUUGAUCCCAUAAAUUCCAUGACUUGAAAUUAUGGAGUUUGUUCGUGCUUAAGAAAAUCGAGAAAAAUCAAGAAGAUCGGUUGAAAAUCAAAUAAAAUAGUGAAAGCGCAUGCCAGAAGAAAAAUGGCAGCAAGAGUAUGUUAGAAUAUGGAUUUUAUACCUAGAAAGGAUCUAAGAUGAAUUUUUCAAAGCCAGGAAUGUUUAGUUGAACAAUGAUUAAAAAAUUCAAUUUAAAAAAAUAAGUUCCCAAUCAAGGAAGCAAAUAGAGGAGAAGAUGUGUAUAGCAAGGUUGCCAUGAAGUGAAGCCAGGGAAAUUUUGGAUAGAAGGGACCAAUUCACUGCAAGAGCGUUCAACUGUCAAAUGCUUCAACGAGCCAAGCUAUCCAGGUGGAGUGUUAAUCGUUGGCCACAAAUGCUAUCCGAAUAAGCGUUAUCGAAGGAUCCGGACAUGUCUGUCCAGGGGAAGUUGAAUCGUCCUCAUCUCCCAUCUGGUGGCAGGCGCCGGAUGUGAAAUAUCUGGAGAAGGUGGAACGUCGGUCGGAUAGAAUUGCGGCGGUGAGAUAUCCGGAGAAAGCGGGGUGUCGGCCGGAUAGAAUGGCGGCUAUGAGACAUCCGGGUGGAAUUGGGAUGUUGGCCGGAUAGAAUGGCGGCUGUGAGACAUCCGAAGAAAGUGGGAUGUCAGCCGAAUAUAAUGGCGGCUGUGAGAUAUCCGGAGAAAGUGGGAUGUCUGCCGGAUAGAAUUGCGGCUGUGAAACAUCCGGACAAGGUAGAACGUUGGCUGGGCAGAAUUCCGGAUGUGAGACAUCCGGGUGGAAUUGGGAUGUCGGUCGGAUAGAAUUGUGGUUGUGAGAUAUCCGGAGAAAGUGGGAUGUCGGCCAGAUAGAAUUGUGGCUGUGAGAUAUCCGGAGAAAGUGGGAUGUCGGCCGGAUAGAAUUGUGGCUGUGAAACAUCCGGACAAGGUAGAACGUUGGCCGGGCAGAAUUCCGGAUGUGAGACAUCUGGGUGGAAUUGGGAUGUCUGUCGGAUAGAAUUGCGGCUGUGAGAUAUCCGGAGAAAGUGGGAUGUCGGCCGGAUAGAAUUGCGGCUGUGAAACAUCCGGACAAGGUAGAACGUUGGCCAGGCAGAAUUCCGGAUGUGAGACAUCCGGGUGGAACUAGUGAGAAUUUCCGUCCGGGUGGAAUGAGCGAUGCCACAAACCAAGAACCCUCAAGAACUAUGGUAACCUCUGCAUCUGUUUAACCCCAAGAAAAACCCGUUUUACACAGCCUUUAUCAAGUUCCCAUCUUUCUUGGAAUGCUCAUGGUCUCCAUAUCCAAGAAUACCAAGGUAAAGAGAGGAAAGAAACGUAGAUACAGAAGCACACAAAAAGACCAAGAAAGAAAAGAAAAGAAAAAACAGGGGAAAAGAAGACCACCAGUGGGUAUUUUGAAGCCAGAUUGGGACAUAAAUGGGGGCAAGACCCAUAACAUCAAAUUCAAAGGUAAACCUAUAUUCAGAUUACUUUCAGAGGAAACCAAAGACAUUAAAAGGAAUAUUAAAAUAGCAUAAACAUGCAAGUAAACCAGUCUCAACUAAUCAAAUUGUGGCCCUUGCGUCCACACCAAACGACGAGAAUGAAUCUUCAGAAAACUAAGAAGUCAGGAAAGAUUGAAACCAAAUGGUGAUAUAGCAAAAAUCUGGAAACAUACCUGCACGUUCUCCUCUCCAAUUGCUUGGUUCCAGGCUGCUGCACCUUUUCCCGACUGAAAAAUCUGCUCCCCAAACCUUUUUCCAUCCACCAAUCUUCUCCCUCUCUAUACAUGUUCCAAGUCCCUCUCUUCUAUGCUUCCUCUUCCAAACCCCUCUCCUGCCCCCCAAACCUUUUUUCGUCCGCCAAUCUUCUCCCUCUCUACACGCGUUCCAAGUCCCUCUCUUCUAUGCUUCCUCUUCCAGACCCCUCUCCUGCUUUCUUUUCUCGCUAAUGCCCCACUUGUUCUUUUUCUUUUCUCCUUAUAUUCGUAUCAGCCUCUCAAACUCAAUCUGCUCAAGAGAAUCCACUUUCCUUUCUUCUAUUUCCCUUCAUUUUUUCAAAAAUCAAAAUGCUUCUCUCUUCUCAUGCAGGAUCUUCUCUUUCCAUAUGUAUGCAGCCACAUUAAUUCCUUUUUCCUCACAAAAUAUUUCUCUUACCUUUUUGAGUGCACAUACCUUAGUGAGAGUUGAAUAGCAACCCCUAUUCUCUUAUCAAGUCAUACAAAAAAGUGGGUCUAAAAGUGCCUACUGGGCCAAGUGUGUCUAAGUGGGCCUAGAGCGAUGCCUAAUGGGCCAAGUGUACCUAAAAGCUAUCCUAAAAAUAAACGAGAAAGCUUAAGUCUAAAUUAGGGCUGCCAAGAGUCACAAUAAGGGGUUAGAUAAUCCCUCAACCAAAAUCUCCGAGGUGACUCAGAAAAAGGUAAGUUGUACGAGUAGUAAUAGGCCACCAAGGAACUACCGUGGAGCACUGGAAGUGAAUUUAAAGACAUGUGCUAAAGGGACAAAAUUGAGGGUCUACACAUUAUUCAAGGUAGGCAUAUUUUCGAUGUUGCCCUUAUAGCAAAUGAGGUUGUGGAUUCUAAGUUAAAGGUCAACAUUCCUGGCCUUCUCCUAAAAUUGGACAUUGAAAAGGUGUUUGACCAUGUCAAUUGGGACUAUCUUCUUUUUAUUAUGGCUAAAAUGGGGUUUGGGGAAAGAUGGAUUAGCUAGAUUAGUUAGUGUAUUUCCAUUGCUAGCUUCAGUUUUAAUCAACAGAACUCCAUUCGGCUUUUUCCAUAACACUAGAGGCUUGAGACAAGGGGACCCGUUAUCUCCCUAUUUUUUCAUUUUGGUCAUGGAGACUCUCAAUCAAUUGCUAUCUAGAGCCAGUUGUGGGGACUUCAUUAAGGGGUUUAAGGUGGGAAGAAGUAGUGGGAAGGGAGAGACUUGCUUCAUUUCCCAUUUGCUAAUGACACUCUAAUUUUUUGUAAUGUCAAUAGCAACCAUCUGAGAUACUUGAGUUGGGUGUUUUUGUAGUUUUAGGCAAUCUCGGAUUUAAAAGUGAAUAGAGAUAAAAGUGAGGUUAUUACCAUAAGAAGGUUAGAGUCUUGGGAGGAUGUUGCUUCGGUGAUGGGGUGUAGAGUUGGGAAGCUUCCCACUUCUUAUUUGGGACUCUUUUUGGGUGCCUUUUUCAAGUCUUCAAGGGUAUAGGAUGCAAUGGAUGAGAGAUUUAGAAAAAAAUUGUCUCUAUGGAAGAGGCACUAUCUCUCUAAGGGGGGAAGGCUCACCUUGAUAAAAAGCACUCUAUGAGGUCUUCAAAUUUAUUUCCUUUCUCUCUUUGUUAUUCUGCGGAAGGCGUGUGUAAGACUUGAAAAGAUUCAAAGGGACUUUUUGUGGGGCGGUGGUGUCUUAGAGAAAAAACCCCACUUGGUGAAUUGGAGCUUGGUUUGUACUUAUAAAAGGAGGGGGGCUUGGGAAUUUGUAGACUUGUGGUUCUAAACAAAGCCUUACUUGGGAAGCGGAGUUAGAGAUUUGCAGUAAAGAGUGAUACCUUUUGGAAACAAGUCAUAAUCAACAAAUUUGGGUUAGAGGAAAGAGAGUGGUGUUCGAGAGUAGCAGGGAGAGGCUACGGUGUGGGGGUGUGGAAAGCCAUUAGAAAAGAAUGGAAGAGUAUUUGUUGCAGAUAUCGCUUUAUUGUUGAGAAUGGGAAGAAGGUCAAAUUUUGGAAGGACUUGUGAUGUGAGGACUAAACAUUGAAAGAAGUUUUCCUUAACUUAUACUGGUUGGCUGUUAAUAAAGAUGAGUGGGUGUCAAAUGUUUGGGAAGGGAGUGAGGAGUUGGGUUGUUGGAAUCCUCACUUCCCCAGGCAUUUUAAUGAUUGGGAAUUGGAGAAAGUGGAGGGUUUGUUCCUGAAACGGCAUCCUUUGGUAGUGAGAAGAGAAGUGGGGGAUGUAUUGAGUUGGAAAGAAAGUAGGGAUGACAUUUUCUCUGUUAGAUCCCUCUACCAUUCCUUCACAAGGGCCUCUAGUGAUCCUUUUCCUUAGGAUAUUAUUUGGAGGUCUUGGACUCCAAUGAGAGUACACUUUUUUUCUUAGGAAGCAUCUUGGAACAAAAUUUUAACCCCUUGAUCAGUUCAAAAGAAGGGGAUAGAAUAUGCCGAAUAGGUGCUACUUGUGUAACGAGAAAGAGGACACUAACAAUAAUUUAAUCUUAUUUUGUGAAAAAAUUACAAUGCUUUGGAGUUUGAUUUUCUCCAUUUUUGGUGUGUAGUGGGUUUUGCAUUCUUCAAUUAAAAGGAAUUUGCUUAAUUUGCAUGAUGUCUUUGUGGGUAAGAAGAGGGAGAAGGCUUGGAAGGCUGCCCCUUUAUGUUUAAUGUGCACCUUAUGAAAGGAAAGAAAUGAAAGAGCGUUCAAUGAUAUCGAACAAUCAAACCAAGCUAUAAAACAUUCAUUUUUGUAUACUCUUGUAAAUUAGGUUAGGGUAUUUAUAGAGGAUCAUACUUUGUCUAUGAUUGAUUUUAUAAAUUGACUAUGUCUAGUUAGGAGAAGGUUUUUUGGCUUCUUUGCCUAAUUUCUUGGGCGUUCUGAUUGUAUACUUCAUUUGUACUUUUUUUUUGCCACUUCUAGGCGUUUCUAAUACAAGCUUUAUUUACCUAUAUAUAUAAAAAAAAAUGCUUCCACUCCUUUGCCUUGCUUUUGAAGUAAACUAGUUUUAUUUUGACCAAUUAAUGUCACACGGCUUUUAUCUUACCUUCUAUCCUUCAAGCUUUUGAAGCAAAUAGUUUGACCAAUGUCACACGACUUUGACCAUCUCUUCCAGCCUUCAUUGUGCUCUCGUCCACCUAAAAAUGGGAGCAUUUUCUUUACCUGUUGUAGAAGCAACUUAUUCCCCUCGUUUACUGCAAGUUUUGUAGUAAAAAAGCAUCAUCACCAAACACUUGUCACUGUUUUUAGUUAUUACUAUUGGUCAUGAUUCUCUUGUGUUUAGAUUUCUUAGUCGUAUUCUUCAGUUAUUAUUAUUAUUAUCUGUUUGUUCAUGAAAUAUUCAUCUGUAAUAUCUAAUAUUAUUUUAAUAGAUUGAUCAAAGCACCUUUUUUCUGCAAGUUAAUUAUUUGAAGUUACAGUUGAAGUCUUUAUAACUUACAUCUCUUCGUCUCUCUGCUUCUCGAUAAUGACUUCUUCUGUUUUUUUUCCUUCUCCUUCUUCCUCAUCUCUCUACUUAUUGACAAUGGCUAUAUAGCUCACAUCUCUUCAUCCCUCCACUUUUCCACGAUGGUUUUUUCUUAACUCAACUCCCUUCAUCUCUCUUUCUCAACAAUGGCUUCUUCUUCUUCUCGACAAUAACUUUAUAACUCGUAUCUCUCUACUUCUCAAUAAUGGCUUCUUCUUCUUUACUCAAAUCUCUUCAUCUCUCUCCUUCUUGACGAUGGCUUUUUCUUCUCAAUAAUGGCUUUAUAAUUCAAAUCUCUUCAUUUCUCUACUAAAUUCCUGAUAAUGGUUUUUUCUUAACUUAAAGCUUUUCAUUUCUCUCCUUAUCGACAAUGUCUUCUUCUUCUUAACUCAAAUCUCUUCAUCUCUCUACUUCUCGUAAUGACGUUUUCUUAACUCAAAUUAUCUUCAUCUCUCUCUUUCUCCUAACUCAAAUCUCUUCAUCUCUUUCCAUCUCGACAAUGGCUUCUUCUUCUUCUUCUUCUUCUUCUUCUUCUUCUUCUUCUUCUUCUUCCCACUAUGAUGUCUUUCUCAGUUUUAGAGGUGAAGACACUCGUAAUUCCUUCACUGCUCAUCUCUAUAGGCAGUUGUGCCAGAAGGGAAUCAACGUUUUUAUAGAUGAUGAGAAGCUUAAGGGAGGGCAAGCCAUAACCCCUGCACUUGUUACAGCUAUCGAGAACUCCACUGCUUAUGUCGUUCUUUUAUCAGAAAAUUAUGCGUCAUCUAGCUGGUGUCUAGAGGAGCUUGUGAAUGAGUGCAGGAGAACAAAGGGACAGAGGGUUCUUCCAAUUUUCUAUAAGAUCGAUCCAUCAGAUGUGGGGAAUCAAAGGGGGAAAUUUGGAGAAGCCUUGGCUAAACAUGAAAAGAAUUUGGAGGGUAGGGAGAUAGUGCGGAUUUGGAGGGAUGCUCUUACUAAAGUUGCCAAUUUAUUUGGUUGGGAUUCAAGGAAUUGGUAAGUUUUUAAACCCUGCAUGUAUUUUUAAUAUGUUUCUAUUAUUAUUAUUAUUAUUAUCAUCAUUAUUAUUAAAAUGAAAAUUGGUUAAGGAAAUAUUAUGAAUGUAUUAUGAUUGUCCACUUAGACUUAAAUAUAGACUUUCAUAAUUAUAGAAUUACAUCUAUUAUGUGAAACCUUUUAUCUUUAAGUCCAAUCUAAAAUUUAAAAUAGAAUAUGAAGAUUUAGAUACUUAGGUGGUGUUUGUUUUUUUACUCUAACUCUAAAUAGAACUUUAAUGCUUAGAGUGCAUUUUGUAGUGAUUUUAGGAAGUGUUUUUACUUUUUUCAACACUCAAAAUUUUUUAUCUUUCAAAUAUCAAAAAUACUAAAAACAUUUCUUAAAAUCACGGUCAAAUGCACUCUUAAUAAUGUUAAGUAUUAGACUAUUUAUUUUUGUAAUAUUUUAUAUCUAUUAAAUAUUAAAAAGUAAAGAAAAAUCAAUAUGAUACUUUUUCUAUUUUUAAAAAAUUAAAUAUAUUGGUUUUUGUACCUAACAAAAUGUUUAUAAUAAGUUAUAAAAAGUAAAAAAAAAAAAAACAAUUUAAAAUUAGAAAGAAAAUUAUUUUUAGCAAAAAAUUAAAAAACCAAACACUCUCUUAGAGUUGGCAUAAGUCAAACUCCUUUUUGAAUGUUUUAUUUAAACAGUGAUUAGUAAAUUUCUAAACUUGUUUCCUUCCCGAAAAAUAAGGAAAAGAAAAAAUUACUAAAGAAAAUUGCAAUACUAGCGGUCACCAUUUAAACCAACGGAUCAUGCCUAUUAUUCUUUGUUCUGCAAUCAUGGCAGGAAUGAGGCUAAGCUUAUUGAGAAAAUUGUCCAGAGCAUUUUGGAAGGCAUGGACGAGCCUUUGAGAAAAUCAAUUGAUGAUGGUAGGGACCCAGUGGUACGAUUUUUUUAAGAAAAUGAGCGAAUUUAUUCUGAGAACUUUGAUACAAUCGACUAGUAGAAUAACGGCUCGUACUCAAUUAACUAGUCGCCAUGGUAGUGAUAUCGUGAGAAAUUUGAUACAGUAGCUAAUUCAAUAAGGGCUUCUAUACAAUCAGCUAAUCCCAAUGAUAUCAUGAAAGAUUUGAUAAAAUUAACUGCUGAAAUAAGGGCUCUUAUAGAAUUAAUUGGUCCUGAUGAUGAUGCUAUCGUGAGAGAUUUGACACAAUUAGCUAGUGAAGUAAGUGCUCUUAUGAAAUUAAUUGGUCCCCUCGAUGAUGCUGUCGUGAGAGAUUUGAUGCGAUUAGCUAGUGAAGCGGAGGCUCGUAUACUAUCAAUUAUUCCCAAUGAUAAUGGUAUCAUGAGACGUUUUGUAGGUGAAACUCAUCAGGUACCUUCGCGAGCAGACAAAAGGCUUCAAAGGCGCAUGGAGCAAGUGCGUUCCAUCUCUUCUGACCAUGUUGGAGAAGAUUUGAAGAGACAAGGAAAACUUCUUUCAAAAGUAUCAGGGUGUAAAAAUCUAGGUUUGAAAUUCCUAUAAGGGCAAGUUUUCUGGGUUUAACACGGAGCACUACGAUAAAGGCAAGACUUCGUGCCAAACAAGUCCUUAUUGUUCUUCACUACGUGAAUGAUUCAGUAGUCAGCAACUAUGCCAAUGCCUCCAUAUUGAUUUUAAUACUAGAUUCUUGGAAUCUCCUGUAUGUGCUGCUUUUGCAGUCCUGUGAUGAUGUGUUUCAUGGCAGCCCUGCUACAAUAUUUUGUGAAUCGAAGUUGAGUGAUCUUCGUUCCUGUGAGGUGGCCGCAUUGGCAAUCCACUGAACUGGGGUGAUGGAGGUCGUUCUAGCGGAAGUGGUAGGAGAAGAAGCAGGAAAGGGAAAAACCCUAAGAAUGGAAGAUUUUGAAGAUAGGAGGUGAUAGAUAAGGACUGACUCCCACUGCUUGCCAAGGAGCUGAAGCUUUUGAAUUAAAAGGCAUUUUCUUGUAAUAUAAUAGUAUGUUCUUGGACUGAUUUACAUGCUCUAUUUUGACUUCAUCUGCACGGUUCUAAUCAAUAUUAAAAACUUGAAUAUUGUUUUAUUCUAUAAUUAGCUUCUUUUAUUUAUGAUCAUAUUCACUUAAGUACUACUUUAUUCUCUUAUUCAUGUUCACAUAUUAGUAUUCAUAAGAUUGAAAGGAUCCACUUGAUAGUUUUAUUAGUAUAAGGAAAGUCGCAUUGUUCUCCCAUGUCUUGAAAAAUCAUUUGUAUUACUUCCUAAAAAAGCACUUGAUAGACGAUUCUCUGAAAAAUACUUUCAUUAAAAGCACUUUAGAUAAAAAUACUAUUAAUUAAUCGCACUUUACAUGAAUUUGUGGUUCUAUGGAAAAAUAUAUCCAUGUAUAUUAGAACAAGCAUAAUUAUGAUGCAUAUUAAAAGAAAGGCAUGUUUCCACAGUAGUGGAGAAGAAAGGAAAAGUAGUUUGUAUUUUCUUAAAGGAUUCGUGUGAGCAAGUUGUCCACCAAACCUUAUAAAAAAAUGGUUAAAAUAAAAGUCAUUUAAGAAAAAUAGUUUAUUUCUAAAUAUGCUUUCAUGAGUAAAAGUAGUUUGUAUUUUCCUAAAAGAUGCAUAUGUGAGCAAGUUGUCCACUCAACCUUAUAAAAAACGGUUAACAUAAAAGUACCUUAUAUCAAAAGAUGCCUUCACGAGGAAAAGUAGUUUGUUUUUACCUAAAAGAUCCUCUCCUAUUGUUAGAAGAUUCUUAAAAUAAAAAAAUCCUCCACGAAGUUGCUUCUCACUACCGGGCAACCUCCUCUCAUCUUGUUUUAGUUGUUUCAAGCUCUUGUUAGAAGAUUAUUAAAAUUAUCUUUCUUUAAUAUUGCUGCUCAUGAAUGGAACCUACCAAAAGACUUGUGUGUGGACAAUAUAUUUGUUGUUUUAGGAUUUCUUUUUAAUGAUGAAGCAUUUUCUCAAACCUUGGAAUCAAUCGAGCUAGCCUAGUAUGAAGUCUAAAAAAAUUUGAACAAGCAUAAAUUCUACUUUAACCUAAGGUUGGUUAGGGAAUGCUUGGGUCCUUGUUUUAACCAUCUACAACCUUCAAAAAACAAAUUUGAUAUCAUUCAUUUCAAUUCCUAAUGUCCUCAUGUUUACUCACUUUUUUUUACCAAUCCUACUAUAUAUAUACCCAAGUUGAAAAAGUCCAAACUAACUUGCUAUUGACCUAGGUACCUUUUCAAAAUAUUGGUCCUUAUUUCUCAUUCUAUAAUUAUUAAGGAAAAUAAUUAAAAAUAUGUACAAAAUCAAAAUCAAUCAUGACAUAAUAGAAAUUAUAAAGAACAUGUACACAAUCAAAUGCAUAAUGAAAAAAAAAACUCACUCCAAUUUGCAUUUUAAAAAAUAAGUUAAUUUCAUUCACCUCAUCCAAAGUUUUCACUAAAUACACCUAACCUCUAUCGAUUUGAAAUUUCAUCAAGUUUUCAUAAAUCAACACCCUCUCCAUGUUCCUCAAGUUUUCUUCAUGUUUAGUCAAUGCUUCUCCAAAAUUUCCAUUUGUGAUAUCUUACAUGUGAGGGAUCCACAUUGUAGAAAAUAGGGAGAACCCUCUGUCCCUUGGUUCUCAUGCACUCUAGAAUCUUCACCAGCUCCUCCAAACACCACCUGGAAGAAGCAUAAUUUUCUGACAAAAUGAUGACAGAAAACUUGGAGUUUUCAACAUGGUUUUGAAAACCGAAUCGGACUGGCCGGUCAUGGUUUCGGUCCAAUCAGGUCAUGAAUUAGACCGGAAAUAGGUUGAACUAGGAUCGAACCUAUUGAACUGGUGGUCCGACCAGUUCACCGGACAAACCGGUCUGUUCGAUUAAAAUUUUUUUUUUUUUCAGCAUCAAAACGAUGUCGUUUUGAUGUUUCUGGAGUCAAAACGAUGUCAUUUUGGAGGACCUUCUUCCAAACCCUCCAUCUCCGACAAUUGCCGCCCACCCCCAACGCGCUGCAACAGGCUCCCACCAUCAGCCAUUUCACCUCAAUGGCAACCAAAGCUCUACUUCCUCCUCCAACAAUGGCAGCAAGAGCAUCAAGUUCCUCAAGAAGACUCUCUCCUGCACAGACACUAGUUCAAUGCUUUCUACUGAGGUCGUCCCAAAAGGGUUUCUGGCCGUGUGUGUUGGGAAGGAGCUGAAGAGGUUCAUCAUCCUGACAGAGUAUCUGGGUCACCAAGCAUUUGGGGUUCUGCUGAGGGAAGCCGAAGGAGAAUUCGGGUUUCAGCAGGAGGGUGUGCUCAAGAUCCCAUGUGAAGUGGCUGUGUUUGAGAGGAUCUUGAAGGUGGUGGAAGAGAAGAGAGAUGUGUCCUUCUUGUAUGAGUUUGGAUUGAAUGCGGAGAAGGAGAUGAUUGGUUGUUGUUCAUCCUCAGAUUGUGAGCUCACACCUUCUCACCAUCCUCAAAUGAGUAGGUGAUCAGAAGAUGAGAAGAUCAGAUCAUAUCAGAUUUCCUCAAAUUGUUGCUUGUCCCACCCAAUUAGUGAUUUAAAUUUCAAUUUGUAAUAAUAAAUUGGCCGAGAAGAAAAGAAAUAGGCACCGGUUGUAGAUCGCACAACCCCCCUCCCCGACUAGUGGUAGUAGCUGCUCCAACGAUUUAUUUUUAUAUAAUUUUUUUUUUAUGUUUUAUUACUUUUAUAUUUAUUAUUUAAUGUGUUAUUUUUAUUUAUUGAUCAUAAUUUUGAUAGAUAUCAUAAAAAUUUAGAUAGAAUUUAUUUUUUUAUUUUUUUUAUUUUAAUAAUAUAUAAAAUGAUAAAAUAUAAAUUUAUGACGUCACCGAUUCGACCGUCGGUCCAAUCAGUGAACUGUGAACCGGGAACUUUUCCGGUUCAAUGACCGGUCCGAUUAUAAAAACAUUGAUUUUCAAUAGCCACAACAAGCGCAGAAGCUAUGACAUCACCCCUCUCAAGCUUGUCAUUGUCGAUGAAAGUGUCGACUCCUUUGGUGCAUAGCUCCUUAUAGAGAUGGGCAGUGAAGCUAUUGCAGGUGUCUUAUCCUCUAAAGCUCCGGAAACAUAUCAUAACUAUUAGAAUUUUUGGGUUGUGUAUUAAUGGUGUUACUGACAAGUUUUUGAAGAGUGAUGGAUGUUGGGUUAUUGUUGCUGGUUUAUGCUUCUAAUUUGCUAUGAAUAUCUAUACCUACAUACUUACAUUCAGUUCAUAAAUGCAGUUUCUUCUUUUAUUCUACAGAAAGGUUGCAGUCUUAUAUGUAGUUCUAAGUGUGGUUGUGAGUUUAAACCAGCCAUGAUUCAAAUUAUUUGAUACUUUCUUUUCAGGGAACACACUAUCCAAACUAUUUUCGUAACUUCAAAAAUAUGAGUAAAAUUGGGCUACAGCCAAUAAAACUGAAUGAAUUUCUCAAAUUAAAUCAGAAGUAAACAAGCUUAUAAAGUCAUCUUCAUAGAGAGUAGAUGACAAUUGGAGACUCUUCAUUCUCAAAGUUUUUGAACAUCAUGAAAAAUUAUUCUUGGAAAAUCACUAGUGGAAUGCGAUGACCAGGUCAAAUGCUCACUACCAAUCAAAUAAAAAAUUCAGGAACCAAAAAUACAAAUUCUACUUUGCCUUAUUCUAAAACCUAAUUCAUUAGGUACGUUAUAAUUAUCAAAGGCAUUAAAAUCAAUACCAGCAGGGUUCGAAUCAUAUACUCAGAAAAAUGGUGACAAAUAGUUUAAUGAUAUAUGCAUUGUAUAAAAGUUUUAAUAAGUUUCUACCCAAUUUAUCACAUAAAAGAAACCAACUAGGUUCAUAAAUAACAUCAGACAAGUAUAUAAAAUAAUUCAUAAGAAAGCAAGAUUCCAAGCUCCUGGAAUCGCUGCAUUUGCAAAGGAGUUGCUCUGCAGAAAGCAAGAAAAUUAACUCCCUCCAUGGAAAUUCUGAUUCUGGCCUCUGCAAAAGAGGAACAGCUUGUCACAUGGUGUAACUCAAGAUUCUUAUCAUUUCCACCCAAAGAAAGUUUUGAAUGUUACAAUUUGCCAUGAUUGUCAAACUCGUGUUAAACAAAAUGUAGAAGAACCGGAUUUUAUGACUCAAACAUCAUAAAUGUUAGCAAAUGUUCCUGCAGUUUUUAUCCUAGUACUCAACAUCAUAAGUUUCUAAUGCUUAUAACACAAGCAAAACUACUACUAUUAAAAUUGAAUCAUUCACAGUCAGAAAAGAAGUAUGCUGGGUGAUUCAUCAGGCAACUUGCAUUCAUCACCCAACACCAACUUUGCUUCAUUUUCUUAAUCAAACUCCCCAUAUUCGCCACCAAGUGCUAAAUAAAACUCAACACUGUCAACAACUAAUUUUGAAGGCUUAAUAACAAAUUUCAGCAUAAUCAAAGGUCAGAUUCAAACAAAAAUAUCUGCCUAAAAUAUCAAAGAAUACAAGAAAAAAUGACAAAGAGAAUUUCAGUUGCUUCAAUCAAUAUAUCUCAAUAAGAGAAAAGUUGAUGACUCACCGAAAAGUCAGACAGAGAUAUAAUAUAUAGACAUGAUUGGAGGAGUUCGCUGAGAAUUAUUGACGAAAAAUAUCAUCACUGAUUUUGAGAAUGCAUGACCAAAUCAACAGAAAAGAGAAUUUUAUUGGAAAAAAGACCUGGAUGAUGGUAGUCAUUCUUGAGGACGUUUGCGCUUGAGCUUGAGCGUGGGAUCAUUGGUGGGUCCAUCACUGCAGCCACUAGAACUAGAGUCCAUUCCACUUCGAUUGAGUCCUGCUCUGUCACUGCUUCUCUCAACUACAUUACACCCCCUACUCUUAAGCUGUUUUCUAUUUUGUGGAUGGAUUCCUUCAAGAUCUUCUGCAUAUAUAAGACAUACGCCACACUUCUUCACCACAUUGGAUGCACUUGAGUUGAAUCUGUGGGCUGCUUCAAAAGAAAUCUCAAUGUGAUUCCACUCAUUGGGGUCAUUGAAUUGAAACAACCUCAACUGGGAACACGGUUGAUAACCCAGCCAGACAUGUUCUGACCCAACAAUGUUGCCUGUCCAAUGGAAAUCAUGGCCGAAGUCUUUCAAGUCCCCAUAAUUAAAAACAUCAGAAUUCAAAUGGCAUAUAAUUCUCUCAGGAAGAUGUUCAAGAACAGAGCAGAGAGCAAAUCCCAAGAAGUCAUCACUAUACCAAUUUGUAGGUAGCUGAAUUUUUAUAGAAGAUCCCACAUUCUGAUGCCAGAUCCACUCAGGAAUCCCAGUGCCAGGAAAAACAAUACUAAAUGCAAUAUUUUCAAGCAAUUUCUGCAUCAUAACAGGUGAAGUAGUCACAGAGGAAUCAGAAGCAGUGGAAGACACAUAAAUAUGUGGAAAUAUUUGUAAUUCUGUCCUCUUAUCAUCACUGGAUUGGUCCUCAACUGGUUUGGAGCAAUUAUAGAAUAGGAACUGUAGCCCUUGCAAUGUGCUUACACUUGAUGAGCCUGGCAAAAGAGACGUGCAAUUGUGUGCAUCUAUGUCUCGGACACUUGGUGGAAGCUCCGGAAUUCCUGUGAGACUCUGGCACUGCGCCAAUCGAAGGUCUUUUAGGUUUGUAAGUUCACUGAUGCCAGCAGGUAUGCUUAGAAAAUUGUUCCGGCUUAGAUCUAAUUUCUUCAAUGAGAUUAAGGAGCAAAUACCGUUGGGGAUUGCUCCUUCUAUUAGUUUGCAGUCACUUAUGUCUAAAUUUGAUAAGGACCUGAAACUAGAAAAACUAGAAGGCAAGCGCAAACCAAUCCCAUUUGAACUGUUUCCAUGCAAUAACCAGAAUGAAAAGAGCGAACCCAAUGAGGUAGGUGCUAAUAUUUUACAUCCAGGAUAGAUCAAUACUUGCAGGUUUCUCAAAAGAACAAUUGAGUCAGGAGGUUGUGCUAUAGCAGUUCCAUCUGCAUGGAGCUGUGCUAGACGUUGCAGGCUCCCGAGGUUCCUCGGCAAAUUGUUUAAUUAUGAACAACCAGAGACAAUGAGUGUUUCAAGAGAUGUCAAAUUACACAUGCCGUUUGAAAGACUCAGAAGGUUUUUGCAUUUCCUCAGAUUCAAUAGAACGAGGCCUUUGAGACGUUCAAUUGAUGAGGGUAGCACUUCGAUAGGUGUCCCAUCUAAAAGAAGCUCUUUCAAAUUGUCCAUAUUCUCCGUCACUUCUGGAAAACUUUCAAGUUGUGAACAUCCAGAAAGAGAGAGAUUUUCAAGGGAUUUCAACUUACAAAUACUUGUCGGAAGACUCUUAAGAUUUUUGCACCAUUUCAGAUCCAAUAAAACAAGUCCAGUGAGAUGCCCAAUUGAGGAGGGAAGUUCCUCAAUAGCAGUUGAAGCUAAAUAAAGCUCCAAUAAAUUUUCCAUGUUACCUUGAAUAUUUGGAAACUUCUUGAGCCCUGAGCAGCCAGAGAAAUUGAGAAUUUCAAGCGCUUUCAUGUCGAUGAUGCUUGGAAAACAAAUAAGCUUUUUGCAAUUUUUCAAAUUCAAUAAAAUAAGCUUGUUCAGCUUUCCAAUAGAUGGGUGAACCUCAAGCAAACUUGAACAACCAUCAAGAAUUAGUUUCUCCAGAUUGGGCGCACUCACUGUGAUGUCUGGAAUUUCAAUGAGGUGUUGAGAGCAACUAACUCUUAUAGUAUUUAACUUUUCAAGAAGCUGUAACAGGAAAAAAAAAAAAAAUUACUUUGAUAUAUUUGCUUUCAUGGACUUUAGAGUUUAACCAAAGAAGAAAUAUGAAUAAAUAAUCAAUCAUCAUACCAAGUCACCUUCCCAAAGUCGUUUUAAGCUGCUAUAACACAUGUCAAGUUCAACAAGGUCCUCUGCAUAAAAUCCUAAUGGCAAAGAUUCCAAAGGAUAACCAUGCCAAUGGAGAUAUCUUAGCUCAUGAGAAGGGAAUUCAAAGUCUUUAGAUAGCUUUACUUUAUUAUCCUCCCUCGUAGAAGCAGAUUCUAGAUCCCAAUGGAUUUUGAGUAGUCUAAGAUUCUUCAUCAUUGCAAAAGCUUCAGUAGUAAUAUGUAUCCGCGUCAAUCUAGACAAGUUCAGAAGUAUGCCUUCAAUUGCCUUUGUUCCCUGGUAAACAAGAGUAGAUGAUGAGUAGAGCAAAAUACAUAGAAGUUAAAUAAGACAUGUAACUUAAACAAAAAUGAUAUUGUUGAAGCUUAGGUAUUUUGAAUAACCUUAAACAUGAAAGUAUAUUCAUUUGCAUUUUCUCUUACCAUUUUUCUUGUCAAUACACGAUUUACAACCUCAGGAUAGCACAAUCUGCUCCAUUUUCCAGGGUCUCUAGGACAUUCUUGUCGAACAAUUUCUCGUCCCAUUUGUUGUAACAAAUCAUGCAUCCAUAUCUUGUUGUCUAAAAUAGUUACAAAGCACUUAUCACCAAGGACUCCUAUUCCACUCUCCGCAUAGAAGUUGCAAGCAUCUAGGAUUCUAGUAACAAAAUCUUUCUCCUCUCCAUUAAAGAAGCAAGCAAUAUCUAAGAAUAUCUGUUGUUGUGUGUCAUCUAAUUCAUCAUAACUUCUCUUAAGCACACGUUGGAUUUCUUGGUUAGGUUCCCUCUGCAGUUUUUGCAAUUCACUUUCCCAUUGACGUACUGUCUUGCCAUAUAGGAAACAACCCAAAAUCUUAAGACCUAGCGGAAGACCAUUAACAUAAUGUACAACAGAGUUUGAAAGUGUUUCAUAGUCUUCUUUGGGAUGGUUCUGUUUAAAUGCAUUCCAACAAAAGAGUUCAAUAGCUUCCUUGUGAUCUAAUUUCUUAGCCUCAUAUAAUGCAUCCAUUCCAUGCAGCUCCAACAAAUGCUUAUCUCUAGUUGUUACAAUAAUUCUACUUCCUGGACCAAACCAACUAUGGUCACCAGCUAAGGCUUCCAAUUGGUUCAAAUCGUCAACGUCAUCAAGAACAAGAAGAACCUUUUUAAAGCAUAGUCUGUCUUUUAUCAUAUGGACCCCUUCAUCAACAUUCCUUAUAAAGUUCUUCCUUCUUGGCAAGAUAUCAUGAAGAAGUUGUUUUUGUAAAUAAAGUAGACCUCGACUUUUAGAAUCCUCUCUAACAUUAGCAAUAAAGCUAGCAAUCAUGAACUGGGCACCAAUUCGGUUGUAUAAAACUUUGGCCAUGGUUGUCUUACCAAUUCCUCCAAAUCCAUAGAUCCCAACCAUGCGAACAUCAUUUGAUAAUGGAUCUAUUAUUUGUGGAAAAAUUUCUUCCAUUUCUUCCAAACGAUAAUCCAUCCCGAUGAGGUUCUUGUCAACCUGUAAGAGUUUCUGACUAAAUUUCAUCAAAAUAACGCAAGUGAUAUCCUCAAUAAAAUCUGCCUCAGACUUGCUGCCAGAAAGCACAUACAUAGGUGAGCUAACAGAGCAACAAAUGGUAGAAAACAUGAAGUAAACUUGAUUAUGCUUGGUUUAGUACAAAACAUGAAUUAUGGGCAAUUAGAAUUUGUUAAGGGGAUAAGGAUGAAUUAAUUAGAUGUUUCAAGCACCAUUAGAACACUAUAAGAAGAAGAAAGAAAAAAACCUUCUAAAUGUUGCCCUUUAUUUCAUCUUUGCUAACCUCUACCUAUACUGGAAGAUUACUCAACUCCCUUCUUAGAUGAUGUUGGCCUUUAUUUUAAACUUUACACUCUUCCUUUCAUAAGCUUUUUUUUCAUUAGGUCUAUCCUAAGUUAGCAUUUGUAUGUAUCAGAAAACACUAAAAAAUCAAGAAUAGUUGUUUGCCCAUACUAACAUAUUAACCUUAUAAAAGAAUGGAAAGAAAUAGGAAAUCAAUUAAAUUUUAGAUGGGCUUUGAUAGAUCAAUUUAAUGACUUGAUAACUUAAUUUAAGUCAUUAAUAGAUUAAGUAUGUUUAGCAAAAUAACUUAAUAUUAUAAUUUAAAGUAAAAAAUAAUUUUAAAUAUUAAGUCAAAUUAGGUUCUUUAUAAUCUGCAAUCCCUUUUACCUCAUGUCCUCAUGUUUAGUGAGAGUACUACACAAUCAUAACUCCACAUUCACAACCCAUCUUUUAUAGUAAAUAUUUUUUAACCAUUCUAGAUAUCUACAAUAUAUGUUUAACAAAUAAAUUUAUUAUUUAAGAUUAGUCAAAGUAAAUAGGAGUUAAAAUUAGUGAGAGUAAAUAUGAGUUAAUUUGAUGAUUUAGAAUAAAUUUUAAAUUAACUUUAUCAAACAACCUUAAUACUUAAAGUGAAAAUUAAGUAAUAUAUUUUAAGUUAACAACUUAAGAAUAAUUUAAUACUAAUUCCGUCUAAUCUACUCUAUCUAUCGGAAUUCUCCAUAUUAUAAAUUCACUUUAUUUUUUAGGAUAAGAUGCAUGUGCUGAUUAUAAAUUCUAGUAGAUUUCUGAUUUAUCAUUAUGUAUAGAAAGAUAAAAGGAUACUUGCAAAAGAUUAUGCGGAUCGAACAAGCUAUAUUUACCCAUUCUGUAUAUGCCAUCCAGAAAGAUUGCCCACUUCCCUCAAAGCUGCUCUCAACUUCUGUGUAUACUCCAGAGGAAUUUUUCUUUCAUGAUUGGCCAACGCUUCUCCAUAACUCUCCCCCUGAUUUCGCACAUCGGAAGGAUUCACAUGAUAGAAAACUGGAAAAACUAUUUUUCCCAUUUGUCGCCUCGACUCCAUGAUCUCCUUCAACUCGUCCAAACACCACUUGGAAUGAGCAUAGUUUUUCGAGAGAAUUACGAGAAAGCACCUUGACAUCUCAAUAGCUCUCAAAGUAGUUGGCAAAAUCAUUUCUCCCCUGAUAUAAUCCACUCUAAAGGUUCGAAACCCUUUCUGAUACAAAGCUGCAUAGAGAUGAUCUGUGAAAUUUUGUCUGGUAUCUUGACCCCGAAAACUCAAGAAAACUUCAUAUUCCCAUGGACCAAUACAAGUAGAAGUAGAAGAAGAAGACGCCCUUCGAAGAUCCAUCCCAACAAGCUUCUUCUCAACCUGUAAGAGUUCCCGGUUUAAACUCUUCCAAAUAGUGGAAGUAAUCAUCUCAAUAACAUGUGACUCGGGUCUGCAAGUGGCAAAGCAUGACACAUGGGGUGAGUCAAUGGUUGCAAACACCAGCAAAACAUGAAUUAAGUGCCCUGGAUCAUAUAUGCUUUUAGCUUUACUUAGAAAACACGAUUUAUCAUGCAAAGAAAAGAAGUUAUAGUUACCCAUUCCUUAAACACCAUCCGCUAAUCUUCGCCACAUUCCACAACGCUUCCCUCCACCUCUUUAUCUUCGACAUUCCUUCCUCGUCUGCCGUUCUUUCAUGAUCGGCUAAUGCUUCUCCAUAACUCCCCAUCUGUUUUCGCACAUUGGAGGGGUCCACCUGGUAGAAAAUCGGAAACACUAAUUGUCCCAUACACUGCUUCCACUCCAUGAUCUUUACCAGUUCAUCCAAACACCACCUAGAACGGGCAUAGUUUUUGGACAGAAUUACGACACAAAUCCUUGACUCUUCAAUAGCUUUUAAAAGUUCUGCUGCAAUCUCUUCUCCUCUUCGUAGCUCCUCAUCAUCUCUAAAGGUACGAAUCCCUUUCUGAUCCAAAGCUCUGUAGAGAUGAUCUGUAAAAUUAUGGCGAGUAUCUUCACCCAUAAAGCUCAAGAAAACAUCGUAAUUCCAUACACGAGUAGAAAUAGAAGAAGAAGAAGAAGAAGCUCUUUGACUUUGAGGGUCUGCAAAAGCCAUCCACUCUUUACUGUGAGAACUCACUCAACUUAACUUAAAUGGCAGGCAAUUUCUUCAUAAAAGGCGGAAAGAAAUGGCAGGAAAACACUGGUAGGUAGAAAGACAGCGAUGAACUCUGCCUUGGAAGGUCGGGAUGCUGUGUGCUAAAAUUGUUGUGAAGGUCUCCACUGUAUCCCGAAUCUUUUCUAUUGUUUACAAAUUAUUGUCCAUGUAUAUAUCAAAUAUAAAAAUGGAUUACAAUAUUUUUAAUUAUUAUUUUAUUUUAAAUGCAAGAAAGAAGUUUGAUUCCAGCUACCAUCCAUCCACAUACGAUGCCUAAAAAAAAAAUUGAUUGGGUUUAGCUUGACACAUGGGUCUGAACAAACCGGCUUUAGCAUUCAGGUUCUCAUGCCAUAUAUCCAUCAUCGUCUCCGAGGAAGAAAGAAAGCCAUGAAAUCUAGUUUAAAUGAAAUUAACCUUAAAGUAAGUGUUUAGUUUAGAUGUUUGCUAAAAAAUUAAUUUAAAACUUCAUCCGGUGAUAUGAAAUUUAAAUUUUAGAGUUUAUUUACAAAUUAUAAUUUAAAACCAAUUUAUUUUUAAAUAAUUCAGUUCUCUUGGGUUUUGUUUUAUAAAUUCAAUUUAUAUGACAUUAAUUUAAUUUAUAUUAUUAUUGAUUCAAUCAUGGCAGGUGGGGAUGGAGGACGAAAUUUCCUUCCAUUGACCUAAGAAAGAUUCAAGUCUUUUCCUCCCAAUAUUUAAAGACUCAUUGGGAUAUGUAGAUGACAAUGAGAAGGGAAUUAAUUGACUCAUUUUCUAAAAGGAGACACCACAAAAGCCCAAAGUUUAAAAUAAAGUAGCCUUUAUGCUGCCCAAACAAUUCACUACGUAUGACUAGCUCUUUCAACUACUACCACUAUAUGUUUUUAUCAUAAAUUAAUUUGUGGUUGAAAAAGUAUUUUAUGGUGAAAUAAUUUUUUUAUUAAAAAUUAUUAUGGUUAAAAAAAUAUUUUGGGGUAAAAAAGUCUUUUUCAUUAAAAAUUAUUUGUGGGGAUGCUUGAUAUAAGUUGGUGAGUAAUUAUUCUUAGGGUUUUGCUUUGAAAAAACUUGUGUAUAAAAUGAUUAUCUAGGAAUUAUAUUAAGUGAUUAUCUAUAUUUGUCACUUUUAAACUUUAAUAAAAAUUUAGUAAAAGAAUAGUUAUAAUUUAUUUAAUGUUACUAAAGUUAUAACUCUAAGACUGUAAAAAAAUAUUUUUGAAAUACAUUUGUGAAAGUGUUCAUUGGUAAAUUAGAAUAUAGAAUCUACUCUUAAUUUAAAAUAGUAUUAUUAAUUUCUUUGAUUGUAAUUAUAUUGUUAGUUUUUAAUUUAUAGUUGAACUUGUAUAUGCAAAGGAUUGGGUUAAACAUUGAUAGUAUUUUUUUAAUUCAUAAAUUAUUACAAUGUUAAAAUAAAUUUAAAAAUAAAUAAAUAAUGUAAAUUUUGAGGAGGGUACGAAAAAUGUGAUGAAAGUACAAAGAAUAUAAAAAUAGUAUAGGAAAUGUGAAGAAAGUACGAAGAAUUUAAGGAACGUACAAUGAAUGUAACGAGUGUAAGAAGAAUAUGAAGAAUAUACAAAAAAAAUGUGAGAAAAGAACGAAAAAUGUGAGGAAUGGAUAAAAAAUGUGAGGAAUUGAUAAAAUAAUGUGAAGAUAGUAUGAAGAAUGUGAGGAAUGUAUAAAAAAAAUGUAAGAAUGGUAUAAAAAAAUGUGAAAAUGGUAGGAAAGAAUAUGAAGUGAGUACGAAAAAUGGGAGAAAUAUACAAAAAAUGUGAGGAGUGUAAAGAUAAUAUGAGAAGGUAUAGAGAAUGUGAAAAUGACACAAAAAUGUGAGAAGAGUACUAAAAAUAUAUGGUAUGAAAAAACAAAGAGAUAUAUGUUCUUUUCUUAAAUGCGAUGUUGGAGUUAUAUUUUUUUUUAAUUAAAAUGUUUAAAAAUCUUAUAUUUGUUCUUAUCUUUUUAAAAAAUAUUUUAAUAAGAAAAAUGAUAUGGUUCAAAGCAAGCUUGAAAAUGACAUGUACAAAUUUCAAGUCUCCGAAUCAACUAAUUCUCAUUCAAAUUGUCAUUCUCAUGAGCCUUUUAAUCAUCCUAAUGUAGCAACUAAUAAUGCUAUUAUAGUACCUAUGCUACCAACUCUCCUAAAAGCAAUUGUUGUUAGGAAAGGUGUACCCUAACCUUAUAGUGCAUUCACCCAAGCGCCACACAAGGGGAAUUGAUGGAUGCAGCCAACCCUCCGAACUACUAACAAUCCCCCUCCCACCCCCAGCGACACCCCUGGGGUUCAAACCCAUGACCUCGGCUCUGAUACCACUUAUAGGACCUCAGACGCUACCAACUCUCCUAAAAGCAAUUGCUGUUAGGAAAGACGCAUACCCUAGCCUUAUAGUGCAUUCACCCAAGCGCCCACGGCGAACACAAGAGGAGUUGAUGGACGCGACCAACCCUUCACUCUGCCAACAACUAUCUCUAAGAUUUUUUAUAUUUGACAUUCUUGUUUAGGUCACCCUUCUAUUGAGAUUGUAAAGAAGGUGUUCUCACUCUCUAUUUUCUUAGUUGUAUCGUUUGCGUACAAAGGGUCAAGCUUUGUGAUUACUACUCAAAAAGUGCUAUUUCAUAGCUUGUAAUUAACUCUUUUAAACACUUUUGAGUAGUAGUUAUCACCUUUUAACCCAAUUAACAUAUUAAGGACCCUUGCAAUCAAUUCUAAUCAAAUUGUGUUAAGUUUUGGUGUUUUGAUAGCUUUUUGAUCACCAAAGCAAUCCGAGAUUGAGAAGAGUUCUUUGGAAUCCAUGGCAAAAGAUGUCCGGACAGGGCGUCCGGACACACCAUCGGAGGGCGGCGGAACGUGGGUUGUGGCAGGCUAUUGGAAUGACGUAGCAAGGCUUGUGCGCUUUAGCAAUGAUCCUGACAACAUAUCCGGAAUUCUGCUCCGUCGAUAUUACACCCGGAUGUCUCACAUCCGGAAUUCUGCUCCACCGACAUUCCACCCGGAUGUAUCACAUCCGGAAUUCUUCUCCGCCGACAUUCCAUCCGGAUGUCUCACAUCCGGAAUUCUGACGCCGGAUGGGAAAGGAGGGCGUUUCAACUUCCCCGGUCAGACAUAUCCGGAUCUUUUGAUAGCGCUUACCUGGAGAGUUUCGCAGCCAUUUUGCAUAGUGCCGCGGUGUUCUCCUGAAGCUUCCAAAUAUUUGCAACCGACAUUUUGAGAUAUUUUGCUUUAGAUAUUUGAUGUCUAAAUCCCCAAACUCUUCUUAUAACCCACCAAUUAUAGGAUUCCUUAGUUCUUAAGUUUGGAAAAAGGGUGAAUAACCCCUUAUAUAUAGUUUGUAAUCUUCUUUAGAAAAUAUCCAUCUCUCGGGAGCUUGUUCUCAGAGACGGAUCCUUUGUACAGUUUUGCAAGGAAGUAAAAUACAGAGCCUUUGCUCUGCCUUACCUUCUCGUUUUAAUUGUUUUGUAUAUUAUUUACUUUUUAUUUCUAGCCAAUCAAACUCUGAGGAUUUUUCCUCAGAGGAUGAGAGGCUAGGCUCUUCGUCUCUUGGAGUGAAGAAAGCCGGGUAAGUUUCCAUAUGCAUAAAUUGGAAGUUUUGUUGUUUUAGUUUUUAAUGAAGAAAAAGUGUGACCCGUUAAUGGUUUUUAUCUUUUUAGUUAACUUAAAACGCCUUUAAAUCACCUGGGCCAACACUUGAUAAGGCAAGUGAUCUCCAUCCAUUGAGAUGCACUAGUUUAUCUCUUGCGAGCCUUUGGGAAGUGGUUUAAAGGUAGGAUUUUCUAGAAUAGCCAACACUUGGUAAGCUUUUGGACUCCAAGGAGACAUCCAUUAGUUAUCUCUUGCGAGCUUUUGACGGGUAAUCCAAGGUUAAAGAUCACCUUGAAUGGUAAAUGCUAGGUGAGAGGCAUGAGCCAUUGCAAGGUGCAUCAGUGAGAGGGAUUUAAUGUUUGAACCCAUUAAAAGGAAGCAUCUGUACCACACCGGUUAGAGAAUUAACUAUAUGUUAAUUCUCUAAAGCGAGGAAAAGAAACAAGUGACCGGAACUCCCUUUUUGUACAAGGAAUCUAAGCCCAGUGAUCUAAACUCCAAGAAACACUUUUCUUUGUAAUUAAAAUCAGUUACUAUUAUUUUUGGUUAGCUUAAAACCAAUCCUUUUUCAAACAUCUUUAUGUUUUCUUUUAAAGCUAACCUUGAAAUGAAAAGGCACCAAUUCAUCUUUGAAUUAAUAUCAAUUGUGAAAUGAAAACCCAUCCUAGUGAACGAUCCUAGAGCCACUAUGCUAUAGUAGCUUUGUCUUUGCUACCCUAGUUCAUGGUGUAAUAGGUUAUAAAUUUUGUUGAUUACUCCCUGAGAACUACAAUCAAGGGAUACCAGCUGGACACGAAUCAGCUAAGACACCAAUUGGGAACGAAUCACUUUGUCAAUCAAUAUUUGUUCACUUCAAAAAUCUUGUAGAAAACCACUUUAACAUUAAGAUAAAAUUAUACCCAAUUGAUGGUAGGGAUGAGUUUAAACCUUCUCAUUCUUAGUUAAUCAUGACAUUAAACAUUGAUUGUCUUGUCCCAAAACUCCAUAGUAGAAGGCUCAGGUAGUAUGUAAGAAUCAUUAUGUUGUAGGUUAGCCUUGUUUGCUCAAGCAUUUAUGCCUUUCAAAUUUUGGGUGUAUGCAUUUCAUGUUGCUAUUUUUCUCAUAAGAAAAAUGGCUUCUUAUAUGUUAAACUUUCAAUCUCCCUAUCAGGUUCUUUUUAGAUCAAUUCUUGAUUAUUCUUCCUUUAAAUCCUUUGGGUGUCUUUGUAAUCGCUUUAUUCAUCUUUUUAAUAAAUAGAAACUACAAUAUUGGUCUACUAAAUGUCUUUUUGUCAGUUAUCACACUCCUCACAAAAUGUAUCUUUGUCUUUAUUAAACCUUUGAUAAAGUUUACAUCACUCAUCAUGUUGUUUUUGAUGAAUCUUGUUUUCUUGUGGUUGUAGGCACUCUCCCUAGUGUUUCUACUAACUCAUCUCCUUUCCUUAUUUUUCCACUUGCUUUUAUUCAUGUCUUUUUCUUCUCCUUCUCAUGGUUCCUUCAAUACUUUACAUUCUACUCAUCAUUCUUCUUUUGUUUCCCCUAUGUCAUCCCCUAUUCAACUUGUGGUUUUGGACUCUAAGAUGCAUCCAUUACCUCCAACUAUUAAUACUCAUCCUACGCUCACUCAUGUCAAAGCUGGUGUUUUUAAACCUAAGACCUAACAAGCUAAUGCUUCCAUUGAGUUAUCUAAUUUUUAGCAAUUUAUCAAGGAUCUUCAUUGGUAAAAAGCUAUGGAAACUAAUUAUGAUGCCUUAAUGGAGAAUGAUACCCAUACACUAGUUUUUCUACAUUCAAAAGCUAAUAUUGUUGGUUGCAAGUAGGUUUAUAAGUUCAAGUACAAUCCUAAUGGCAACAUUGAACAUUUUAAGUCAUGCUUGAUUGCCAAGGGAUUUCAUCAAACACCUGCCAUUGACUGGUUUUAGUCCAGUGGUCAAAGUGGCUACUAUUUGAAUUUUUCUCAUGAUUACUCUCUCAUUUGGUUGGAUGAUUUGCCAAUUAGAUGUGCAUAAUGCCUUUUUAUAUGGUGAUUUACAUGAGCAAGUAUUUAUAUCCUAGCCAUAAGGAUUUUUUCAUCCCAGUAUCUUGACUAUGUUUGCAAGCUUAACAAAGCUCUCUAUGACCUCAAAUAGGCUCCUCAUGCCUGGUUCACCAAAUUAAGAUUGGCCUUAAGCAGCUUGGGUUUUAGAUGUGUAAGGGAUGAUAAUUUAAUGUUUGUUUAUUAUUUAGCCUCAUAUCUUAUCAUUAUCUUGGUCUAUGUUAAUGGUAUAUUAGUUAUUGGUAGUAGCUCUACUCAAGACCCUCAAUUGAUUGUUUUCUUUAUUGCUUCCUUUCUUUAUAUGAUCUUGGUGUUAUCAAUUAUUUUUUUGGUGUUGAGGUCACUCAUACAUUUGGAGCCCUUCUUCUUACUCAACAUAAGUACAUUAAGGACUUGCUUAAUUGCACAAAGAUUCUCACUUGUAAACCAACUGCUACUCCUAGUUGUGUUAGUCCAACCUUGCCUCAAUUUGAUACUUGAUAAGUCCAUUUAGAGCAACUUAUUAUCUAUGAUUUAACUUGAUAUUUCAUUAGUUUAAGAGUAAUUUUAUCUCAACAAUCAUUAUUUUUAUUGUUUUAGGUCUCAAAUAGCCAAGAGUAUGAAAAGUGAGCAAUAUGAGGCAAAAUUGGAAGAAAAAAUGAAGUUUGACGGCCUCUUACGUGACAAUUUGCGUAACUCACCCGAGAAGAAAGCGCCAUUGCGGGAAGGACUUAAGCGCCACGGCGUACGCAUGUGGAAAAUCAUAGUUGGGGACUCGAGACAAAACCGUCGCAAUUGGAGAAGCUUGUCCGUAGCGGCGCCCAAAGGAAUUUCAGAAAUCCUAAGAACCCGAGACUAAAGCGCCACGGCGGGAGACACUGAGCGCCACGACCUGAUAUUUAAAAUUUGAAAAUUAUUCGUCCUUAUCUCAUUCUGUUCAGAUCAGAAUUAGGUGGGACAUCAGUUUACGAUAUUGGGGCUAUAAAUAGACGAAAGUAGGGUUUAUUUGGGGAUUUUGGAGACUUGGAAGAAUGAGGAUCUUGAAGACCUAGGAGAAGAGAGAGCUUGGAGAACAAGAAGGAAAUUUGUAGAUUUUCUUCUAUUUGUCUGGUUUAUUCUUCCAUUUUCUUUAUGAUUGUAAUUCAAGAUGUUUGUUCUUCAUCUUAAGAUGAACUAAUUUCCUUUGUCUAGGGCUGAGAUGUAGCUCAAUCACGAUUUUUGUUUUUGAUUGGUUUAAAUUAAUUCUCUGUUUUGCAUCAAUUUAUUUGUGUAUCUAUUCUGCGCUUAAUGCUCUCAAUUCUUAAGGGCCCAAGUUUUGAUUGAUUUUAUGAUUUAGGUUGAUAACGAGAGUUAGAAUCUAAAUUAAAUCCAUAGAAUAGAUUACGUUAGAAUGAAUGAAUAGUAGAGAUACAUUACCAUGUUUUAAGAGAUUAAUAGUUAAAUCUAUAAUAAUUCCAUAGAUCGUAAUUACUCCUUUAGACUUAAAUUCACAUAAAGAUAUGUUAGGUUAGUAAUUUAAGGAGCAAUCUGAUACAUUUUGAGAGAAAAUAUUGGUUGGCUUAGGGAAAUAAAUCUCCAAAUAAAGCAUAACAGGAAUUAGGUCAAGCAAUCAAUUGCAUGAAAAGUGUUUGUAGUGAAAUCAAAAGCCCUAGAUCGUUUAAAUCAUAAGAGUUUGAAUUUAUUUUCUUUAAUUGUUUAAGUUGUUUUCUUUUACAACUUUAAAUAUUUGGUUGAUCAAAUAGUAAUAGAAAUAAUAAAUUUUAGUAAUUAGUAGCAUAGUCCUUGUGGGUUCGAUAUCCGUACUUAGGUACAAUUAUAUCACUUGAACAAUUCGUUUACUUACGAACCAACACAUCAAGUUUUUGGCGCCGUUGUCGGGGACUAUUUGUUACUAAUAUUAAUUCCAGUUAUUUAUGUGCUAAUUUGAUUUAUUUUCUUUUUAUUCUCACUCAAUUGUUUUUCUUUUUUUAGGUUUUCUUAAUGUGUGAGACGUACAAGGAGUCUGAACUUAGUACCAAUCGACCUUGAUAUCAACAAAACACUACGAAAACUAAAUCGAAAACGCAAGCAACAAGUAAUUCAAGAGGUUCCUGCAAUGGGGGAUGAGAAUCAUGUUGAUAAUGGAGUCCCAAACAGGGUACUCAAGGAUUAUUAUGUUCCUAAUGUGGGUGUCUCAAGCAUUCGAAGGCCACCCAUCCAAGCUAACAAUUUUGAGAUCAAACCGGUAAUUAUUCAAAUGAUUCAAUCUUCGAUUCAAUUUGGAGGAUUGGCCAAUGAUGAUCCUAAUCUACAUAUUGCAAAUUUCUUAGAAAUUUGUGAUACCUUCAAGCAUAAUGGUGUGACCGAUGAUGCAAUAAGACUUCGAUUGUUUCCAUUCUCUCUAAAUAACAAGGCUAAGGCAUGGUUAAUUUCAUUACCUCCGGGGACAAUCACUACAUGGGAUGGACUAGUUAACGCUUUUCUUACUAAAUCCUUCCCACCAGAAAAAUCUGCAAAAAUGAGGAAUGAUAUAACUAACUUUUUACAGCAAAAUCAAGAGUCUCUUUAUGAAGCUUGGGAAAGGUUCAAAGAUCUUUUAAGAAAGUGCCCACACCAUGGCUUACCAAUGUGGAUGCAAGUGCAAACGUUCUACAAUAGUUUGCACCCUAAUACUCAAACCAUGGUGGAUGCAGCAAGCGGAGGAGCUUUUAUUAAUAAGACAUCGGAUGAGGGAUAUCAACUUAUAGAAGUGAUGGCUAGCAACAAUUUCUUGAAGUCUACGGAUAGAAAUGCACAAAAGAGGACAGUCGGGGUUCAUGAUAUCGAUGCUUUUAAUAAUUUGGCUGCUCAAGUUGCAAUUUUAAAUAAUAAUUUUAAGAAACUGAAUGUUGCUACUGUUUCUAAUCUAGUUUGUGAAAAUUGUGCAGGUAAUCAUCAUAACUUAGAGUGUCAAGUUGGAGGCCCAUAUGAAGCAAAUCCAUCCAAACAAGUGAACUAUGUGACCAAUAAUCAACGUCAAUACAAUCCCAACUCCAAUUAUUUCAACCAAGGGUGGAGGAAUCAUCCGAACUUCUCAUGGAGUAACAACACUCAUGUGCAAAAACCACCUUCCGGUUUCCAAUCUCAAGAUAAUAAGCCAAACUUGGAAGAAGUUUUCACCCAAUUUAUACAAAAGACUAACGAUUUUAUUGAUGAUACUAAAGCAAAUUUCAGGAACCAAGGUGCAAGUAUUCGCAACCUUGAGCAUCAAGUGAGGGAGAUUUCUAAGUUAUUGACGGAGAUAACACAAAGAGCACUUCCUAGUAUCACAAAGACGAAUCCUAAGGAGCAUGUAAAGGUCAUAACUCUUAGAAGUGGGAAGUAGUUAGAACAAUCAAAGGAAGCCGAGUAGCAAGCAAAUAAGGAGAAUACUUCAGUUCCCAAGGAACAAGAUGCUUCCACUUCUAUAUAGCCAUCUAUUCCAAAACCAUCAUCUAAUGCCAUUCUUUUUCCUCAAAGGCUGAAAAAACAAAAUUUAGAUAAGCAAUUUUCUAAAUUUAUUGCUAUUUUUAAGAUCUUACAUAUCAAUCUUCCUUUUGUAGAUAUGCUGGAGCAAAUGCCGAAAUAUGCUAAAUUCUUAAAGGAGGUGUUAUCAAAUAAGAGGAAAUUGAUGGACAAUGAGAAUGUGAUGCUCACUGAAGAGUGCAACACCAUUCUUCAAAGGAAGCUUCCUCCUAAGCUAAAAGAUCCAGGGAGUUUCACUAUACCUUGCACUAUUGGUGAUUUUUAUUUUGAUAAAGUUUUAUGUGAUCUAGGUGCAAGUGUUAAUUCGAUGCCUCUUUCUAUUUUCAAGAAACUUGGACUAAGGGAAGUAAACCCUACUACGGUAUGUUUGCAGCUUGCGGAUAGAUCUAUCAAACAUCCAAGAGGCAUUAUUGAGGAUGUUUUGUUAAAAGUGGAUAAGUUUAUAUUUUUGGCUGAUUUUAUUGUAUUAGAUAUGGAAGAAGACCGGGAUGUUCCACUUAUAUUAGGAAGACCUUUUCUUGCUACAGAUAGAACUCUUAUAGAUUUUCAUCAAGGUAAGUUGAUUUUAAGGGUUCAAGAUGAAAAAGUUACGUUUAAUGUUUUUGAGGCUAUGAAAUUUCCAUCUGAUAUUGAUGCAUGCUUUGCAAUCAGUGUUUUUGAUAGGGUGGUAGCUAAAACAUUUCAUGAAACUUUUCCCACUUCACCUUUAGAAAAUUGUAUAAUGAAUGGUAGAAAUUUAGGAACUCUUUGUGAUGAUGAUGAUGAUAUAAUUGAAUGUGUUAAUAAUCUUGAUGCAUUGCUAACUUAUGAGUUUCCAAGAAAGUUAAAAUUUGAGGAAUUAGAGGCCAUUCAUGUUAACAAUCAUACAUUAAAGAAGAAGCUUCCUAAACUUGAACUUAAAUUGUUGCCAUCUCACCUCAGGUAUGCUUUCUUAAAAGAUUCUAGUUAAUAUCCUUUUAUUAUUAACUCUUCUUUGAAUGAUUUGGAGGAAUAAAAACUAUUAAGAGUUUUGAGGGAGCAUAAGAAAGCUAUUGGAUGGACUAUUGAUGACAUUAAUGGAAUAAGCCCAUCGAUUUGUAUGCAUAAGAUCCUAUUUGAAGAAAGCUACAAGCCAACAGUUCAACCACAACGAAAAUUAAAUCCAUCUAUGCAAGAAAUGGUUAAGAAAGAGGUUGUGAAGCUUUUGGAUGCAGGUAUAAUUUACCCAAUCUCGGAUAGUACAUGGGUAAGUCCAAUUCAAGUAGUUCCUAAGAAGGGAGGUAUAACUGUAGUGAAGAAUGAUAAUAACGAACUUAUCCCCACAAGAAUGAUAACCGGAAGCUUAAUGAUGCCACAAGAAAUGAUCACUUUCCUUUACCCUUCAUUAACCAAAUGGUGGAGAGACUUUCCGGUCAUGAUUAUUAUUGUUUUCUAGAUGGAUAUUCAGGAUACAAUCAAAUCCCCAUAGCACCGGAAGAUCAAGAGAAGACCACUUUUACAUGCUCAUAUGGCACUUUUGCUUACUGACGAAUGCCAUUCGAUUUAUGCAACACUCCGGCCACUUUUCAACGUUGCAUGAUGUCCAUUUUCUCUGAUAUGAUUGAAAAAUGCAUUGAAGUGUUUAUGGAUGAUUUUUAUGUUUUUGGUUCUUUUUUUUAUGAUUGCCUUUCUAAUCUUUCUUUGGUUUUGUAGCGAUGUGUUGACACAAACUUGGUUUUAAAUUGGGAAAAAUGCCAUUUUAUGGUAAGAGAAGGUAUUGUGUUAGGACAUCGAAUUUCUGUAAAAGGAAUUGAGGUGGAUCGUGCUAAGAUAGAUUUGAUUGAGAAGUUGACACCACCUACAAAUGUAAAGGGAGUUAGAAGUUUUCUUGGUCAUGCAGGAUUUUAUAGAAGAUUCAUUAAGGACUUUUCAAAAAAUUUCUAAACCUCUUUGUGAUUUAUUGGCUAAGGAUGCAGUUUUUGAUUUUUCUAAAGAAUGUUUAAAUGCUUUUGAAACUCUUAAGUCUAAACUGAUAUCUUCUCCUAUUAUUGUUGCACCUGAUUGGGAAUUGUCUUUACAUUGAUGUGUGAUGCUAGUGACUUUGCUAUAGGUGCUAUUUUAGGGCAACGGAAAAGUAAAAUUUUUCACGUGAUUUAUUUUGCUAGCAAGGUUUUAACAGAGGGUCAAGUAAAUUAUGCAACCACUGAUAAAGAACUUUUAGCAAUUGUUUAUGCUUUUGACAAAUUUCGAUCUUAUUUGAUAGGGUCUAAGGUGAUUGUCUAUACUGACCAUUCAACUUUGAGGUAUUUAUUUGCUAAGAAAAAGGCAAAGCCAAGGCUACUUUGUUGGAUCUUGCUAAUACAAGAAUUUGACUUGGAAAUCAAAGACAAGAAAGGAACUGAGAAUUUAGUUGCAGAUCAUCUUUCUCGGAUGAAUCAUGUGGAGCCUAAUGAAGAAGUUGAUGAUGAUAUUAAUGAAAGAUUUCCUGAUGAGCAACUUUUUGCAGUUGAAAAAGCGUCAUGGUAUGCAGACAUUGUUAACUAUUUGGCUAAGAAGAUUUUGCCUCCCAAGCUUACUUAUCAAAGGAGGAAGAAGUUUUUCUCAGAUCUCAAGUACCAUUUAUGGGAUGAUCAUUUCCCAUAUAAGCAAUGCGACGAUCAAAUAAUUAUGAAAUGUGUGCCGGAAGAGGAGAUGGAGAGUAUUCUGCAUCAUUUUCAUUCUCGUGAAGUUGGAGGACAUUUUGGAGCUACUAAAAUUGCAGCCAAAGUUUUACAAUCAGGAUUUUAUUGGCCUUCUCUUUUUAAAGAUUCAUUUAAUUUUGUUGCCAAUUGUGAUAGAUGUCAAAGGGUUGGAAUAUAUCUAGGGAAAAUGAGAUGCCUCUAAUAAAUAUUUUAGAAAUAAAAUUGUUUGAUGUAUGGGGUAUUGAUUUUAUGGGUCUUUUUCCAUCCUCUUAUGCUAAUGGUUUUAUUUUGGUUGUUGUAGAUUACGUUUCCAAAUGGGUUAAAGCUGAGGCACUGCAGACCAAUGAUGCUAGAGUGAUGGUUAAAUUUCUUAAGAAGAAUAUUUUUGCAAGAUUUGAUACACCAAGAGCUAUCAUAAGUGAUGGGGGAUCUCAUUUUUGUAAUAGUCAAUUUGAGUCACUAUUGGGUAAAUUGGAGUAACACAUCGUAUAGCUACUCCUUAUCACCCGCAAACAAGUGGUCAAGUUGAGGUAUCUAAUCGUGAGCUCAAGCGAAUUCUGGAGAAAACAGUUAAUUCUUCUAAGAGGGAUUGGUCAAGUAAGUUGGAUUACGCUUUAUGGGCUUAUAGAACGGCAUUCAAGACACCUAUUGGGAUGUCUCCAUAUCAAUUGGUUUAUGGCAAAUCGUGUCAUCUUCCGGUUGAGUUGGAGCACAAAUCAUUUUGGGUUGUUAAACUUUUGAAUUUUGACUUACAAACUGCAGGGGAAAAGAGAUUGUUACAAUUAAAUGAGAUGAAAGAGUUUCGUAAUAAUGCUUAUGAGAAUGCUAAGAUUUAUAAGGAUAAGGCAAAAAGAUGGCAUGAUAAGCAUAUUCAGAAGCGCAAUUUUGAAGUUGGUCAAUAAGUUCUUCUUUUCAACUCACAUCUCAAGCUUUUUCUGGGUAAAUUAAGAUCGCGAUGGUCUGGUCCAUUCAUAGUUAACAAGGUUUUACCAUCAGGAGCAAUAGAAGUUCAUCAUCCAUCAAAGGAGACUUUUACAGUGAACGGGCAACAAUUGAAGCACUAUUUGGGAGGAAAUUUUAGCACCGAACGGGUGUCUGUUGUGCUUUCAAUUCCAAAGUACAAGAGUGGAGAAAGUCUAGCUAACAACUUAAAUUUUAGCGCUUUUCGAAAGACAACUCGAUUUAUUUUGAGCAAUUUUUAUUUUCGAAUCUUGAAUUAUUUUUAGUUGUUAGGAUUUUUAUUAAUUUUGUUUUUAUUUUGUUUCAAAGUUAAUUUAGUUAGUGAAUUUUUAGAGUUAAUUGUUUGGUAGUUUAGGAUUAAUUUUUAUUUUUUUUAUUUUUAACUAUUUUUCCUUUAUUUUCAGGAGAAAAAGGGCUUUUUACAUACCCAGUGAAAGGAGCCGCAGCGGGAGGCAUUGAGUGUCGCGGUUGACUCUUCAAAUGCUACUUAUAAAGGACCCGAGGCUAAACCACUGCAGCUAGUAAGGCUUUGCGCCGAAGCAGUCACCCCCAAUUGAAUUUCUCUUAUAAAAAUUAGGGCUUUGCGCCGCGGCGAAAAGACUUGAGCACCGCUACGCGAUGAGUAAAUGGGAGUUUUAAAAGGGCCAUUUUCCUUCAUUUUUCACAAACAACUUUUCUCAUUUUCUCAUCUUCUCUCCAUUUUCUCUCUAUCCUUCGAUCCUAAUCAUAUUUAAACUCCGAAUUCUUUGUUUUCUUUUGGGAUUACUCAUGGGUUUUGGAGAUUUGGCAAGAUUAAAGCUUGAUUUGGUGUAAUUUUGGAAGGAAAAUUGCAUAUCCAAUCCGUCUUCUUGUUGGGUCACGAUUUGGGGUGAUUGUUUCUACCUUUUUGCUGCAAUUUGGACACUACUAAAUGAUAAAUGAGCGAUUUUUUUAUGUGCCCCAAAAAUUCAUCAAAAAUGGAGUUUUUUCUUUUCCUUACUUUAUUUUCUUUUGUUCAUUGAGGGCAAUGAAAGUAAUUAAGUUUGGGGGGAACGAUUAAUUUCUUCUGGGUUUAGCUAAGUUCAGUUAAAAAUGUUUUUUUCGAAACUUCUUGAUUUUUUAGCAUUAUUUUUCGAGUUGAUUCAUAUAGUCAAUGAUAAUAUCUUGAUUGCUAUGAUGCGUGGUUGUUAAGAUGAAAUUUGAUAUUGCUUAGAUUUUGAGGAUAAUUUGGAUGUUUGUUUUGUUUGGAUUUGAGAUUCAAUGUUGGUCUAGUAUGGUGAUUUUGAUAACAAUCCCAUUUUGCAUGCUUAGAGACAUUUUAUUUAGACAAUUGUGGAUGAUAGAACUUGGCUGAUUGUUACUCAAGGUGAAAUCCUAGAUUUUCAUGUUACUUAGGAGAUGAUUUAGGCCAUUUUUAGAUCGUUUGAGCUUUUCUUACCUUACCCAAAAUAUUUUAUCCGCUAGUUACCUAUUUGAGCCUUUUUAUAUAAUGUUAGCCUUAUUUUUCUUUCUUUAAGCCUAUCUUCCUACCUAUUUUAAGCCUAAACACUUAUCCUUACCCUUGAUGAGAAUAUUUACAUGUUUGUUAUUUAUUUUGUUUGAGAGCAAAAAUAUCUUAUUGAGGAAAAUAUGGAAAUGUGUAUUGUUAACCUAGUUAUAAUAGAGAAAUAAGUUUGGGGGUUUUGAAGAAUAAAAGGAAGAGUGUGCAUAAAAAAAAAAAAAAAUUGGCAUUAGGGUGAAAUAUGUGAAAAGUGCUUAUGAGCACGAAAGAAAGAAAAAGUAUGAAAAGUUUCAAGAAGGUAGGAAGUGAUGUUAAUAUUAAAAGCUCCUUGAGUCUGUUACAUUUUGUUCAAUUGUGAAUGUUCUCAUUCUUUGAAUUUAUCCUUUCCAUUCUUUGUGAGCCAACACCUUAGCCUAACAUUACAAGCUUAUUAAAGACCUUUUGAUCCGAGGUAACAUGAUGAAUAUACAUUAGUGUAGGAUAGCAAGAAAGCCAAGCCUAUGAGAUUCGAUAUCAUACAUUACUUGUUAGAGGUCGACUUUGUCUAUAAUUGUUUUUAUAAAAUCAUUUAGGUAGUAGAAUUGAUUGUUUGAAAGGUUGCUUACUUGGAUUUUUCAUAAGAUUGAAGGUUUGAAUGGAAUGAAUGUCUGAGUAAUCCUUCUUGAUUCGUGCCCCGUUAGUGUACCUUGAUUUUUGGUCCCCUGAUGGGAGUAAUCAACAAAAUUUAUAACCUAUAUCACCAUGCACUAGGAUAGCAUAAGCUAGUAUAGCAUAGUGGCUCUAGGAUCGUUCACUGGGAAGGGUUUUCAACUUACAAUUGAUACCAAUCCAAAGUUGAAUUGGUCCCUUUUCAUUUCAAGGUUAGCUUCAAAAGAAAACAUAAACUUUGGUUGAAAAAGGUUUGGUUUCAAGCUAACUAAAAAGAAAGUAAUGGGAAUUACUUAUAAAGAAAAAGCGUCUCUUGGAGUUUUAGGAUCACUGGGGUCAGGCUCCUCAUGCAAAAACAGAGUUCCGGUCACUUUGGUUCUUUUCCUCGCAUUGGAGAAUUAACAUAUAGUUCAUUCUCCAACCGGUGUUGUACAGAUGCUUCCCUUUUAUGGAUUUUAGUACUAAUUCCCUCUCACUGAUGCAUCUUGCAAUGGCUCGUGCCUUUCACCUAGCAUUUACCAUUCAAGGUGAUCAUUAACCUUGGAUUUCUCUUCUCAAGCUCGCAAGAGAUAACUAAUGGAUGCCUCCUUAGAGUCCAAAAGCUUACCAAGUGUUGGCAAUUCUAGAAAAUCCUACCUUCAAGUCACCUCCCAAAAGCUUGCAAGAGGUAAACUAGUGCAUCUCCAUGGACGGAGAUCAGUUGCCUUACCAAGUGUUGGCUCAGGUGAAUUGAAGGCGUUUUAAGUUAACUAAAAACAUAGAAAUCAUAAACGGGUUACACUUUCUCUUCAUUAACAACUGAAACAACAAAACUCUCAAUUAUUGCAUUCGGGACCUUACCCGGCUACCUUAGCUCCAAGAGACAAAAAGGCCUAGCCACCCAUUCUCUGAGGAAACAUCCUCAGAGCUUGUUUGGCUAGUAAUGAAAAAUAUAAUCAAAUUGAGUAGGUAAGGCAGAGCAAAGCUCUGUAUUUUACUUCCUUUCAAACUAUACAAAAAGUUGUCUCUGAGAACAAGCUCCCGAGCUCCCCUUUUGUAAAGAAAAUUACAACUAUAUAUAAGGGGUUAUUCACCCUUUUUCCAAACUUAAUAACUAAGGAAUCCUAUAAUUGGUGGGUUACAAGGAGAGUUUGGGGAUUUAGACAUCAAAUAUCUAAAGCAAAAUAUCUAAAAAUGUCGGUCUCAAAUAUCUGGAAGCUUCAGGAGAACACCGCGGCACUGUGCAAAAAUGGCUGCGAAACUCUCCGGGUAAGCGCUAUCAAAAGAUCCAGAUAUGUCUGACCGGGGAAGUUGAAACGCUCUCCUCUCCCAUCCGGCGUCAAGUGCUGGAUGUGAAAUAUCCGGAUGGAAUGUCGGCGGAGCAGAAUUCCGGAUGUAAGACAUCCGAGUGGAAUGGCGGCGCACUUUCCUAUCCGGACUCCCUCAGGGAGAAGCACACGGCACUCGUGAUCAUCACACCCCGGACGAUAGCAUAUCCUAUUCGGAUAUGUUGUCCGGAUUAUUGACGCCCAUGUUCCUCCGCCCUCCGAUGGUGUGUCCGGACGCCCUGUCCGGACAUCUUUUGCCAUGGAUUCCAAAGAACUCUCCUCAAUCUCGAAUUGCUUUGGUGAUCAAAAAGCUAUCAAAACACCAAAACUUAACACAAUUUGAUUAGAUUUGAUUGCAAGGGUCCUUAAUAUGUUAAUUGGGUUAAAAGGUAAUAACUACUACUCAAAAGUGUUUAAAAGAGUUAAUUACAAGCUAUGAAAUAACACUUUUUGAGUAGUAAUCACUUCUCAUUUUUGUAAUGUUCGAUAGAUUCUUGACGGCUUUGUGUUAUUAGUAAUUUUUGAGAUAAUAUUAUGAAUCAAACUUGACAAAUGAAUUUGAUUCUAGAAGUUUGAGAAGUUUUGAGUCUUGAUUUAGUUUGUGAUUUAAUUAUUUUUAGAAUAGUUUUAGGUUAGAUUUUAUUUUGUUUUUGCUCGAGGACUAGCAAAAUGUUAAGUUUGGGAGAAUUUGAUAAGUCAAUUUAGAGCGACUUAUUAUCUAUGAUUUAACUUGAUAUUUCAUUAGUUUAAGAGUAAUUUUAUCUUAACAAUCAUUAUUUUUAUUGUUUUAGGUCUCAAAUAGCCAAGAGUAUGAAAAUGGAGCAAUAUGAGGCAAAAUUGGAAGAAAAAUAUGAAGUUUGGCGGCCUCUUACGUGACAAUUCGCGUAACUCACCCGAGAGGAAAGCUCUGCCGCGGGAAGGACUUAAGCGUCGCAGCGUACGCAUGUGGAAAAUCAUAGUUGGGGACUCGAGACAAAACCGCCACGUCUGGAGGUGCUUGUCCGCCGCGGCGCCCGAAGGAAUUUUAGAAAUCCUAGGAACCUGAGACUAAAGCGCCACGACGAGAGACAAUGAGCGCCACAACCCGAUAUUUAAAAUUUGAAAAUUAUUCAUCCUUAUCUCAUAUGUUCAGAUUCGAAUUAGGUGGGACGUCAAUUUACGAUAUUGGGGCUAUAAAUAGACGAAAGUAGGGUUUAUUCGGGGAUCUUGGAGACCUGGAAGAAGGAGGAUCUUGAAGACCUAGGAGAAGAAAGAGCUUGGAGAACAAGAAGGGGAUUUGCAGAUUUCCUUCUAUUUUUCUGGUUUAUUCUUCCCUUUUCUUUAUGAUUGUAAUUCAGGAUGUUUGUUCUUCAUCUCAAGAUGAACUAAUUUCCUUUGUCUAGGGCUGAGAUGUAGCUCAAUCACGACUUCUAUUUUUGAUUGGUUUAAAUUAAUUCUCUGUUUUGCAUUAAUUUAUUUGUGUAUCUAUUCUGCGCUUAAUGUUCUCAAUUCUUAAGGGCCCAAGUUUUGAUUGAUUUUAUGAUUUAGGUUGAUAACGAGAGUUAGAAUCUAAAUUAAAUCCAUAGAAUAGAUUACGUUAGAAUGAAUGAAUAGUAGAGAUACAUUACCAUGUUCUAAGAGAUUAAUAGUUAAAUCUAUAAUAAUUCCAUAGAUCUUAAUUACUCCUUUAGACUUAAAUUCACAUAGAGAUAUGUUAGGUUAGUAAUUUAAGGAGCAAUCUGAUAUAUUUCGAGAGAAAAUAUUGGUUGGCUUAAGGAAUUAAAUCUCCAAAUAAAGCAUAACAGGAAUUAGGUCAAGCAAUCAAUUGCAUGAAAAGUGUUUGUAGUGAAAUCAAAAGCCCUAGAUCGUUUAAAGCAUAAGAGUUUGAAUUUAUUUUCUAUAAUUGUUUAAGUUGCUUUCUUCUACAACUUUAAAUAUUCGGUUGAUCAAAUAGUAGUAGAAAUAAUAAAUUUUAGUAAUUAGUAGCAUAGUCCUUGUGGGUUCAAUAUCCGUACUUAGGUACAAUUAUAUUACUUGAAUGAUUCGUAUACUUGCAAACCAACACAUCAAUAGGGAACCAUUUCUUCAUGUCUUUCUUCAUCGCAAUAUUGUUAGUGUUCAACAAUAUGUCUUCAUUACCCAAACAAACCUAUCUUUUAUUGUUAAUAAGUUUGUCAGUUCAUGUCUCAACUUACUUCUACAUAUUGUUUAUCUAUGAAACACACUUUGCAUUAUUUGAUAGGAUCUUUAUAUUAGUAUCCUUUUACAAGAAAUUGAUCGUCUUCAUUUUCAAGCUUAUUCAAAUUCUGAUACAGUCUAGGCUCUUGUCCUAAUGACAAGAAAAACAAUAAUGAUUAUUGUGUCUUCCUUAGGUUGAAUUUGGCUUCUUAGUCCUCUAAUAAGCAAUGGGUUAUUUCAAGGAGUAGUGUUGAAUUAGAAUAUUGUGGUCUAACUACUACAAUUACUAAACUCACUUAGAUCUACUCUAUGCUUUAGGAACUGUGUAUAGCAUAGGUUACCCCUCCAAUUCUGUGGUGUGAUAAUCAAAAUACUGCUUAUCUUGCUACAAAUCCUAUCUUUCAUGCUCGCCUGAAACAUAUUGAACUCGAUAUCUGACAAAAUGUUACAUAAUGAACUUGUUAUUCAAUAAAUUCCCUCUACUGAUCAACUUACUGAUGUGCUUGUUAACCGAUUGUAGUAAACUUUGUGUUGUUCCCAAAUUGAUUAACUUGCGACGGGAUGAUAAAGAGUAGAUUGCCACCUCAACCUAACUUCUAGAAUAAUCUAUUAGCUGCAACAACUAUUUGUUAUGGAUACUACACACCCAUGUUUUGCUCUUGUUAGAUCUAGUGAAUUAGACAUUAAAGCUUAAAUAAAUAUUUAACAUCACAAGCUCAUGAGUUAGGUGAUUUUUUAGUUCAUUCUCUAGAAUUUUCAAUUUACUUCCAAAGCCUAUAAAUGACCAAUUGUUGAAACAUUGUACUAACAUAUUUUUUUUUUUCCUCAAAGCAUAAAAAUCACAAAUUGUUCGAAUAUUGGAUUGACCUUUUUUUUUCCCUUAUACUUUCGUAGUUGAAUUCAUAAUUUUAGCAAUAAAAAGGGACUAAUUACUUCCAUUAUUGAUAUUGAUGAAACAAUUCCAAUGUAUAUAUAUUGACUAGAUUUAAUUCAGUUGAUUUGAGAUUGAGGAUGAUUUUAUAUGAAUUUAAUGCAUUUUCAAGAUGUUUCAAUGAAGAAUUAAUAGAUAGCAUUUAGUAUGAUUACCAAAUUUGGCUAAAGAAAAAAGGAACUAAUGCCAUUGAAUGAUGACUUAUUCUCUUCCAUUUAAUAAAGGUUAUGUUUUUUAUAUUAUAUAUUUCUUGAUGUAAUUUUCUUUUUUUCAUUCUUCUAGGAUAACUCAUGAGUUUAUUAUUAUUUUUUGGAAUAUAAGAUUUUGCUCAGAGAAUUAGAAAAUGCAAUGAAAUUGAAAAUAUAUAAUUAAAACUUGAAUUUUAAUUUAAAUUUGGGGCUAGAAUAAUUGGCUCUAAUAUUCUAGGCUCCACUACUAAUAACUUUCUCUUAUAGAUUCCAACCAUUCCAAUAUCAUUUGACCAAUUACAUCACUAUGUUUAUCAUUCAAUCUCUUGAAGAUGUUUUCCACAAUUUCAUUGAUGUAUUUGGACUCAUACCAACCAAUUAUAAAUCAUAAUAAAACAUAUGGUGAGUCAAAUGAGCUACAAAAUAAUGAUAAAAGCAACAUGAGGAAAAUUUUAUAAUAUUUUUUUAUAAGCAAAUGGUAGUAAAUUUUAUGCUUAAAUCACAUCAUGACUACAUGAUUAGUAUCCAUGUAAAUGAAGCAAUAUCUUAGUGAGGGCUCCCAAGCUCCUAAUUAAGUAUUAUUAUCAUGGAAAAGAUGAUGUAAGGGUGGUAAUUCUUGAUUAAAUCAAACUAUAAAUAGGAUUUGAAAAUGACAUGAAACUAGUGAGUUCCAUUAAUUGAUGUUGAUCGAUCAUAUUCUAAGUUGAAGUUUUCAACCUGAAUGUAUACUUCAUUUUUUUCCUCUUAGUAUUGUUAUCCUAUGAUUGUCUUCCCUCAUCCAUGUUCCUUCAUUGCAUACAUACUUAGGAUCCUUUUCUAAGUCAUUUAUUGUGUCCUUAUUAGUUGUUCAUUGUUACUCAUCUUAUCACUGUUUUUGGACCUCUUUUAGGGAUAUAUAUUAGAAGGAUUUUGUUUUUCUAAUAUGAUUUUAGUAUCCUUUAGUUUUAGCUUAAGAGUUUGUUUUCAUUCGUAAGUUUUCUUUUGAUUUUGGUUUUUCAACUUGUUUUUAGUUUAGCCCCUUUAUCUUUGUUCUUAGGUAAAUUCAUUUAGUUGCAUUUUAGGAAAAUUCACUCAGUAGUUGAUUACUACUCAAAAAGUGCUCUUUUAUAGCUUGUUAUAAACUCUUUUAAACACUUUUGAGUAGUAUUUAUUACCUUUUAACUCAAUUGGCACAUUAAAGACCCUUGCAAAUGUUUCUAAUCAGGUUUUGGCAAGUUUUGGUGUUUUUGAUAGCUUUUUUAUCAUUAAAACGAGCCAAGAAUGAAGGAGAAUUUUGUAUAGUCCAUGGCAAAGCAAGUUGAAGCUCAAACACAUGAAGAAUUCAAGGUUUGGAGAGCUUCGUAGCCUUUUCCAAAUCAAUCAAGUAUGCAAGGAAGAGAAUCAAAGAAGAAAUCUAACAUCCAACAAUUUCACCUGGCUAUGAGAAAUUUUCGCAUAGCAUGUGAAAUGUCCAAAAGGAGUACAAGCUGCAGGACAGAGAGCAAGACUGUGAAAAAUGAAUUUCGCACCCUAUGCGAAAUUUCGCAAGCCUUGCAAAAAUCCUCCUGUGUAAUUUUCAGAUAUUUUUGCACCUACUCCGUCAGAUUUUUAUCUCGAGAUAUUUUGUGUAAUUACCUAUUUUAUCCUUGUAAUCAAUUAAAGAUAUUUUUAGAUAUUUAGGAUAUCUAAAUAAGGGGUUAAAAUAUCUCUUUAUAUAUGUCUUAAAAUAUCUCUUUUGUAAGCUCUCGGAAGAUUUUCCAGAGAACACUUGUAGAUUCUUGUAGUAAGAAAUACACAGAGCUUUGCUCUGCCUUACCUACUCAUUUUGUUUUUAUUUUCUUUCUAGCCAAACAACCUCUAAUGAUGUUUUCUCAGAGGAUGAGUGGCUAGGUUUUUCAUUUCUUGGACUGAAGGAAGCUAGGUAAGGGAUCCAGAUACAAAGGUGGGAGUUUUCCUUGUUUUAAAUGAGGAGAGUUGUUACCCUUUAAUGGUUUUUAUUUUUAAGGUUUAACUUAAAAUCCCUUCAAAUCAUCUGGGCCAAUACUUGGUAAGCUUUUCAGACUUCCUGGAGAUCCAUUAGUUAUCUCUUAUGAGCCUCUAGGAAGUGGUUUAAAGGUAGGAUUACCUAAAAUGACCAAUACUUGGUAAGCUUUUCGGACUCCCUAGAGAUCCAUUAGUUAUCUCUUACGAGCCUCUGGAAGGUGGUUUAAAGGUAGGAUUACCUAGAAUGGCCAAUACUUGGUAAGCUUUUCGGACUCCCUGGAGAUCCAUUAGUUAUCUCUUACGAGCCUCUGGGAGGUGGUUUAAAGGUAGGAUUACCUAGAAUGACCAAUACUUGGUAAGCUUUUCGGACUCCCUGGAGAUCCAUUAGUUAUCUCUUACGAGCCUUUGAAGGGUAAUCCAAGGUUAGGAUCACCUUGAAUGGCCAAUACUUGGUAAGCUUUUCGGGUUCCAUGGAAUCCAUGGAUGUCUAUUAGUUAUCUCUUACGAGCCAUUGAAAGAUGAUUCACAGUGAGAGGUCUUUAGUGUUUGAAACCAUUAAUGGGAAGCAACUACAGUUUUUCAUGGACCAAUGGGAUCAAAUCUUGAUUGCUAAAUACACACCGGUUCGGGAGAUAACCAUUCUUUAUGUUAUUAUCCCCAACGCGAGGAAAAGAUCCGGAAUCUCCUCCUUUUGUCUAAGGAACCUGAACCUAGUGACCUAAAACUCUAAGAAAUCCUUUUCUUUGUAAUUAAUCUCAGUUACUAUUUUUGGUUAACUUAAAACCAACCUUUUUCAACCAAAAUUAUGUUUUCUUUUAAAGCUAACUCAUAAAAGAAAAAGCAUCAUUUCAGUACUUUAACUAAUAUCACUUGUAAUAUGAAAACCCAUCCUUGUGGACGAUCCUAGAACCACUAUACUAUGCUAGCUAUGCUACCCUAGUGUAUGGUGAAUUAGGUUUAUAAAUUUUGUUGAUAACUCCCGUCUGAGGACUGAAUCAAAUAGAUCACCAAUUGGGGACAAAUCAAAUGGCGUCGUUGUCGGGGAUGGUGCCACUUCACAGUGAUAUAACCUUUACAAAACACUUGUGAUCUUCAUCACAAGUUUGGUGAUUUUUCUUUUCUUUUACUAACUCUUUUUAUUUGUUUUCAUUUUAGUUUAUCUUUUAUCUAGUUUUUAGUUAACCUUAAUUUUUUUUUUCUAGAAUUGUAUUUCUUUUGUUUUCUGUGUUUUUGUUUCAAUUAUUGCUAGUUGUGCAUGCCCUAUUGGAUAUGAGACAAUGAGGGAAGACUUAUGAAAAUCGAAACUCCUCACGAAACAGAGUUGGAAUUGUGCUUGAACGUCAUGGAAGCUACACCUGAAGAUCAGCAUAGUCAACAUGCUCAGGAGGAGAAUUUCAACGCAUACCGAUCCAUGAGGGACCGCAUGCAUGCACCUCGUAUGAGUGCACCGUCAUGCAUAGUGCCACCUACAGAGCAACUGGUGAUCCGACCACAUAUUGUGCCACUUCUACCUACUUUCCACGUGAUGGAAAGUGAGAAUCCCUACGCGCAUAUCAAGGAAUUUGAGGAGGUUUGUAAUACUUUCCAAGAAGGAGGAGCUUCAAUCGACUUGAUGAGGCUCAAGUCAUUUCCUUUCACCUUGAAGGAUAAGGCCAAGGUCUAGCUUAAUUCUUUAAGGCCAAGGAGUAUUCGAACUUGGACUGAUUUGCAAGCUGAAUUUCUUAAGAAAUUUUUCCCGACCUAUAGGACCAAUGGCUUGAAAAGGCAAAUUUCAAACUUCUCAGCUAAAGAGAAUGAGAAAUUCUAUGAGUGUUGGGAGAGAUACAUGGAAGCUAUCAAUGCUUGUCCUCACCAUGGCUUUGAUACAUGGCUAUUGGUGAGCUAUUUUUACGACGUUAUGUCUUUCACUAAUGAAGCAACUCCUAGAAACUAUGUGCGAAGGAGACUUCAUGAGUAAGAAUCCGGAGGAAGCCAUGGAUUUCUUGAGUUAUGUAGCUGAAGUUUCAAGAGGAUGGGAUGAGUCGAAUGCUAGAGAAGUGGGAAGAAUGAAGUCUCAACUUAAUGCUCCUAAUGCUAAGGCUGGAAUGUAUACUUUGAACGAAGAAAUCGAUAUGAAAGCAAAAGUUGCAGCUAUGGCAAGAAGAUUGGAGGAGCUAGAAAUGAAGAAGAUAUGAGAAGUGCAGGUCAUUUCUGAAACACCAAUGCAAGCUAUGUCGUGUUCCAUUUGUCAAUCUUUUGAGCACUUAGUGGAGGAGUGUCCUACGAUUCCAAUUGUGAGAGAAAUGUUUGGGGAUCAAGCAAAUGUUAUUGGACAAUUUAAGCCCAAUAACAAUGCUUCAUAUGGCAACACCUACAAUUCAAAUUGGAGGAACCAUCCGAAUUUCUCAUGGAAACCAAGGGCACCUCAGCACACACAACCUGGCCAAGCACCUCCGUAAGCCUCAAAUCUUGAACAAGCCAUUAUGAAUCUUAGAAAGGUCGUGGGAGACUUUGUUGGAGACCAGAAAUCCAUCAAUGCUCAGCUCAGUCAAAGAAUUGACAGUGUAGAGAGUACAUUGAACAAAAUAAUGGACGGAAUACAAAAUGAUCUAUCUCAGAAGAUAGAUAAUCUCCAGUACUCAAUCUCAAGGCUCACCAACCUCAACACAGUAACAAAGAAAGGAAAGUUUUCUUCUCAACCUCAUCAGAAUCCCAAGGGUAUCCAUGAAGUAGAGGCUUAGGAGGGAGAAUCUUCACAUGUGAAACAAGUCAAAGCAGUUAUCACUCUAAGGAGUGGUAAAGAGAUUGAUCUGCCUACCUCCAAGCAAGAGCAUGAACCAGAGAGUGAAACAUAGAAAGAAAAGAGGAAGGAAAUCAAAGGAAAGAAAAAAGGGAACAGUGCAAAGAAUGAGGACCUUGAAUCUACUGUGAAUGAAGAACCAGAGAGGACCAUCAACCAAGAAGAUAUGAUGAAGAAACACAUGCCUCCACCUUUCCCCCAAGCUUUGCAUGGCAAAAAAGGAAUCAAUAAUGCAUCAGAAAUUCUUGAAGUGUUGAGGCAAGUGAAAGUUAACAUCCCUUUGCUAGACAUGAUUAAACAAGUUCCGACUUAUGCAAAAUUCCUGAAGAACUUAUGCAUUAUAAAAAGAGGGUUGAAUGUGAAUAAGAAAGCCUUCUUGACUGAGCAAGUAAGUGCCAUUAUACAGUGCAAGUCUCUAGUGAAAUACAAAGAUCCAGGUUGUUCUACCAUCUCAGUGAUUAUUGGAGGGACGUGUGUGGAGAAAGCUUUGUUGGACUUGGAGGCAAAUGUGAAUUUGCUACCCUAAUCUGUCUACAAGCAAUUGGGACUUGGAGAGUUGAAGACAACAUCAAUCACUCUAUCUCUAGCAGAUAGAUCUGUGAAGAUUCCAAGAGGCAUGAUUGAAGAUGUCCUAGUUCAAGUUGACAAAUUCUACUACCCAGUGGAUUUUGUUGUUCUUGAUACAAACCCAGUUGCCAAAUGAACUAACUAUGUUCCUAUCAUACUUGGAAAACCAUUCCUAGCUACAUCAAAUGGUAUCAUCAAUUGUAGGAAUGGAGUCAUGCAACUUAUGUUUGGCAACAUGACGUUAGAGCUCAACAUCUUCUAUUUGUGCAAGAAACAAUUCCAUCCAGAAGAAGAAGAAGAACCAAAAGAGGUGUGCAUGAUUGACAACUUAGUGGAGGAGCAUUGUGAUCAGAAAAUGCUCAAAGAUUUGAAUGAAAGUCUUGGGGAUCUUGAUGAAGGGUUACCUGAACCCUCAGAUUUGCUUGCACUUUGCCCCCUUGGAAGAGGAGGGAAGAAAUUCUACCUUUAUUCAAUGGGGAGGAGACACAAGAAGUUGUUAAGGAGGAGCCCCCAAAGCUUAUUCUGAAGCCACUACCCACGGAGUUGAAGUAUGCAUACCUGGAAGAAAACAAACAGAGCCUUGUUGUUAUUUCUUCAUCUCUUACCACUCCUCAGGAGGAUUGUCUACUUGAAGUCCUCAGGAGAUGUAAGAAGGCGAUAGGGUGGCAAAUAUCUGAUCUGAAAGGGAUCAACCCUUUAGUUUGUACCCAUCAUAUAUACAUGGAAGAAGAAGUUAAGCCAGUUCGAAAACCUCAGAGAAGGUUGAACCCUCACAUGCAAGAGGUGGUGUGAGCUGAAGUGCUUAAGCUACUUCAGGCUGGUAUUAUCUACCCCAUAUCAGAUAGCCCAGGGGUGAGUCCUACGCAAGUCGUGCCAAAGAAAUUAGAGAUCACGGUGGUGCAAAAUGAUAAGGGAGAAGAAGUUUCUACACACCUCACUUCAGGUUGGAGGGUGUGUAUUGAUUAUAGAAAGUUGAAUGUUGUAACAAGGAAUGACCGCUUCCCGUUGUCGUUUAUUGAUCAAGUGCUUGAGAGGGUCUCUGGCCAUCCAUUUUACUAUUUCUUGGAUGGCUACUCCGGGUAUUUUCAAAUGGAAAUUGAUGUUGAAGACCACUUUCACAUGUCCAUUCGGAACCUACACAUACGGAAGAAUGUCUUUCGGCUUAUGCAAUGCACCCGCAACAUUCCAAAUAUGCAUGUUAAGCAUUUUCAGUGAUAUGGUGGAGCGUAUUAUGGAAGUCUUUAUGGACGAUAGCACCAUAUAUGGAAGUACGUUUGACGAAUACUUAAUCAACUUGGAAGUUGUUCUGAACCGAUGCAUUGAGAAACACUUGGUGCUUAACUAGGAGAAAUGUCAUUUCAUGGUACACCAAGGGAUUGUCCUUGGGCAUAUUAUCUCAAAGCAAGGCAUUGAAGUGGACAAAGCAAAGGUUGAACUUAUUGUCAAGUUGUCAUCGCCAACAACUAUCAAAUGAGUAAGGCAAUUCCUUGGUUAUGCAGGGUUCUAUAGGAGGUUUAUCAAAGAUUUCUCUAAACUUGCAAGACCUCUUUGUGAACUAUUGGUAAAGGAUGCUAAAUUUGUAUGGGAUGAUCGAUGUCAACGGAGUUUUGAAGAACUGAAGCUAUUUUUGACAACCGCUCAAAUACUGAGAGCUCCCAACUGGCAAUUGCCCUUUGAAGUGAUGUGCGAUGUCAGUGACUUUGCUAUAGGAGCUAUUCUUGGGUAAAGAGAAUAUGGAAAGCCCUAUGUGAUCUACUAUGCGAGCAAAACGUUGAAUGAAGCGCAAAGAAACUACACAACCAUAGAGAAAGAAUUGUUGGCUGUAGUUUUUGCCUUAGACAAAUUCCACACUUAUUUGGUGGGGUCUUUCAUUGUGAUUUUCACUGAUCAUUCGACCUUGAAAUAUCUGCUAACUAAGCAGGAUGCAAAAGCGAGGCUGAUUAGAUGGAUUCUCUUGCUUCAAGAGUUCAAUCUUCAUAUCAAAGACAAGAAAUGAGUGGAGAAUGUGGUAGUCGACCAUCUGUCAAGGCUAGCCAUCGCAACAAAAUUCCCAUAGUUUGCCCAUUAAUGAUGAUUUUCCAGAGGAGUCACUCAUGUUGAUGAAAGUCGCUCCUUGGUAUGCUCAUAUUGCUAACUAUUUAGCUAUCGAAGAAGUUCCAAGUGAGUGGAAAGCACAAGAUAAGAAGCACUUCUUUGCAAAAAUUCAUGCCUAUUAUUAGGAAGAGUCAUUUCUAUUCAAAUAUUGUGCAGAUCAAAUAAUACGGAAGUGCGUCCCUGAACAAGAGCAACAGGGGAUCCUCAGUCAUUGCCACGAAAGCGCAUGUGGAGGCCACUUUGCUUUUCAAAAGACAGCUAUGAAGGUAUUGCAAUCGGGUUUCUGCUAGCCAUCACUUUUCAAAGAUGCCCACACCAUGUGCAGGAGCUGUGAUAGAUGUCAGAGGCUUGGGAAGUUAACACAUAGGAACAUGAUGCCUUUGAACCCCACUUUAAUAGUUGAUCUUUUUUAUGUCUGGGGCAUUGACUUCAUGAGACCUUUUCCUAUGUCCUUUGGCUACUCCUACAUCUUGGUAAGGGUAGAUUAUGUUUCUAAAUGGGUUGAAAUGAUCCCAUGCAAAUGCACUGAUCACAGAGUUGUUCUCAAAUUUCUCAAAGAGGACAUCUUCUCUAGAUUUGGAGUACCCAAGGCUUUAAUCAGUGAUGGGGGUACUCAUUUUUGUAACAAGUCGUUCGAAACUCUCUUAGCCAAGUACGGGGUAAAGCAUAAGGUAGCUACACCUUACCACCCUCAGACUUCUAGGCAAGUUGAGUUAGCAAAUUAGGAGAUCAAAAACAUACUGAUGAAGGUGGUGAAUAUGAGCAGAAGAGAUUGGUCUGUUAAGCUUCAUGAUUCACUAUGGGCGUACAGAACAGCUUACAAGACCAUUCUUGGAAUGUCUCCUUAUCGCCUAGUCUACGGCAAAAUGUUCCAUCUCCCCGUGGAAGUGGAAUACAAAGUUUGGUGGGCAAUCAAGAAGCUCAACAUGGAUUUGAGCAGAGCCGACAUGAAGAGGUUCUUAGACCUUAAUGAGAUGGAGGAACUGAGAAAUGACGCCUACAAUAAUUCAAACAUUGCAAAACAAAGAUUGAAGAGGUGGCAUGAUCACUUAGUCUCCCGCAAAGAAUUCCAGAAGGGACAAAGAGUCUUGCUAUAUGACUCUAAGCUCCAUGAUUACUACUCAAAAAGUGCUAUUUCAUAGCUUGUAAUUAACUCUUUUAAACACUUUUGAGUAGUAGUUAUCACCUUUUAACCCAAUUAACAUAUUAAGGACCCUUACAAUCAAUUCUAAUCAAAUUGUAUUAAGUUUUGGUGUUUUGAUAGCUUUUUUAUCACCAAAGCAAUCCGAGAUUGAGGAGAGUUCUUUGGAAUCCAUGGCAAAAGAUGUCCGGACAAGGCGUCCGGACACACCAUCGGAGGGCGGCGGAACGUGGGCUGUGGCAGGCUGUCGGAAUGACGUAGCAAGGCUUGUGCACUUUAGCCAAUGAUCCGGACAACAUAUCCGGAUAGGAUAUGCUAUCGUCCGGGGUGUGAUGAUCGCGAGUGUUGUGUGCUUCUCCCUGAGGGAGUCCGGAUAGGGGAGCGCGCCACAUAUCCUCUUAGAGAAUCCGAAUGGAGUUGCUCCGGAUAGCGAUGCGCACUCCGUGUCAUCAGGAGAAGGGGUCCCUACACCUUGCACACGCAGACAGCCCCCUUGCGAUGUGUGGCAUCGCACAUUCCACCCGGAUGUAUCACAUCCGGAAUUCUUCUCCGCCGACAUUCCAUCCGGAUAUUUCGCAUCCGACGUUUGAUGCCGGAUGGGAGAGGAGGGCGUUUCAACUUCCCCGGUCAGACAUAUCCGGAUCCUCUGAUAGCGCUUACCCAGAGAGUUUCGCAGCCAUUUUGCACUGUGACGCAGUGUUCUCCUGAAGCUUCCCGAUAUUUGCGACCGAUAUUUUGAGAUAUUUUGCUUUAGAUAUUUGAUGUCUAAAUCCCCAAACUCUCCUUGUAACCCACCAAUUAUAGGAUUCCUUAGUUAUUAAGUUUGGAAAAAUGAUGAAUAACCUUAUAUAUAUUAUUAUUGUAAUUUUCAUAUAAAUAUCUCUCGGGAGCCUAUUCUCAGGGAGACGACGCAUCCUUUGUACAGUUUUGCAAGGAAGUAAAAUACAGAGCCUUUGCUCUGCCUUACCUUCUCGUUUUGAUUGUAUUGUAUAUUAUUUAAUUUUUCUUUCUAGCCAAUCAAACUCUGAGGAUUUUUCCUCAGAGGAUGAGAGGCUAGGCUCUUCGUCUCUUGGAGUGAAGAAAGCCGGGUAAGUUUCCUCAUGCAUAAAUUGGAAGUUUUGUUGUUUUAGUUUUUAAUGAAGAGAAAGUGUGACCCGUUAAUGGUUUCUAUGUUUUUAGUUAACUUAAAACGCCUUUAAAUCACCUGGGCCAACACUUGAUAAGGCAAGUGGUCUCCAUCCAUUGAGAUGCACUAGUUUAUCUUUUGCGAGCCUUUGGGAGGUGGUUUGAAGGUAGGAUUUUCUAGAAUAGCCAACACUUGGUAAGCUUUUGGACUCCAAGGAGACAUCCAUUAGUUAUCUCUUGCGAGCUUUUGACGGGUAAUCCAAGGUUAAAAAUCACCUUGAAUGGCAAAUGCUAGGUGAGAGGCACGAGCCAUUGCAAGAUGCAUCAGUGAGAGGGAUUUAGUGUUUGAACCCAUUAAAGGGAAGCAUCUGUACCACACCGGUUAGAGAAUUAACUAUAUGUUAAUUCUCUAAAGCGAGGAAAAGAAACAAGUGACCGGAACUCCCUUUUUGUACAAGGAACCUGAGCCUAGUGAUCUAAACUCCAAGAAACACUUUUCUUUGUAAGUAAAAUCAGUUACUAUUUUUGGUUAGUUUAAAACCAAACCUUUUCCAUUCAAACAUCUUUAUGUUUUCUUUUAAAGCUAACCUUGGAAUGAAAAGGCACCAAUUCAGCUUUGAAUUAAUAUCAAUUGUGGAGUGAAAACUCAUCCCAGUUAACGAUCCUAGAGCCACUAUGCUAUAGUAGCUUUGUCUUUGCUACCCUAGUUCAUGGUGUAAUAAGUUAUAAAUUUUGUUGAUUACUUCCUGAGGACCAAAAUCAAGGGACACCAGCUGGACACGAAUCAAAUGGCACCACUGUCAGGGACCAUUGAGAUGACAGCUGAGACACCAAUUGGGAACGAAUCAUUCCACAUCUUCCCGGGAAAACUGAAGUCAAGGUGGAUAGGUCCGUUUACUAUCCAACAAGUGCAUUCAAAUGGAGUGGUGGAACUACUCAAUUCCAACAACAUCGAGAGUUUCAAAGUCAAUGGCCAUCGUCUCAAGCCAUUUGUGGAGCCUUUUUCUCUAGACAAUGAGGAAAUCAUCAUCUUUGAGCCACAUCAAGCUUAACAAGACAAGUGGUUAGAUGGACUUAGUCUGUCGAAAGACAUUAAGUCUAUAAUUUUUUGUUUUAAUGUUGAUUUAAAGUUUUAUUGAUUUAGUACUUGUUUUAAUUGUAAUUUCUUGCUUUAAUUUUAUUUUUUUGUGAUUUAAUUUAAUUUUUUAUGAUCAAUUGCAAGUGGAUUUCAUAAUAGAUGGGAAAAACCUUUAAAAAAUUUAUGGUGGAGGAAAAACAGAGCAUUUCGCACAUGCUGCGAAAAUUUUGCAAGGCUUGCGAAAAUCCCAAAUAUCAUUUCGCAAGGGGUACGAAAAUUUCGCACACCCUGCAAAAGCCAAUUCGCACACCCUGUGAAAAUUUCGCAAGGCAUGCGAAAAAUUCGCAUACCCACCUUUGCAUUGCGAAAAUGCCAUGCGAAAUUGCUUUGCUUUGCGAAAAUGUUUUGCGAAAACCUGUGCCAAAUUAGAGAGGGUAUGCAAACCCAUUUCACAAUCCUGUGCGAAGUCCAACAGCCGGUGCGAAAACCAACAGUCACUUAAAACUCUAUUUAAAGCCCUCUAAGCCCUAUUUUCAUUUCGUACACCCCAUCUACCCAUUGCGAAAGCCUCUAUCACCUUGCGACGCCCAAACUUCCAUCGUUUUUCUCCAUUGGACGCCCCGCGACCACCCAUUUGAAGAGGCGACCCCCACCGAACUUGAAGAACACAGACCCGAGCCUUUCACUCCAUUUUUUACAUGGCGCGAAUUAGAGGAGGCCAUACCGACUCUUCACUCUCUCGCGAGCCGAGGCCAAGAGCCUGCUCUCCUCAAGAUUCGACAUCUCAGGCCCUUGAGGCCCCAACCAUUCCAUCUUUUGAGGGAGGAGUGCCCUCUAAUCCUCCUCAACAUAGAUACGAGACGUGGAGACCACCGACUACACCUGGGACUACUUCUUCGCGCCCUGAGACCUCAAUACGUUGCACUCCAACUAAGAGGGCCAGGACUUUAGGCCCUGGAAAGUCGUCUAGAUCUUCACAGCCUGAUCAUAGGGCCCCUGUCGAUUCUCAGCGUCCUUCUAACAUGUCACCGGAAGCCAUCAUCAAACGACCUAUGGUCACCGCGCCGCCCAUUAAGGGCAAUUCAGAUUGUAGAGCCAGACCAUUUCAUUCCGAGCUAUAUUUUGACCUCGAGGUUAUGCGACAGUAGUCGGAGCUUCGGGAUUCAUUUGGACUACUCCAGAGGUACCAUCUCGAGCACCUUAUGACUCCCAGGGAGUUCUUUUACCCCAAAGUGGCAAUGGACUUCUAUCAUUCUAUGACUACUCAAGGCGCCUGGAGUCCUACCGCCAUUCACUUCAGCAUUGAUGGGCGCCAGGGUAUCCUUGAGGCUAGACACAUUGCAGAGGCUCUACAUAUUCCAUACGAGCUAGUGAAUCCAGCAGAUUGCCAGGAGUGGUCCCCUGUAUCUCAGUGGGACAUGGUCCGCAUCUUAUCCAUGGAAACCUUUGGAGAUUCAGUCCUUCUACGUAAGGAGCUUCCACCUAGGAUGCUCCUAGUAGAUGUGUUGCUACAGUCCAAUCUUUUUCCCCUUCAGCAUUUAGUGCAGAUGAGAGGAGCCAUUCUGAACGCUUUAUUCCGGAUAUCCAAGGGUUUCUAUUUCGGGCCACAUCACUUGAUUAUGGCCUCUCUCCUCCACUUUGAGGAGAAGGUUCACAGGAAGAAGCUCCAGAGAGCCGACACUAUUCCACUACUGUUUCCGAGGUUGCUAUGUCACAUAUUGGAGCAUAUGGGUUAUCCUACUGAGCCCUACCUUGAGCGCCGCCAUCAUUGUCGAGAGCGAUUCACUCUCAACAAAUGGACACAGUUGGCGGGCUAUUCGGCACCUCUAGAAGUCCCACCCAGGCCAGCACCUCCAGUGCCACCAUAGGCUGAGUAGGCACAACAGGAUGAGCUUCCCACGGAGUCUGUACCACCUACCCCUACAACACCUAUGCCUGAGGCCACUUAUACUGCUCCUCCUACCACUCCUGCCGUUCCACCAGUUGCACCUUCUAUAUCUGAGGCCUUCAUCACCAUUUCUGCCACAGAGUUUCGCGCCAUGGUACAUACAUUCCAGACACUGACCACUACACACAAUGCUUUAUUCCAACAGAUGGCCACCAUGCGUGCUCGGUAAGACCAUCAUACUGCUAUCCUUCAUCAUAUUCAGCAGCAUUGGGGACUUCUGCCACCACCUCAGCCUGACAUUCAUGGACCAUCACAGCCCAUAGCUCUAGUUAAGGAGACUAUUCCAGCUGAGGAGACCACUAAAGCCAAUGUCCCGAUCUAGCCUACUCAGGAGGCCACCACAGAGGCAUCACCUCCACCAGAGGCCCCCGCUACUUGAUCAUCUCUUUAUCAUAUUGUAUUUACUUAUUAUAUUAGUAGACAUAAUUACAUGUUUUGAUGUUUUAUAUUAUGGGAUUGGAUGUAUUACAUGAUCAUAUCUCACAUUGUACUUUCUCAGAGUAAUAUAUACACAUCAUUUUUUAUUAUAUUUGUCAUUCUUCUAUUUCCUCUACUCAUUACUCUUUUGUUUUUUGAAUCAUGUGGUUUAUCCUAUACGACUCAAACUCCAUGUCACUCAGGAGGUACCACUUCCUUCUUUUAUUUUCAAUCGCUCUUGCCACAUUGAGGACAAUGUUGAUCUUGGUUGAGGGGAGAGUUAAGGAAGAAAGUUUUGUUAAUAAUGCUAGGUUAUUUUGUUAAUUUAGGUCUUUUUUCUUAAUUUUAAACUUUUUGCUUAAUUUUAAAAGUUUUUAUUCUACCAUCCAUGAUUAUUAAGAAAAUUUUCUCAAAAGGAAAUGGGAGAUAUUGAAUUCUUAUCUUUUUACUUGAAUCUUAGAGUUUAUAUUAUGUGUAUUGAGGUUGAUGAAUUAUUGAAAAUCCUAUUGAAUUCAACCUUAUUUCUUCCACUUUAAUCUUACCACACACUAUGCACAUUAGGUUCCAUUUAUAAGAUGAAAAACUAUCUCACCCCCUAAACUUAGGAAAACUUUGACUUAGUACCUUUGACCUCAUUUUAAUAGUAUUGGGACACCUUAUAAAAGGCCAAUGAGCCUUUGAAAAAAAAAAUAAGAAAGAACAAAGUGUUUCGCUUGCCUUGAAACCCGAGCAAGAUCCGAGGGGUUUAUGGCGAAAGUCUUUAAAACCCGAUGCCCUAAACCUUUAUUGGUUGGGAGUCACCAACCUCAAUGCUCGUUGCAAGGGUGAAUAGGUGGAGUUUAACAUAUUGUAGGUGCUUGGGUAUUAAAUGUCAAUCUCAAAAGUCCGGGGUAAAAUCUGAAGAGUUAGUGGUCGAAAGAUCCUUAAAGCUUGAUGCCCUAAACCUUGAUUGGUUGGGAGCCAUCGAUGGAUCCCUAUUACAUGGACACUUUAGAAAACAAUACCUUAAGCAUUGCACACUUACAAUGAAAAAAAAAAUUUGUGAAAUAAAAGAGGUGCGUUUUUAGCCUAUUGGAGGUUGGUCAGUUUGCUAAAGUUUGAGAAAGAACUAGGUUGGGGGGAGAGAUUAGUUCAGCAUACUAUAUUCGGAAACUAAUAAGCUUAACACAUAGAUUUUUGUGCAAUAGUAAGGAUUGAGGCUAUGAGAGUGGAAAUCCUUUUAAUACUUAAAUUUGCAUAAUGCCUACUUUUUAUGAAUUGUGAUCAGGCAAGAUAUUUGAUAAAUUCUUGUUGAAGGUUGAGUUUUGCUUCUUUAAUGUCCCAUGAGAGAGUAUGCUCUACAUCAUGCCACUUGAAAAAAUUUUGGAGUGAUCAGCAUGAUUUUGUAAAUUAUUUUACUGUCUAUUUUUCAUUUUUCUCUCCUUCAUUGCUAAGGGACUAGCAAUAUGUCGGUUGGGGGGAGUGAUUACUACUCAAAAAGUGCUCUUUUAUAGCUAGUUAUAAACACUUUUGAGUAGUAUUUAUUACUUUUUAACUCAAUUGGCACAUUAAAGACCCUUGCAAAUGUUUCUAAUUAGUUUUUGGCAAGUUUUGGUGUUUUUGAUAGCUUUUUUAUCAUUAAAACAAGCCAAGAAUGAGGGAGAAUUUUGUAUAGUUCAUGGCAAAGCAAGUUGAAGCUCAAACACAUGAAGAAUCCAAGGUUUGGAGAGCUUCGUAGCCUUUGCCAAAUCAAUCAAGUAUGCAAGGAAGAGAAUUAGAGAAGAAAUCUAACAUCCAGCAAUUUCGCAUGACUAUGCAAAAUUUUCGCAUAGCAUGCGAAAUGCCCAAAAAGAGUACAAGCUACAGAACAGAGAGUAAGACUGUGAAAAAUGAAUUUCGCACCCUAUGCGAAAUUUUGCAAUCCUUGCGAAAAUCCUCUUGUGUAAUUUUCAGAUAUUUUUGCACCGACUCCGUUAGAUUUUUAUCUCGAGAUAUUUUGUGUAAUUACUUAUUUUCUCCUUGUAAUCAAUUAAAGAUAUUUUUAGAUAUUUAGGAUAUCUAAAUAAGGAGUUAAAAUAUCUCUCUAUAUAUGUCUUAAAAUAUCUCUUUUGUAAGCUUUCGGAAGAUUUUCCAGAGAACUCUUGUAGAUUUUUGUAAUAAGAAAUACACAGAGCUUUGCUCUGCCUUACCUACUCAUUUUGUUUUUAUUUUCUUUCUAGCCAAACAACCUCUGAUGAUGUUUUCUCAGAGGAUGAGUGGCUAGGUUUUUCAUUUCUUGGACUGAAGGAAGCUAGGUAAGGGAUCCGGAUACAAAGGUGGGAGUUUUCCUUGUUUUAAAUGAGGAGAGUUGUUACCCGUUAAUGGUUUUUAUUUUUAAGGUUUAACUUAAAAUCCCUUAAAAUCACCUGGGCCAAUACUUGGUAAGCUUUUCAGACUCCCUGGAGAUCCAUUCGUUAUCUCUUAUGAGCCUCUGGGAGGUGGUUUAAAGAUAGGAUUACCUAAAAUAGCCAAUAAUUGGUAAGCUUUUCGGACUCCCUAGAGAUCCAUUAGUUAUCUCUUACAAGCCUCUAGGAGGUGGUUUAAAGGUAGGAUUACCUAGAAUGGACAAUAUUUGGUAAGCUUUUCGGACUCCCUGGAGAUCCAUUAGUUAUCUCUUACGAGCCUUUGAAGGGUAAUCCAAGGUUAGGAUCACCUUGAAUGGCCAAUACUUGGUAAGCUUUUCGGGGUCCAUGGAAUCCAUGGAUGUCUAUUAGUUAUUGACCGAAAUUUCUCUAUUGUACCAAAAUACUUAGCCUUUUUACGUAGUAACUCUGGUCAAGAAAAACUAGAGAAAGAGUCACUACGGCUUUUGUAGUAUUCCGGGUAUCGUUCUCAAGGACUGGCUUAUGAAAAUUGUCAAUACUAGAAUAAAUGAAUUGUUUUUUGUUUAAAUCCUUAAGUGAAAAACAAUAUGUGAAUAAUGUGAAACUAAGUAAAAGAAAUUGGAUUAAUAAGAGAAAAUGAAUAUUGAUUUUAAAUUCAAUUGAUUCAAGUUUGGGGUUUUCCACAAUCCAACCUAGGGUAUAGAAAUUAUAGAAAACAAGGGUAUUUUAAGUAAUAUGAUCUUAGGGUUUUGGGAUCCUUGGCCACUCGCGAUCAAGUUGGGUUCUAUAACUCAAAAUUGCAUCCGAAACCUAAUUUUUCCUUUUUCAAACAGAUUCCUAAAACCAUCAAAUGAAUGAGAUUGAUUAUCAAUUUAAGAUUUGGCUUUUUAACCCUUCCUACUCCUUAUAGCUUUGUUUAGGGGCAAAUAACGGUAGGGAAAACGAGGAUAACUAAUGAUCAAGAAUUACCAAGAAUCACUAGUAUCAAGUAAUAACCUAUCGUAUCAUUCCCUAAACGAACUCACAAGGAUAGGAUAAAAAAAUAUAAUAAAUUGUCACCCAACCAAUAAUUAAUCUCAUUGUUAUAGUAAUUUACCCAUUGUCCCUAUAGGUUUCCUAGCCCUUAGGUUUUCAUGCUUCAAGCCCCAAGUUGGCUCUUAGCCUCUCAUGGGGGUGAUGUCACAUUCACAAUCCAUAGUAGGGUAAAAAUCCAUAAUUUGAAUCAAAAGAAACUAAAAACAAUAUAUUCAAGAAAGAAGGAGAAGAAAACAAACCAAAGUUCUCGUCUUCUUCCACCUUCAAUGUCAAACUCUCUAGAAAAAAAUCCAAGAUCCAAGAUCCCUAAAACCUAGAAUUGAGAGGGUUUAUAUAAUAUCCUCAAUUACCUAACAUGUGGCACACUCUCAUUGGCCACUUAUUACAAAAUAAUUUCCUAAAAAUGAUUAAAAAAUAAUAAAAUGGUGAUUUCUAGUCGUGUGGGGUCCACCUAGGCCGGAUGGAGUGCUUUAGAUGCAAUUCCCGAGGUAGAGGAGGCGGAACAUCAAAGUGGCAGUGGGUGAAUUCGAAAUUGGUGUCAUUUCGAAGUGAAUUUCGAAUUCAUAAGUUGAAUAUAUGCAAUUCCCGGGGUAGAGGAGGCGGAACAUCAAAGUGGCAGUGGGUGAAUUCGAAAUUGAUGUCAUUUCGAAGUGGAUUUCGAAUUCAUAAGUUGAAUUUCGAAAUCAUAAGUUGAAUUUCGAAAUCAUUUCGAAAUGACCCUCCAGCUUGGUGCAGUUGUCUUCAAAUGGCCAUAACUUCUUCAUUUCAGCUCCAAUUUGCAAACCGUUUGAAGCGUUGGACUCCUGACUUCCCGAGCUUCGAAACGAUAUAUAGUAUGUAUAUAAUGGACUCCAGAAAGUGCUCAAAAUUUGUCCUCAAAGUCAGAGUAUAUAAUGCCAUCAGAUUUUUGAGUUCUAAAUUUCCAUGUAGCUAAAUCUUGCUUCAUGCCUCAUUUCCCAUGCUUCCUUGCCUUCUUUCUUACUCCAUAAUGGUCAUUUAUCAUCCUCCAACCUCAUGAUAUCCUUGUUUUGCCUUUCCUUACAUUCAAUGAAUCUUGACUCACUUAUGUCCUCAUUUAGCCCUUUCUUGAUCUUUCAAAAUCUAAAGUCAUUCAAUUUGCACAAUUUUCUUCCCUUGAACCUGAGAUAAAUCUCCAAAGUAUAGAUUAAACUCAUGGCUAGGGCCUUAGCAUUGAUUUAGGUCAAGUUGGGUGAUUUGAAUGUCCUUUGGUGCACAAAUCAUAUCGAAUAUGUGCCAUUAGAGCACAUAUUUUGGCUCCAAUCAGUUAUCUCUUACAAGCCAUUGAAAUAUGAUUCACAGUGAGAGGUCUUUAGUGUUUGAAACCAUUAAUGGGAAGCAACUACAGUUUUUCAUGGACCAGUGGGAUCAAAUCUUGAUUGCUAAAUACACACCGAUUCGGAAGAUAACCAUUCUUUAUGUUAUUAUCCCCAACGCGAGGAAAAGAUCUGAAAUCUCCCCCUUUUGUCUAAGGAACCUGAACCUAGUGACUUAAAACUCCAAGAAACCCUUUUCUUUGUAAUUAAUCUCAAUUACUACUUUUGGUUAACUUAAAACCAACUUUUUUCAACCAAAAUUAUGUUUUCUUUUAAAGCUAACUCAUAAAAGAAAAAGCACAAUUUCACUACUUUAACUAAUAUCACUUGUAAUAUGAAAACCCAUCCCUGUGGACGAUCCUAGAACCACUAUACUAUGCUAGCUAUGCUACCCUAGUGUAUGGUGAAUUAGGUUUAUAAAUUUUGUUGAUAACUCCCGUCUGAGGACUGAAUCAAAUAGAUCACCAAUUGGGGACGAAUCAGUAGCACUUUAGGUAAAUUCAUUUUAGUUGCAUUUUAAGAAAAUUCAUUUAGUUGCAUUUUUAGAAAAUCAUUUAGUUGCAUUCUAAGUAAAUUCAUUUAGUUGCAUUUUAGGUAAAUUCACUUAGUUGCAUUUCAGGAAAAUUUACUUAGUUGUAGUUUAGGUAAAUUCACUUAGUUGCAUUUUAGUAAAUUCACUUAAUUGCAUUUUAGGUAAAUUUACUCAAUUGCAUUUUAAGAAACUUCACUUAGUUGCAUUUGAGGAUAAUCCACUUUAUGUAUUUUUAGGUGAGUCUCAUUUUUGCAUUUUAGUGAAUUUCAUUGGUGCAUUAUUGUAAUUAAAUUAUUGCAUUUUUAGAGAUUUUUCAUAACAUACUUUGAAAGGUUUUCCAUCUUCUAUAAGAGGACAGUAUGCAACAUCAGUUGGCACAACAAACUCUGAGUGCCAGGAAAGUUCUCUUCUUUCUCGGAUUGACCACCGCACUUUAGGUAUCUCAUACUCAACUGGUACUUGUUCAUUGUGCUCUGGAACUACUUUAAAAGAUUUUGGUUAUUCUUGUUUUGAUUGUUUGUUUCCAAUUAAACUUAUAAUGUUCAUCUUUUUCAUCAAUGUGUAUCUUCUUCUUCACUCUGUAGCAUGUCUUCUACAAAGAUGAUAUUUCUACUGAUGAUAAAAUUGCAAGCAAUGGGAUCUCACAAGCGAUACCCCUUUACUCCAUUAGUAUACCCCAAGAAUAUGCAUUUUCUGAAUUUGGAUCCAACUUUAUUCUUUCUUGGUCAUUAUACAUCACAUAAGCAGGACACCCAAAUAUAUGUAAGGAGGAAAAGUUCGCUGGCUUACUAGUCUACAUAUCCAUAGGUGUUUUCAUCUCAAUUGUUGUUGAUGUAGACCAAUUAAUUAUAUAGCAAGCAGUUUUGGUUGUUUCGGCCCAAUAUGUUUUGGGUAGUCUUGCAGUCUUCAAUAUAGCUCUCAUUCCUUUUGCAACAAUUCUAUUUAUCCAUUUUGCUACACCAUUUUUUUAUAGAGUAUAAGCAAUAGUUUUCUGUCGUUGUAUGUUUUCCUGACUAUAAAAUGCAUCAAACUCCUGGCUACAGAAAUCUCAUAUAUUGUUUAACCUCAAACAUUUUAUCUUUUUUCUCAUUUCAAGCUCCCUCUAGGCUUUAAACGCUUUGAAUACUGGAAAAACAUUUGGCUUUCUCUUAAUAGGGUACACCCAACAUCUUCUAAAAUAAUCAUUUACAAACAACACCAAAAUGCUCCCAAGAUAUGUGACUGGUGAUUCCCAAACAUCAUAAUGAACCAAGUCUAGAAUGCUCUUACUUCUUUUCGUAGAUCUACUGAAUCUUAAUCUAUGUUGCUUACUGAUAACACAAUGCUCACAGAAUAAUAAACUUGUAGUUUUGAGUUCAGGAAGCAACUUUUGAUCAGAAAGAAUUUUCAAUCCUUUUUCUUUCAUGUGACCAAGUUUGUGAUGCCACCAUCUCAUUGUUAAUUCUUCUCCAAAGUUUGCAACAAAAGUCUCUACUUGUUGAUAUGUCCUCUCAUGCAACAUGUAUAGAUUUGCAGUAAUAUUUUCUGCCUUCAUCACCACAAGUGCACAUCUAAUAACCUUAAUGAUUUCCUUUUUAGCAUGGAAUUCAUAUCCAAUGUCAUCUAGUUGUCUUAUUGAUAGCAGAUUUUUCUUUAAGCCUUUUACAUGUCAUAUCUCUAGAAUAAUGUGACUCACACCAUCAUUCAUCUUUACUUUGAUGAAGCCCAUGCCAACAAUCUCCAAAGCAUGAUCAUUACCCAUAUACACUAAUCCUCAUGGGAUAGGUUCAUAUUGGUGAAACCCUUUUCUAUGAGAAGUCAUAUGUCAUGUUGUUGUUGAGUCAAUUAACUAAACUUCAAAAAAUCAUUUUCUAACUUCUACAAUUGUUGUUGCCUCAUUGUAUAAGAUUUUGUCUUCAUUUGAAGUACUUGCUACACAACUCUGAGUAUUUGAUAGCUCAAGCUCUUUCUCUUUCAUGUUUUUAUCUACUUCUCCUUUGAAAUGCCAACACUCUUUUUUUACGUGUCAUUGCUUUCCAUAGUGAUAACAUUUAGCUUUCUUCUUACCUUAGGACUUUGAUCUAUUUUGUUUACUCCCACUAGAACCACGUUUUGUUGAUCUCCCUUUAGAGAUAAUUAGAGCCUCGAUUUGCUGAGAAGAUAUUAUGUCUUCCUUGUUUUUACGCCUACUUUCUUCCUCAAGUACAAUAGUCGCAACAUCAUUAAAGACUAGCAUUAUCUACAAUGCACCAUUGGCCACAUUUAUGAUGAGAUGAUCAUAUGAAUCAAGUAGACUUUGGAGUAGAAGUUCAACACGUUCCUUCUCUUAUAUACUAUGUUUUAUAGCUGAUAGUUAAGAAAAUAGAGUUUUUAGGGUGUUGAUGUGUUCAAUCACCAAAGUUGAUUCUAACAUCCAAAGAGUGUAGAGUUUUCUUUUCAAGAAUAUUUUGUUGUGCAAUGACUUGGCUUCAUAUAAGUUUGUAAAAGUAUCCCAAAUUUCUUUUGCUAAUUAAUUGUAAUUUUAACAUGCUUGACAGUAUAUUAUCUGCUACUGCUAAAUGCAAGCUUGCAAUGAUAUCCCCAUCCAUUUGCUUUCACUUUUUAUCUUCAACAUUUUUUGGUCUUUCACCAAUUGUUUCUAGUUAAUUUUCUUUCCUCAAGAUGGCUUUCAUUUUUAUUUUCCACAGCCCAAAAUUGUUCCCAUUGAAUUUUUCUAUUUCAAAUUUUGUCGUCAUUUGUUUCACUUUUAUAGUGAUUAGUAACCCAGAAUAGGAGUAAGUGGUUGUGUUAAAUACACCAAAAAAGUCUCGAGGAAAGUAGAUAAGUCAUAGUGGUCCCACUCUCCUUAGGCUCUAAUUGCCCUUUUUGAUAGAACAUUCCUAGACAUGUACUAACCACACAAGUAACCAUCUAUUGUCCUAAACCAAAGCUCUAAUACCAUUGUAAUGAAAUGAUACCUAGAGCGAUAAUUUGAAAAUAGAAUAAUAAAAAAUAAAAAUGGAAUAAUAAAUAAAACAAUAGAUAAAACAAUAAAUAAAAUAAUGGACAAAAAUACUUACAUGAUAAAACCUUCUUAAUUAAAAUGGAAACUUCCACGGGACAAGAUAAAAAAAAUAUCCAUUAUAUGAAGACAAAAUUUCAACCUCCCUCUCAAUUAAAAUGAAAGAACAUAAAAGCUUACAAAAGAAUGAAAUCCUUUUUUAGGAUGAAUAGUAUAAGGGGUGGAAGCCUUCUUUCAUAGGACAAGGAAGUUCUCCCUUUUUUGUUUUCUUCUGAUGUGGAAUGACUUCAACCUUAACAAAAUACUGGAAAAACUAUUUGUCCUCUUUCUUUCAUGCACUCCAUGAUCUUGGUCAAUUCAUCUAAACACCAUUUCAAUUGAGCAUAAUAUUUUUUUUAAAUGAUCACACCCUUGAUUCUUCAAUUGUUUUCAAGAGUGAUCCAAUCAUUUCUCCUCUCUGAAGUUUGUCAUCUUUAAAGGUGUCAAUGUGUUUUGGACCCAAUGCCUUGAAGAGAUGAUGGGUGAAACCAUCAUGAGUGUCUUCACCUCUAAAACUCAAAAGCACAUCAUAUCUCCAAUAUUCGAUAGUAUGAGAAGAAGGAGAAACUCUUUUCAUACUCAUGGAAGCCAUUGUUAGGUUGUUUAUGGCCAAAUUAUAGGGUAAAUGAUAUUUAAGCUCCUUUCUAAGGGGGGAAAUAAAGUGAUGUAGGAAGCUAGGCUACUUUUUGUGAUUUUCUAAGAAGUUUUAAUCUUGGAAGAUAUCAAGAAGGCAUGAAAUUUAUGUGAAGAAUGAAAGGCUCUUUUGAGGCUCAUGGAAGCCAUGUAAGAAUUUUAAGUGGCCCAGUGUAUAUUAUUAUGUGACAUUUAAAUAUCAAAUUAAACAUUAUGGUCGAAUAAAUAAUAACGUUAAAAUCCUAUUCGUUAGUUUUCAAGAAGUUAGUUUCCUAAAUUAAAGGCACUUUGAUGGAAAAUGUACUCCUUAUUCUAUAAGGAAAUUGAUCUUCUCUUCACCUUAUAAAAUAAAUGUUAUAUUCCAUCAAUAAUAUAUAUGAGAGAAAACCUAAGGGUAAAAGGGUUAAGGGAGAACAACACGAUUUCUACUAUGUUUAUUGUUUGGUCUCUUCAAGAAUUCUCUACAAAUUAAAAGUAUAUCUUUUCUCAAUAAUGGAAAUGUGAAAAAUCAUAGUGUUCUAAAAUCCUUAGCUAUUAUGAUUUAUGCAAAAUUAGGGUUUGAUUUGCAUAAUUAAAUCAUUACUUUAGAGUUUAAUUGGUGAGCAUAUAAUACCAUUGACAUAUGUUGAUGAUUAAGUAACGUGUUGUGGACUCGCAUUUUUCACGUGCGUUCUCACUCAAACGACGAGACUCAUUUUUUAUUUAGUGAAAAUUUUAUUUUUUGAAAAAGACUUAGAGUCGCCACUUAUUUUAGUUUUUUUUAAAUGAAAACAAAAUAAGAAAGAAAACCAUGUGUGACUUCUUAUUUGGGAAAGACAAAUCUAUAAAAAUUGAGUUUAGAUAUGAGGGUCAGGUUACCUAUGGAGAAGGUACACUUAUAAGCCAUAACACUCCUCUAAACCCAUAUACCUACGAUCUCUACUAAAUGAAUCAAGGGAAUUGUGAUAAUUAAUUAAUUAAUUAUAGAUACCGAAAUUAAAGACACAAAUCAAAAUACACAAAAAUAAUUAUAAAAUCAAAUUACAAAAAUGCACAAGAUAAAUGAUAUGAGAAUUAUGAAAAAUGAUUUAUUGAACUAAUUAAUUAAAAAAAUAUUUCAAAAAUUAGUUUUUCAAGAAAUUUCAAAGGAUUUUAUUAAAAACAAUUUUGAAUUAAUAAUUUUAAUUUGUUUAUUUACAAAAAAAAAAAAGUUUCAAUAUAUUUUUAACAAGUGAUUUGAUUCAAUUUCAUUUGUAUUCAAUUUUCAAAAAAGUUAUUUACACUUAUUUUAUCAAAAGAAUUUAAUACAAAAUUUCAAUUUGACAAUAAAAAUUAUUUUUACUUCUUGUUACUAGAAAAAGUUACAACUUUAUUUAAAAAGUCCUUCAAUUUAAUUUCUAUUUACAAAGGAAUUCAUUUCUUUACAAGCUUUAUUUACAAAAAUAUUUUCGAUCCAAUUUAUUAAGAAAAUGGUUUUUGCAACUUGAAUUUGCAAAAAUGACUCCCCUCUGAUUCUCAUUAAAAGGUUAUUUUAAGACCUUCAUUUACAAAAAUUACUUUUAAUCUCAUUCUAAUUAAGGAAAUAGAAUUUAUUUAAAAAAUAUAUUUUUUUGGACAAUUUUAUUAAAAAAAAUAAUCUUUUGAGAAAUAUUAUUUAAAAGCUAGUUUUCUGAACAAUUUUUUUUAAACAUAAAUUUUCAGACAAUUAUUAUUAAAAACAAUUUUUCGAAUUUUCUUAAAAACAAAUUUUUUUGGAUUUUUCUGAAAGCAUUUUUAUGAAUUUUUAUCAAGAAAACUUUAUUUUAUAAAAAAAUAUAUAUUUUCUGAACCUUUAUUUUUAUUAAAACAAAAUUUCUAAGUUAUUGUUCAAUUUUGUUCACACCCAAUAAAUAUAUACAUAAAAAUAUUUACAGGAAUCAAUAACAAUAAAACUAAAUGGAAGUGGAAAAUAAAACGUAUAUCCCAACAAGCCUACAACAAGUUCAAUGCUUCAUUUAUAGUUUUCCUGAGCUUUCUUUCCUUCCAUGAAAUUCGAUUUUCCACUUGUCAUUGAUCUAUAUUCAAUGGAAGGAGCCCAUUCAAAACAAAAUUAAACCAAAUGUAAAUAUCUAGAAAUGUACAAAGUCCAAAAUAAAUAUUUAAACUUAAAUUCAAACUUCAAAUUAGUCAAAUAAAUUUUACUAAUUAAAAAAGGGCCCAAAUUAGUAAAUAAAACUCAACAAAAAUAACCCACAUGUUAUAGGCCUUAGUCCAAGAUCUCCAAAUUAAUAACUAAAAUACAAGCACAAUUAACCAAACCUAAAAUUUGAUAAUUAAAACAAAUUCCAUUAGACCUAAAUUUAAUAUCCCAUAAUCUAAAAGAAAUUAACCCAAUUUAAUAUGUAAACCUAAAUCCAUAACCAAAAUCAACUCAAUUUAAUAUGCAAACUUGAAGUAACACCCAAAAUAUACCACAAUUAUCUCAUAACAAAUCAAAUAAUUUAAAUGAACAAAAUCCAUAUCAAUUAUAAAUCCAUCCAACAAAUUUCAUUAACAACAAAUAAACCCAAAUUUUGUAUUAAUUCAUCAAAGCUCACAUUCCAUAUUAAUUCACCAAUUCAAAUCUCACAAAUAAAAUAAAAUAAUGCAUAAAAUAAACUUACACAUUUUUUUGGAGACCAAGAAUGAAUAGGAGAGAAAAAAAUGGCAGUGGAAUUGAGGAGAGAAAGAAAAGGAAAAAAAGGAAAAAAUAAUAAUAAAAUAGGCAAAUGGGUGAGGUGAGAAAGGGAGGGAAGGGGAAAAUGAGAAAGGGGAAAAGGAGAUGGUUGACCGACAGUGGCUUGCCAAUGACGAUUGGCCGGCCGUGUUGUCCACAGUGAAGGUUGAGUGAGUGUGGUGAGAGAGAAAGAAAGAAGAAAAGAAGUAGGAAAAAAAGAAAGAAAAAAAAAUGGGGAAGGGCAUGUACAAUCUCUAAAAGUGGGUUGUCUCCGUGAUGUGGGGGGGUACGGGAGAAAGUGGGGGUAGGUGGAAAGAGAGAGAAGAGAGAAAAAUAAAAUAAAAUAAAAUAGAGAAAAGAAGAAAAUGAAAAAGAAAAAAUGUAAAAUAUAAUAAUAAUAAUAAUAAAAUGUUCUACAAAAUAAUAAAACUAAGAAUUAAAUAGUGUCUAUGGACAAAAAAAAAAUAGAUGUAAUCAAGUUUAGAAUGUAAAGAUAAAAUGAAGCUCAAAAUCAAUGUAAAAAUAAAUAUGAGACAAAUUUUGAGGUCUAUCCAUGUAUACUUUUGAUGUUAUUGUGAUGAAGUUUAUGAUAAUCAAAGUUUGACUUUAUCAAUUUUUGAUAUAUUAUAUAUAAUGUAUGUUUAUGGUUAAUAUAUAAAGUGAAUGACUUUCUUAAUUCAUGAAAUUUAUUGAAUUGAUUUAUACAUCAACCACUUUUGAUUGAACCAUAAAUAUGAUUUUGUUCAUGUUGUUGCAUCUUUAUCAUCAAUAGAUUCUAUAUGUAAGUGAAAUAGAUUAUGUUAUAUAUAUAUUUAUGUCAAUAGUGAAUUUUGUAUCUUUGAUAGUAAUGUUUUAACGAUAUAUGUACUAUAUAUAAAGAACCAAGAAAAUAUUAGAAGGGUAAACCCAACGAGAGGAAGUACUACCUAAUUCAUAAAUAGUACAAAAUGGUGAUAUGGUGGUCGAGAAAAUACCUUCCACGAAAGAACCUAAUGGAUCUCUUUAAUAAAACAUUAAUAGGCGUCACAUCACUUGUGGCUGGUUUGUGUACCGCUUCCCCGCUUCAUCAAUUGGUGUCAAGUCACUCACAUCAAAGCUUCAUUCAGAAUAACCACCUUGAUGGGCCUUAAUGUAAUUAAGGAAUGUGGAAUUGGUAUAGUGUAUGUUAAUGAAGAGAUGAAUUACUCUAUCUUCACUCCUCCUAAUGAGUCAUCUGUUGUCCUUCAAGAAAUCCACGAGGAGGGACCUAGUGCAAGCGGGUGCUCUAAUAUUGAACUCUGAUUACUAUUCUGCUGAUGAGGGGGAACCCACUGCACCCCUACUGUAAGGAUCACUCUGAAUCAGAGAUGUAGCUAGAGCAACGGUUGCAAUGCAGCCAUUAUCAGAGCAUCCCUUGGCGAGGAGGAACCGGGCAGACAAAUGCUUGAUAUGCACCCAAAUCUUCCGAUAUCAACUAUUGGUGAGCUGUGUGCUUCCUUUGUUUCUUAUCUUGAAACUGACUUUGUUCCUUUGUUUCUAAUAUUUUUGAAACAUCAUAACCAUUGGAGUUUUCGGGUUGUGCAGUAGUGGUGUUGCUGACAAGCUUUUGAAGUUUGAUACAUGCUGGGUGGUUGUUGCUGGUUUUUGCUUUAAAUUUGCCUUGAUACAUGUUGAGUUGUUUAGCAAACUCACUCUUGACAGAUUUUGGUUAUUCUUUCCCACAUGCUAAUGUGAUAUAUCUCUGUUCAAAUUCCUAUUUUCAUUCUUAUUCUCAUAUACUGAACAUACACCCUUAAGGGCAUAUGUUCUCUUCUAAUGUUAGAACAAAAAGGAUCAUGAUAAUUUUUUUUUGGGGAUGGGUUCUUUUGGCUGAAUAUGAUAGAGCUGUUAACAGUUCAUGGUUACUUUGUAAGAAUUGUAAAUUCUUUGGUUGAUUUUUAUACCAUAUUUUGUAGUUUCAUUUUGAUGGAUUCUAAGGUAAUCCAUGACUCAUUUAUCUUCAUUUUGUUAGUAAUGAUGUAUAAGAUACUUGCAGCCAAUGUUUUGAAAACCGGACUAAACCGUUAUCGGCCAUCUCUCAGGUCGAGUUUUCCCUAGGGAACCAUUUUCAUAUUAAACCGGGCUUGAACUGCUCAAGUCGGUCUGGUUUGCACCAGGGAACUAUUUUCAUAUUAAAUCGGUGUUAAACCGCUUGAGCCAUGGUUGGAUCAUUGAACCGGACGGACCGUUCGGCUUCCUAAGAAGCAGUCAAGCCCAAAACUGGGCCAAACUUCCACUUGUUGUAGAAGCCCAAUAGGCUCUACAGCCAAUCAUCCAUUAAAAGCCCAAACCGGUUGAGCCCAAGAGGGUUUAAACGAGCCAAAGCCCAACCCAAUCCGAUGUGGGAUUGAUUCCAGGUGGUAAGGAAAAAAAGUUGUGCAUGCUGCAGGUGGAUUUGAGGUCAGCUUUAAAAUCAAGGGCAAGGCCAUUGAGCUAUAUGCCAUCCAUGUACAAUAAUGCUGUAAAACUAAAUAUAUAGAAAGAUUAAUGGUUUUUUUUUCAAAUAUUUUCAUGUAAAUAUUUACGUUCAUGUCUAUUUGUAUAAUAAUAAUUAUGAAAAUAAUGUAAAUAAUUAAUAUAAUAAUUUUAAAGUAAUAAAAUACAACGAGAUAAAAUUAAAUACUAUGAUUUUAUUUUCAUCUUAAAUACUUUAUAUUUAAAUAUUAUACAUAUUCUAUUUAAUAAGGUUUCAAAUAUUAAUAUAUUUACAUUUAUCUUUAUAAUUUAAUUUGAUAUAUCUAAUAUAAAAUUGAAAUAUUAUUUAAAAUUUUUAUUAUAUAUUCUAAAUUUUUUAUAAUUAUUUUUUUAUUUUAUAUAAUAUAUAAAUUAUAUAAUUAUUACUUCAUUGAUUCUAUUGUGGUUCAACCAUCGAUCCAAUCAAUAAACCACAAAUCGAUAACUUUUUCAAUCCAAUAACGGAUCUGGUUCUAAUUAUUACAAAUGGAAGUAAUUUAUUGCUUUGAGAAGGUUAAGGAAGGAAAGAUAGAAUAAGUCCUCCUCUAUCGAAGUCCCCUUUGGUAACUGGUAACAAAACCUAAGCUCUCCCUUGUAUAUUUCAUGACAUAAUUUUAAGUAAAGAGGUAUAUUUGGCAAAUAAUCAUUCUCUUCCCCUUACUUCCAUCCUGCUCACCGUCCUAGGAAAAAUUUAGCAUCUUCAACCUUGUACCACGCGUGCUCUCGGGUCCUAUGGCUUUGUUUCUAAUCCCCAUUUGCAAAAAGUUCAGUGUGUGAAGCCUAAGGGUCUUAACGAAAAAUCAUGGUAUAAAAUGUGAACCAACCAAAAGGCUUUAUCCAAUUCUUGUGGCCAUGCAAAGCCCUUGUCUUUCUCUAGCCGGAGACUUACUUGCAAGGCGACGGAAGUGUCGGUGGCGGAGGAGCCGUCGGCUGCGGGGGAUGGCGAGAACUGGGUGCCAGUGGUGCCGCUGUCGGCAUUGCCCAAGGGGGAGCGGCGCGUGAUUAUACAGGACGGAGAGACGAUUCUGUUGUUGUGAUUAUACACGAAAUUUAUGUGAAGAAUGAAAGGCUCUUUUGAGGCUCAUGCAAGCCAUGUAAGAAUUUCAUGUGGCCUAGUGUAUAUUAUUAUGUGAUAUUCAUUUAAAUAUCAAAUUAAAAAUUAUGGUCAAAUAAAUAAUAAAACUACCAGAAGUUAAUUUCCUAAAUUAAAGGUACUUUAAUGGAAAGCGUACGCCUUAUCUGAUCUUCUCUUCACCCUGUAAAAUAAAUGUUCUAUUUGAUCAAAUACACAUAAGAAAAAACCUAAGAGUAGAAGGGUUAAGAAAGAACAACACGGUUUCUACUUUGCUUAUUGUUUGAUCUCUUUAAGACUUCUAUAUGGAUUAAAAGUAUGUCUUUUCUCAAUAAUGGAAUUGUGAAAAUCAUAUUAUUCUAAAAUCCUUGACUAUUUUGAUUCAAACAAAAUUAGGAUUUGAUUUGCAUAAUUAAAUAAUUACUUAUGAGUUUCAUUGGUGAGCAUAUAAUACCACUGACAUAUGUUGAUUAAGUGACAUGAAUACUUUUGAUGUUAUUGUGAUGAAAUUUAUGAUAAUAAAAGUUUAUUUUAUCAAUUUUCAAUAUGUUAUAUACAAUGUAUGUUUAUGGCUAAUAUAUAAAGUGAAUGACUUUCUCGAUUUUUGAAUUGAUUUAUGCAUCAACCACUUUUGAUUGAACCAUAAGUAUGAUUUUGUUCAUGGUAUUACAUCUUUAUCAUCAAAAUAGAUAUAUAUCUAUAUGUAUGUGAAAUAGAUUAUGAAAAUACUAGAAGAGUAAACAUAUUGAAAGGAAGUACCACCUAAUUCAUAAAUAGUACAAAAAGGUGAUAUGCCAAUUGAGAAGAUACCUUUUGUAAAGAACCUAAUAGAUUCUUAUACUAAAACACUUAUAGGAAAAGUCUUUGAUUGUAACGGGGACAAUAUAGGUGUCAAAUAUGCACCUAAUUUACUUUUAUAGCAUUAUGUUUUGAGGGCUAAUGGAAGAUUGUUAGGAUAUCAUCCUACAAAGCAUUACAUGAUAUAAUUAGAAAUUUGGAUUUAUCAUUUAUUUAAUUAUAUUCUAAUUGCUCUUUUAUCUAUGCUUGUAAUAGAGAGUUCCCUAUAUUCAAAUCCCAACCCUAAUAUCAUAUAAAAUAAAGUUUCAUGCUAGUAGAAUAUCUAAAUAUAUUCUCGGUAGUUUUUGGUCAUCAUUGGCAUAACUUUGGGCUAUGCACAAUAACUUUCCAUAUAUUUGGCUUUUAGGUAUAAAUUUAAUUUCUAUAUGAAAUCGUUCAAUAUAUAACUUUUUGCUACAUGAGUCUAAAAGUUAUUAACUUCCAUGCAUGGUGCGACUGGUGGGGUUUCCAAUCACUUGGAAACCAUGUCCAGAUACAUAUGAAGAGAUCAAUAAAACCAACCUUCCACUUCCUACAAUAAUAGUUUACCAAGUGUAUCUUCAAUCCUAAGCCAGUCUGGUAUUCGGUGUUGCAGCUCCUGUAAACUGGCCUCUGCUUGGUCCAGCUCCAGAUAAAGCUGCUCUACUUCAGCUAUCUUCUCAUUCAAGCGCCUACGAAUCACGUCCCUCUUGCCCUCUGCUUGUGCAUACUCAACUAAAGGUUGCACUCCUGUAAACUGGCCUCUGCUUGGUCCAACUCCAGAUAAAGCUGCUCUACUUCAGCUAUCUUCUCAUUCAAGCGCCUACGAAUCACGUCCCUCUUGCCCUCUGCUUGUGCAUACUCAACUAAAGGUUGCACUCCAACAAAUGGGCUUCUUAACCAAUCAACCUUAACCCGCGCCCUUGAAAAGAAGAAGAAUUAGCUGAAUUAAUAUUAUUGAUGUUGAAGUGUGUAUUUAUACAAGGAGGUUUGAGAUCUUUUUCUACAAAUCAGAAAUCAGCUUACCAUAUUCUAGACUAUCCAGCUAUAAGUCAGGAAUUACAAUAGGAAAACUAACAUAUACAGAUCAUCUAUUCUUAAUAUGGAAGAUUUAGGAAGAUUGACUUUCCAACACUCCCCCUCAAGUUGGAGAGUGGAUAUCCUGCACUCCCAACUUGCGAAUCAUAGGAGCAAAAAUCUCCUUUCCCAAUGGUUUAGUUAGAAUGUUUGCAAGUUGGUGUGCUGAGCUCACAUGUCUUGUAAUAAUGGAACCAUCUUGGAUCUUGUCCCUAAUAUAGUGACAAUCCAUCUCAAUAUGUCUAGUACGCUCAUGGAAAACAGGGUUAGCUGCAAUGUGCAACGUUGCCUUGUUGUCACAAUACAGCAAGGCAGGUUCCUGAUGUAAAACAACCAAAUCUUUCAAAAGGUACCGAAGCCAUGUCAACUCACAACAAGCUCUUGUCAUUGCACGAUACUCUGCUUCGGUUGAAGAGAGUGACACUGUUUUCUGUCGCUUUGAUCUCCAAGAAAUCAAUAAAGGUCCAAGGAAUACACAGUAGCCUACAGUGGACCUUCUAGUAAGUGGACAACCUGCCCAAUUAGAAUCACAGUAGGCUCUCAAUCUAAAAUCAUUAUUCGAAGAGAAGAACAGACCCUGACCAGGUGUAUUCUUGAGAUAACGUACAACUCUGAACGCUGCUUCCAUAUGAGCCUUUCUCGGUUGAUGCAUAAACCAGCUUAACACAUGAACUGCAUAAGUGAUAUCUAGCCUCGACAUAGUUAGAUAUAUUAACCUUCCAACCAAUCUCCUAUAACGACCUUGAUCCUUGAGCAAAUCGCUCUUAUCAGACAAUUUCAAUCCUCGUUCCAUAGGUGUAUCAAUAGGGGCAGCGCCCAACAAUCCUGCAUCCUCAAUAAUCUCUAAUGCAUACUUACAUUGGGAAAUAAAAAUCCCAUUUUUAGAAACAGAAACCUCAAUGCCAAGAAAGUAUUUUAAAUCACCCAGAUCUUUGAGAUGAAAAUGACUAUGUAGAAAUUUUUUUGUUGUAGCAAUGCUCACAGGAUCAUUUCCAGUAAUCAGAAUAUUAUCAACAUAUAUCAAGAGGGCAGUAAAGGACUUGCCUUGUUUUCUGGUGAACAAAGAAUAAUCGACUCGAGAUUGUGCAUAACCGACGGAUUGAAUAGCUUCUGAGAACUUGGCGAACCACUGGCGAGAAGCUUGUUUCAGACCAUAGAGUGAUUUAUGAAGGCGACAUACCAAGUUUUCCUCCCCCUGUCGCCGAAGCCCUAGCGACGGAGACAUAUAUAUUUCCUCAUGUAAGUUGCCAUGAAGAAAAGCGUUGUUAACAUCCAUUUGAUGAAGAGACCAGCCACGGGCUGCGGCAAUGCAAGCAAGCAGCGGACAGAUAUGAUCUUGGCGGUGGGGGCAAAGGUAUUCUGAUAAUCGACACCUUCUAAUUAAGUAAAGCCUUUCGCUACCAAUCGUGCUUUGUAACGCUCAAUAGACCCAUCUGAACGGUGUUUAAUUUUAUACACCCAUCGACAGCCAAUCGUUGUCUUACCGGCCGAAAGUGGAGUGAGAAACCAAGUGUCAUUAGCUUGGAGAGCCUGCAAUUCAGAACACAUUGCCUCCUGCCACUCAGGAUGAGCGGCUGCUUCUAAAUAAGACCUGGGUUCUGUGACAGCACUAUGUUGAGCAACAAAAGAUCUAUAUGCAGGCUUAUAUCUGUGAUAAGAAACAUAAUUGGCCAGUGGAUGUGUACCUUUAGUUGGACCUGGAAUCAAGAAAGACGAUUGAUUGGAGGAAACGUGGGAACAAACAUAAUCGUGGAGCUUGAUUGGCGGGGCGAUAUGGCGGCUGGAGCGACGAAGAGGAGUGGCUGGUUUGGGUGAGUGUGUCUCGGCUGGAGGAACGGACGGGAUGGAUGCAAACGGUGGCACCGGAGAAGGCGAUACUAGAGUUGUAGAAGGCGGUGGUGAAGGGUUUGGAUCAAUCUGAGAAGAAGGUUCGAUAAUGAGUUCGGAAUGUCGAGAAAGAGAGGAAAAGUCGUCAUUUUCUGUGGUGGGAGACAGUGUGCUUGUGUGGUUGGAAAGAAGAGGGGAAAGUGCGUGAGAAGUAGAGUCAAGGGAGGAAGAGAUGUCGUGGGCCACCAAGGGGAUUGGGCCAGAAUUAUGGGUGAACGAAGAGAGAGUAGAGUUGGGCUUGAGAGAGACAUAAGGAAAAAUAUCUUCAUGAAAUUUGACAUCUCGGCUAGUAAAGACCUUUUUGGUUGAUAAAUCAAAUAAUUUGUAUGCUUUCUGACCAACAGGAUAACCAAUGAAGAUGGAUGGCAUGGCACGGUAAUCAAAUUUGUGAGAGGUGUGAACAUUGGUGGCAUAGGCUAAACAUCCGAAAACACGGAGAUGGAGUAAGAAGGUGGUUUUGAGUAAAGCAAUUCAAAAGGAGUUUUGAAAGACAAUAUUGGUGAAGGUAACCGAUUGAUGAUGUGUACGGCAAUGAGAGCACACUCCCCCCAAAAUUGAGUGGGAACUUGAGCAUGGAAUUUCAAAGCUCGGGCUACUUGUAAAAUAUGACGAUGUUUGCGUUCCACAACCCCAUUUUGUUAAGGCGUGUAAACACAAGAAUGCUGAAAGAUGACACCAUUAUCUUGAAAAAAAGGAACGAAGUGAGGUAAAUUCUCUACCAUUGUCACUUCGAAAAGUUUUAAUGCGAAAUUCAAAUUGUGUGAACACAUAGCUGAAGAAAUGUUUUAAAAGUGAUUGUGCUUCAUCUUUAUAUCGCAUUAAAAAUAUCCAAGUGAAACGUGUAUAAUCAUCGACAAUAGUGAGAAAGUAAUGGGCACCAAACAGAGAACGGUGUCGAUAACGACCCCAAAUGUCACAAUGAAUAAUCUCAAAAGGUUUUGUAGAAGAAAUAGCACUAGUACCAAAAGGUAAACAACUUUGCUUAGCCAAAGGACAUAUAGGGCAAGCAUUAUUGGACUGAACAAAAAAAUUCAAAAAAUUCUUGGCAAUGAAACUCAAACGAGAAGGUGAUACAUGGCCUAAGCAACUGUGCCAGAGAUCGGUGGAAGAGAUGGCGAGAUUGCAGGCUGGUUGGUUUGUGGAUGAGGAAUGGUUGGUUAAAGAUUUCUCCGUCGCUAGUGCCACCAAAUAGUAUAGUCCGUCACGUUGUUUACCCAAACCAAUCGUCCUCCUCGUAGCCAGAUCCUGCAAAAUACACCAAUAAGGGAAACACGUCACUGAACAAUUUAGACCUCUUGUCAAACGACUAACUGAUAUUAAAUCAACUUUGAAUGUAGGCACAGAUAAGACAUCAUGCAGAUAAUAGACGGAAUUCAGAGGCAAAGUCCCUUUCGUAACAAUAUUCGUUUUUUCUCCACUAGGCAACAAUACGAGCGGUAACGAGCAAUUUUUAUCUUUAUGCAAUAACUUAGAGGAUGAAGUAAUAUGAUCCGUCGCCCCACUAUCAAUAAUCCAAUUGCGAGAAGCGACUUUGGACAAACCUGGCUUUGUUACAGCAUUCACUUUGGAACUAGAGUUUUCAUCUUGGUUAUUAAGAAGUGACAAAAGUUGCUUGAGUUGGGCUUCUGACAAUGCAACUGCAGGUUUCCCUUCAUCUGCCUCAGAAACUUGGUUAGCUGCAGAAAAACUUUUAUUUCGAUUUGAGUUUGAGCCUAAGUUUAUUCUUGCUUUUGGAUGGUCUGGUGGGUAUCCAUGUAGUUGAAAACACUUUUGGACCCAAUGACCCAUAUCUCCACAAUACGAGCACUGGGGGCGUCCUCUUCCAGAACCCAUGCGGCGCCAAUCUUGAUCAAAAAAUGGUCUGCCAUCUUGUCCCUGAGAAGACCGAUUCACCCGGAAAUUUUGAGAACUAGAGGGGUGAUCAGUCGGUUCCAUCCUUCCUGUGUUCGAUCGAUCUAUUCCAUCCUUCCAAGUUGCCGAAGACUUGUCGUUGCUACGCACAGCCAUAGCAGCACUUGCGGCAGAUUCCGCUGCUGCGUUCGUCGAAGUGAGGAGGCGUUGUUUUUCUUCUUGAGAGACAGAGGAGUAUGCUUGGCGGACAGAAGGAAGAGGAUUCAUCAGGAGGAUUUGCCCGUGAAUAGCACUGUAAGAUUCAUUCAAACCCAUCAGAAAUUGCAUCAAUUUUUGUUGAUCUUGUUGUGCCCCAUGUGAUGCAGCGUUGUAGGAAGCCAGUUCAUCCCACAGGCCUUUCAAUUUUGUGUAAUAGGCAGAGACAGAGAGUUGCUCUUUUCAAAGACAAGCAAUAUCUCGCUGAAUUUCAAAGAUGCGAGGCGCAUUGCUCUGAGAGAAUCGCUCACAGAGAUCUUCCCAAACUUCAUGAGCAGUAGAAUAAUAGAUUACACUGUCCGCAAUUUCUGGAUUGAGAGUAUUGACGAUCCAGGAGUGAACCAUGUCGUUACACCGUGACCAAGUCGCAUAACCUUCAGGAUCAAUUUCUUCUGAAGGAGCCUUGAUCGAGCCAUUAACAAAACCCAAUUUGUUCUUGGAAUUUAAAGCUAGAAUCAUAGCCCUUUUCCAAGCUGAAUAAUUGUCUCCAUUCAAAGAUUUGGAAAUCAAAACCAAACCUGGGUGAUCUGAAUGGUGAGUGAAAUAGGGAUUGGAGAGAUCUGCCUUUGAGAAAUCCGUAGGAAUCUCUAAUUUUGCCAUGAUGAUUGAAGAAAAGAGAUGCUAUACGAGAGAUUAGAGUGUAGCAAUAAAUCAGGAUUUUAGUCCUGCUCUGAUACCAUGAAAAGAAGAAGAAUUGGCUGAAUUAAUAUUAUUGAUGUUGAAGUGUGUAUCUAUACAAGGAGGUUUGAGAUCUUUUUCUACAAGUCAGGAAUUAGCUUACCAUAUUCUAGACUAUUCAACUAUAAGUCAGGAAUUACAAUAGGAAAACUAACAUAUACAGAUAAUCUAUUCUUAAUAUGGAAGAUUUAGGAAGAUUGACUUUCCAACACCCUCUCCAAAUCACUCAAUGCUCUAUCAAUGAAGUAGGUGUCUGCACCAGACAGGCUACAGGCAGUAUUCUUCUGCAUCAGCUCCACAAUCUGCAGUAUGGAACCUUUGAUGAUCUCUACAAACUGGGGUGCUGUAAAGGAGCAAUUGGCAGUUACGUCUCCAUAUUUGGUCCAUAUUUGCUGCCAAAUCGACUCCCUGGUAUUGGAAGUUACACCAGAUCCCUCAACCAUCUCAAGAAGCCCUGCAGCAGCUGUGUUAGGAUCUGUGAGAGUUUUGUCUGUGUCCUCAGCUUCAGUUGGAGCGAAGGAAGUUUGGAUCUCCUAAAGCCCAAAAAAGAGAAGGAAAAGUAUAGAACUUGUGCUUGGAAUUAACCAACAAAAAAGAUUAAUUUUGAUGUAAAAGUGCCCAAGGAAAAAUAUUUUGGUAGUUUCAGUUGAAAAUUUUGACAAACCUUGUCAGCUCCCGAAGCACCUUCCACUUCAUCUGAAGGCCAAUUAAGUGUAUCUAGGCAUUGCAACCUGUGAUUAUGCUCAAGAUGAAGUUUUGUGAUCACCCAUUGUCCAUUGUCAAGUUUGACUUGGAUCUGGACAUUGCAACCUGUUCUUGUUUCUGAUCUCUGAUACUUUGUUCCCUGGUUGGGAUGCUUCUUGGUCCGGAAGCCUUCACAUGAACAAAGAAAGCAUCGCCCUUUCAGUGUACCAUUUGCUUUCCUUUGUACCUUUCCUUUUCUUACUGUAAAACCAAUUCUCUUGGCAUACUUUUUACAAAAUUCUUCAGCUUCUAACUCAGAAGAAAACGCCAUCCCUCUCCGUGGUAUCUGAUCAUCGUCUUCAGGAUUUUUCUCAUUUACAUUAACCAAUGUUCCAAUCUCAUCACCAUUUACAUUAAUAGCCAUUUCAGUCUCACCACUAUAGAACGAACUCCACCAAGAAUCAAAAUUAAGCUCAUCCUGUACAAAGUGAGAUAGAGAGAGAAGUUUUCUAUGAGAAAAAUGAGAAGCAAAAAGUGGUACAAUGCAUAACAAUAAUUUUCUUCUGUUACACCAACUAUUGAUUCAAACUACAUCUUAUCCUGUAACUCUUGUAGAACAAUGAAUUAAUAUAAGAAGAGUGACACUGUAAGACGGCUUAUAGACAAGUAGAUGGAGUAACCAAUUCUUGAUUUGCUGGUAGCAGCUUUAUUUGGGCAGAAAAGUUUUUGAAUUAUUUAUCUUUAAAAUUAACCGUUGUUCUAGAAAAUGGAUCGAGCUUACCUGGAUAGUGAGGCGCCUGAAGGUACCGCCAACUCUGUUGUGGUUUACUAAAUCAUCAGAUUCCUGUAUGGCACCCCGAACAUCUGGGCGUGAACCGAUGGAACUAUACCUGCAAGAUGAUAGGGUUCGAUAGACAUUCUGGUGCAGUUGAUGGGUGUGGAUCCAGAGGAUCGGUGCUUGAUUGCUUUGCUUCCGGCUGGUGCAGGACCCUCAAAUGUUUGGGAUCUCGCCUUCCCAAGCCAAGACUCCUUUUAUGGCUCUCGCAGCCUGCUGUGUGGGACAGCGUCCUUUUUCCUUGUUUGCUUUGCUUCCGUUCCCAAAUUCCAACCCACUGCGCUUUGACCAGAUGGUCCAAAUCUCCAUUUCUCGGCCACGUCGGUGCCUUUGGUGCUCUUUUCCCUUGUUUUAUUUCCUUCAGUGCCUUCACUACAAAAUACAUGGUCCCACCCACCGUUUUUAAAAUUCAACCCAUCUUAUCUAUUUAAGCAUCCGUUGUCUUUUUUAUAAUUCAAAGAUAAAGGUUUUUUAUCUUUCCUCCCAAGAGGCUACUACUCAAAAAGUCAAAACUUCAGAAACAUUAAAUAUAUAUAUAUAAAAUAGAGAAUUAUCAAAACGGUGGGCGGAAAGUGGUAAUCCUUUUUAAAAGUCAUCAUGUUGACCAAUUCUACUCCUCGGGUAAUCAUUUGAAAGAAAUUUUCAAUUAUAUCCUAUCUAAACUUUAUUUUUUUAUUUUUUUCUUUUGUAUUAUUAUUAUUAUUAAAUAUUAAUACUACUCUUAAUAUUAUUAUUUAUGAUAUUAGUAUUUUAAAUUUUCAUAUUAUUAUUAGUAUCAUUCUUAUUAAUAUUAUUUAUUAUUUUUAUGAUUAUUAUUCAUAUUUUUAAUAUUAUAUUAAAAAUAAUAUUAUUAUAUUUUUAUUACUACUACAAAGAAACCUUAGAAGAUAAUUUAUAUUUUUUCGUUCUUAGAACUUGUAAACUUUAUUAAAAAUUUAUUCUUUUUUUUUCAUUUUAUACUUUAUAUGUUAUAUUAAGAUUAAUUAAAUUAUUAUUAUUAUUAUUCUUAUUAUUGCUAUUAAGAUAUUAGUUUUAUAUUAUUAAUAUUUUAAUAAAAUAAUAUUAUAUCCAAGUUAUAGAUAUAAUAAAAAAUGCAUUGAUGUUAAUAAUAUAAUAGAAUAAAGCAAUGUUUCUAAUACUAUUAGAUUUGUUACAAAAUGUAAGUACAACAUUUAUCUAUUGAAUUUAUAACAUAAAUACAUUAAAAAUACGAUAUAGUACAACAUUUUUAAUAGUUUUCAUGUAAAAAUAAAAUAAAAUUUUAUCAUUUAAAUUUAUCUCAUUUUAACUGUUAUACAUUCCAUCAUGUUAAUGUCUUGUAAAUUACUAUUGCAUUUUUUUUCCCACAAAUAAUAGAUUCAUGUUUAUCAUCUCACAAAUAAAUUUUAAUUAGGAUUUAUAUUUAUUUUAAUUUUUAAAAUAUUUAUAAAUAUAAAACAUAAUACAAUAAUUUAGUUUACAACAUUAAACUUUACCUUGCUCCACAUCCUUUCAAAAAGCAAGGAUGACCUUGCCCCAUGUGCUUUCAAAAAAUAAGGAUGAAAAUAUGGAUAAUUAUGAAUAUAUCAGUUAUUUAAUUUUACUGAUACAUUAGAGAUGCGAAUAUUUUCAUACAAAUAUCGAUGAAUAAAAAAUUGAUCAAAACUCAUGAAAAUAUUAUGAAAAUCUCUAAAAAAAAUGAUAUAAAAAUAAUAAUAAUAGAAAUAUUGAGAUUGUUUUGUUAAAAUAAAUUGAUAUAUAUAUAUAUAUAUAUAUAUAUAUAUAUAUAUAUAUAUAAUAUAAGUUGUGAUAUUUAACAAUAAUGUUUAUAACUUGAAAACAUAUUUUAUGUAUAUACACCAAAUUUGAAUAUAUUUAACAAUAUAUAAGAAAUGAUAAUAAUUUGUAGAAGAAUUUUUUGUUUCACACAAUAACCAAAACUAAUUAAUUUAUAAUAAUUUUAUUAUAAUUAAUUUAUAACAUAUAUAUACAUUAAAUAUGUUCGAUUUAUAAUGUAGCAUGGUUGGUUGGCUGGUGGUGGGGGAUUUUCCCCAACUUGAGGUUCUACCUUUCAAAUGAGCGCAAUGUGUAGGCUGGUAAGCGAGCCCAUUGCAAGAUGUUUGAAAAAAAAAAAAAGGAAAAGAAAAAGAAAAAAAAUGAAUCAUGUGGCAUUGAAAUUAUUGGUGCAUCAGUCGUAUGUCGGCGAAAAAUGGCAAGAAAAAAAAAACUCAAUCGGUCAAUUUAAUCUACUAUUCUUAUAAACAAGUUUGUUUGGCUAAAGGGUAGAUUUCACAAACAUGCUUGGAAUCAAAAUAAAUUUCAAGAUUAAUUUUAGCAAGAACUUGAAGAGAACUGGAUGACGAGUGCCCAAGAUGCUAAUGCCAAAGAUUGGGAUGUUUACAAAUGGCAUAAGCCAAGGCUAGAUUUUGGUCUUGUGCUAGGUAGUAGAGGUCAUUAUGUUGCUUGCCCAAGCCAAUAGUCUUCCUUGUAGCAGUGUUUUACACAAUACAAAAAUUGGAAAAGAACAUCACUAUACAUUUAAAUGUCCAUGUUAGUUUACUAAAUGAUAGUAAAUUAACUUGAAAUUGUGAAACUUUGAGUACUUCAUCAAGUUUAAUGUGGGGUGAAAUAUUCAAUGAACUAAUCGACUUAAUAUGUGUUUGACCACCAUCUGGCAAACUAAUGGUGGUUAUCUUAUGCAAAUUUUUUAGAUCUAGUAAUUCAGUUGAAGAAGUCACAUGAUUUGCGGCUCCACUAUCAAUAAUCCAACACAUAUUUCUGAGUGUAGGUAAUCUUGAAUGAUUUUGGAUGAUAUAUUUAUACUUGUGGCAUUUGCAAAAUAUUGUGAGUUACCAUCAUUGUUUUUUUGAAUCAUGGCCAUUAGUUGGUCAUAUUCCUCAGUUGUGAGCCUUAAUCCGUCACUUGUUGGAAGAUAUUUUGCUUUUAUCUCCAUGACCUUGUUUGUUUCCACCUUCACAUUGUUUGCAUUUUAGUGACACUGAUUGGGAGACUUCACGUUCUUCCCAUGAAGCCUGUGACCUAUUGGAAAGCAAUAUAGGUAGUAACACUUCUCAAUGUUAUGAUAAUCACCGUCACAAUAAGAGCAAUGUAGCAAAGUUUUUUACCUUUAAACCUAGUGUGCUGGAGUCACCUUGUUGUGCCAAUCUGCAAGCAUGGCAUGACGGUUCAUGUUCCCAUGUUUGAUAUAAACUUCAACCUGUUUUUCUUAUUGAAGGACAAGUGAGUAAACUCGACAUGUAUCAGGUAGAGGUUGCAUAUCAAUAAGAUUUGUCCAUGAAUGGUAGCAUAACUAUCAUUCAAUCCCAUGAGAAACUGCAUAACUCUUUCUUUCUCAUCCUUUUCCUUGAGUUUCUCCAACCCUCCACAAGAGUAGGAUAACACUUCAUGAUAGGAUGAAAGUUCAUCCUAAAAAGCUUAAAGCUUUGUGUAGUAAACCGAAAUUGAUUGUUGGCUCACCUAUGUUCCAUGAUUUCUCGUUUGUUUUAAUAAAUUCUUGAAUUAUUUCCUUGAAAAAAGCAUUCUUUUAGAUCUACCCUAACUUUUGUUGAAGUUUCAACAUAAAUCACACUGUUGAUUAUGUCUGGAUGAAUGAAAUUCAAUAACCAUGAGAUCACCAUAUCAUUGCAUCAUUGCAUCAUUGCUAAGAAGGAAAACUAUCAUAUGUCAAUGGAGUUGGAGUCAGCUUGAUUGAACCUAUGACAAAUCCAAUCUUAUCUUUAGUACUCAAACUAAUUCUCAUACCCCGACUCCACGUGUUGUAGUUAUCUCCUUCAAGUACCUUAGAGAUGAGUACCAUACUCGGAUGGUUCGAGUGGUGUAGAGAGAAGGAAUGUGAGGCUUCUAUGGUAGCCUUAGACGAUGUCAACAAUCUCAUUCUGUUAUUAAUGUCCAUGGCAGCAACUGUAACAAGGAAUUAGGUUGCAAAAAUAUUUGGAAGAAUUCAAAGCCACCAAGUUUGGUGCUUUGAUACCAUGUCAAAAACAAAGUAAAACAGAAUAUUUUGGAAAUCUUCAGUAUAUUGAAUGUUUUGACUUACAAAGAAAAAAAUACAUAUAUAUAAAACAUCAGUUAGCCUAUUAUAGGAAACUAUGUGUAAACAGAUCAAUUACAAUCAAUCAAAAAAAUAAUCUCAUAUUAACAAAUCUUAUCCUAAAAUUAUGAGAUUCUUGAUUCUUUUCUUGUAAUAAGUUCCACGGUUGGAGUCAAAUAAAGCUCCAAUAAAUGUUCCAUUUUACCUUGAAUAUCUAGAAACUUCUUGAGCCCUGAGCAGCCAAAGAAAUUAAGAAUUUCAAGUGCUUCCAUUUUGAUGAUGCUCUAAAAAUUGCUAAGCUUUUUGCAGUUUUUCAAACUCAAUAAAAUAAGCUUGCUAAGCUUUCCAAUAGAUGGGUGGACCUAAAGCAAACUUGAACAACCAUCAAGAAUUAGUUUCUCCGGAUUGGGCGCACUAAAUGUGAUGUCUGGAAUUUCAAUUAGGUGUUGAAGAAGCUAUAACCAAAAAUAAAAAAGAAAAACCAAUAAUAAUAAUUACUUUAGUAUAUAAGCUUUCAUGGAGUUUAGAGAUUAACUAAAGAAGAAACAUGAAAAAAAUAAAAUAAAAUCACUCAUCAUACCAUGUCAUUUUCACAAAGUUGUUUUAAGCUGCUAUGACACAUGUUAAGUUCUACAAUGUCUUUUGCAUAAAAACUUUAAUAGUUUUUAUGUAAAAAUAAAAUAAAAUUUUAUCAUUUAAAUUUAUCAAACUUUAACCGUUAUACAUUCCAUCAUUUUAUCGUCUUGUAAAUUACUAUUGCUUUUUUUUUCCCACAAAUAAUAUAUUCAUGUUUAUCAUCUCACAAAUAAAUUUUAACUAGGAUUUAUAUUUAUUUUAAUUUUUUAAAUAUUUAUAAAUAUAAAACAUUACACAAUAAUUUAGUCCCAACUCAAGACUUUACUUUGUUCCACACCAUUUCAAAAUCCAAUGAUAAAAAAAUAUCGAUAAUCAUGAGUAUAUUGAUAUUUUGAUUUUAGGAAUAUAUCAUAGAUACGGAUAUUUUGACGUAAAAUGUCGAUGGGUCAAAAAUUUGAAUGUACUUAAUAAUAUAGAAGAAAUAAUGAUAAUUUGUAUAAGUAUUUUUUAUUUUAAAAUUUUGAUAAUUUUAUUCAUAAAUUUAUAUUUAUUUUGUAUUUAACACAGUAAUCAAAAUUAAUUUAUUUAUAAUAAUUUUAUUUGAAUUAAUUUAUAUAUAUAAUUAUAUUUGUUUAUAUAGAUAUAUGGUUUAGAGCCCGUUUGACAGUGAUUUUUAAAAGUGUUUCUACCCUUAAAAACACUUUUAAGUGUUUUUGGGAUGAAAAUAAAGUGUUUGGCAAAUUUUAAAAAACACUUUUGAAAAUCUGGAAAAACACUUAAAGUGAUUUUUAGAGAAUCACUUAACAGGUGUUUUUUUUUAAAAACACUUCAAUUUUUUUGAAAUAUUCCAAAAAUGCCCCCCAGUGGUCAUAUAUUGUUUUACUUUUAAAAUUAUCUUUUAUUCAAUGUUUUUUUUUUUUUUAUUGAUUUAGAUGUUUUUUGUAAAUAUUUUUUAAAAUUUUAGUAUAGUGAUAAAAAAAUUAUUAUUUUUAAUUAGAAAAGUCUUUUUCUUUUUUAGAAAUUAAUAGGUAAAAUCAUAUAUUGUUUUAAUUUUAAAAUUAUCUUUUAUUCAAUGUUAUUUUUUUAGUGAUUUAGAUGUUUUUUCAUUAAUAAAAAGUUUUUUUGUUUAUCAUACCAUUUUUUUUAAUUAAAAUUGUAUGUCCUUUUUGGUAAUUUAUUAAUAUUAAAAGUGUUUUUAUAUUUAUACAAUAUAUUAUCAAAAACACUUUAGAAUCAUUUUUUCUGAUUAUCAUAAAAGUGUUUUUCACAUAAACACUACAGUAGAAAACACUUCAAAUAAAAACACUUCCACUAGAAUCACUACCAAACGGGCUCUUAUAUAUGUAAUGCUGAGAAUGAACAUAUAUAUUAAAUAUGUUCGGUUUAUAAUGUAAAACAUGGUUUUCCCAAGCUCGAGGUUUUACCUUUAAAGUGAGCGCAAUGCGUGGGCUGGGAAGUGAGCCCAUUGCAAGAUUUUUGAAAAAUAAAUUAAUAUUUUAAUAUCCCUCACUUAAAAAUAAAUUCUCUUAUAGCAUGUUGAGACAAAAUAAAUAAAUAAAUAAAUAAUGGUCUAUAGAAAGCAGGUGGGUCAACAAGGACCCUUUGUCUUCGAUGAUCUCACUGGCAUUUAAUUUACUUGUUGCAGAAACUGCCUGUUCCUUACACUCUGCGAGUUUUGCUCAGACUUGACUUUCACAACUCAAAUUUCAGAAUCCAUCUUCUCUGCCGCCUCGUAAUGGCUGAUCCUUCUUUCCAACGGAGCUAUGAUGUGUUCCUGAGCUUUAGAGGAGAAGACACCCGCAAUAGCUUCACUGCCCAUCUCUAUAAGGAGCUACGCACCAAAGGAAUCAACACGUUCAUUGACGAUGACAAGCUUGAGAGGGGUGAUGUCAUUUCUUCUGCGCUUGUUGCGGCUAUUCAAAACUCCAAGUUUUCUCUCGUUGUUUUGUCAGAAAAUUAUGCAUCUUCCGGGUGGUGUUUGGAGGAGCUGGUGAAGAUUCUAGAGUGCAUGAGAACCAUGGGACAGAGGGUUCUCCCCAUUUUCUACGAUGUGGAUCCCUCGCAUGUAAGACAGCACAACGGAAAAUUUGGAGAAGCACUGGCUAAACAUGAAGAAAAUUUGAGAACUAUGGAGAGGGUGCCGAUUUGGAGGGAUGCUCUCACUCAAGUUGCCAAUUUAUCCGGUUGGGAUUCCAGGAAUAAGUAAUUCUCUACAGCUUUCCCAUCAUCAUCUUCAUCCUCAUAUCACUAAUUUCAAUAUAUGCAUCUGUUCAUUAAUUAUCUUGUUUACUUUAAUUUUACCUUUCUCUUUUUGAGUGAUGAACUAAUUUCAUGUUUAUACUUCAAAUUUGGCAGGCAUGAGCCUAUGCUUAUCAAGGGAAUUGCCACUUAUAUUUGGAAUAAAUUGUUUAGUAGAUCCUCAAAUUAUGCUGAUCAGAACCUAGUUGGAAUAGAAUCUAGCAUACGAGAAAUAAAAUCCCUGCUAUUUACCGAGUCUCUAGAUGUUCGCAUGGUGGGGAUUUGGGGCAUGGGCGGCAUAGGUAAAACAACCCUUGCCAGAGCUGUUUAUAACCAAAUCUCUCAUCAAUUUGAAGCUUGCUGCUUUCUUGAAAAUGUCAGUGAUUAUUUGGAAAAGCAAGAUUUCCUUAGCUUGCAAAAGAAAUAUCUUUCUCAACUAUUGGAAGAUGAAAAUCUAAAUACAAAAGGAUGCAUCUCUAUAAAGGCUUUGCUUUGUUCUAAAAAGGUUCUCAUUGUCAUUGAUGAUGUGAACAAUUCAAAAAUAUUAGAAGACUUGAUUGGGAAGCAUGGUUGGUUUGGUAUCGGAAGUAGAAUCAUCAUAACAACAAGAAAUAAGCAGUUGCUAGUUACACAUGGGGUGAAUGAAGUCUAUCAGGCUGAAAAAUUAAAUGAUGAUAAUGCGGUUGAGCUCUUCAGUCGAUAUGCCUUUAAAAAAGCCCAUCCUAUAGAUGAUUAUGUGGAGCUCUCUCAAUGUAUAGUGGUUUAUGCUCAGGGCCUUCCAUUAGCUCUUCGAGUUUUAGGUUCAUUUUUAUUUGAUAAGAGCAAACGGCAAUGGGAAAGUCAGUUGGAUAAACUAAAAAAAAUUCCUAAGAAGGAAAUUCAAGAUGUGCUUCGAGUAAGUUUUGAUGGGUUGGAAGAUAACGAGAGAGAUAUAUUUUUGGACAUCGCAUGUUUCUUUCAAGGGCAUGAUAAAGAUUAUGUAAUGGAAAUAUUCAGAUCUUGUGGUUUCUUCCCUGAUAUUGGAAUAAGAGUUCUCAUUGAGAAGUCUCUUAUAUCUGUUGUUGAGAAUAAAUUGAUGAUGCACAAUUUGUUACAAAAAAUGGGUCGGGAAAUUGUUCGUGAAGCAUCUCCUAAGGAACCUGGAAAACGCAGCAGGUUGUGGAUUCAUGAUGAUGUAAAUCAUGUAUUGACAAAAAAAACGGUAAGAGACAAAUGUAUAAACCCUUUUUUUAUAUAUAUAGGUAAUUAGGUUGGUCUAAAGUGCAACUUAGGAAGUACCAACUUUGUUUAAUUGCGUAGUUUAGUAUGUAUAUAAUUUUACUCACUUAUCCAUUACUCUUUUUUGCUAGGGAACCGAAGAAGUUGAAGGAAUAUCCCUUGACUUGUCCAGUUUGAAAGAGAUAAAUUUCACUAAUGAAGCUUUUGCACCGAUGAAUAGGCUCAGAUUGCUCAAAGUCUAUACAUUGAAUUUUCUCAUGGACUCCAAAAGAGAGAAGUGUAAAGUGCACUUUUCCCGAGGCUUUAAAUUUCACUGCGAAGAACUGAGGCACCUAUAUUGGUAUGAAUACCCUUUGAAAUCACUGCCCAAUGAUUUUAACCUCAAGAAUCUUGUUGACCUCAGCAUGCCUUAUAGCCAAAUAAAACAACUUUGGAAAGGGACCAAGGUAUCGCUAUGAUUUAUCCAUGUUAUUUUAUUUAGAUUGUAUGUACCGUUCAUGAAAAAUCAUCUUCUUAAGCCUUGUUUCUUUCACUGCAGGUUCUUGAAAACUUGAAGUUCAUGAAUCUCAAGCACUCCAAAUUCUUAACGGAAACCCCGGAUUUCUCAAGGGUUACCAACCUUGAACGGUUAGUUUUAAAAGGUUGUAUAUCUUUGUAUAAGGUUCACCCAUCACUUGGAGAUUUGAACAAACUCAAUUUCUUGAGUUUGAAAAAUUGCAAAAUGCUGAAGAGUCUUCCAAGUUGCAUUUGUGAUUUGAAAUGCCUUGAAGUAUUUAUUCUUUCUGGUUGCUCAAAAUUUGAAGAGUUACCUGAGAAUUUUGGGAACUUAGAAAUGUUGAAGGAAUUUUGUGCGGAUGGAACUGCUAUUAGGGUACUUCCCUCCUCUUUUUCUUUAUUGAGAAACCUUGAAAUAUUAUCCUUUGAGAGAUGUAAAGGACCACCACCAUCUACCUCAUGGUGGUUGCCAAGAAGAAGUUCAAAUUUCAGUAAUUUCGUAUUGUCUCCUUUGUCAAGUUUAAGCUCCUUAAAAACUCUAAGCCUAAGUGCCUGCAAUAUAUCAGAUGGAGCAACUCUUGAUAGUCUUGGCUUCUUAUCUUCACUGGAAGAUUUAGAUUUAAGUGAGAACAACUUUGUUACUCUGCCUUCAAAUAUCAGCCGACUUCCUCACUUGAAAAUGCUUGGGUUGGAAAAUUGUAAAAGAUUGCAAGCACUGCCAGAGCUUCCAACAAGCAUACGUAGUAUAAUGGCUCGUAAUUGCACAUCAUUGGAAACAAUCUCAAAUCAAUCAUUUAGCUCCCUACUAAUGACUGUCAGAUUGAAGGAACAUAUCUAUUGCCCAAUAAAUCGGGUGAGAUUUUCCUCCGGUAUAUCAUAAUUCAAUUUCCCACUAAAUAAUGCACAAUUUAAUUUCAUUUGUGGUAGUGUAAAAUAAAUGUCGAAUGAUUUAAGAUGGUAAAGCAGCAAGCAAUUUCUAUCUCUACUAACAUCCUCAUCAUGUUCAUUCUACAGGAUGGACUUUUAGUUCCUGCACUUAGUGCAGUUGUUUUUGGGAGUAGAAUACCAGACUGGAUAAGGUACCAGAGCUCAGGGAGUGAAGUAAAAGCAGAGCUACCUCCAAACUGGUUUGAUUCCAACUUCCUGGGUCUUGCUUUGUGUGUUGUCACUGUUCCCAGGCUGGUGUCACUUGCUGAUUUUUUUGGUCUUUUUUGGAGAUCAUGUACCUUGUUCUAUUCCACAUCCAGUCACGCUUCUUCCUCCUUUGAUGUUUACACUUAUCCAAAUCAUCUUAAGGGAAAGGUGGAGUCAGAUCACUUGUGGCUGGUUUAUGUACCGCUUCCCCACUUCAUCAAUUGGCAGCAAGUCACUCACAUCAAGGCUUCAUUCAGAAUAACCACCUUCAUGCGCCUUAAUGUAAUUAAGGAAUGUGGGAUUGGUCUAGUGUAUGUUAAUGAAGAGUUGAAUUACUCUCCCUUCUCUCCUCCUCCUAAUGAGUCAUCUGUUGUCCUUCAAGAAAUCCAUGGGGAGGGAUCUAGUGGAAGUGGGAGCUCUAAUAUUGAUGGCUCAGAAUCAGAGAACUCCGAUUACUAUUCUGCUGAUGAGGGGGAACCCUCUGCACCCCUGCUGUAAGGAUCACUCUCAAUCAGAGAUGUGGCCAGAGAAACACUUGCAAUGCAGCCAUUAUCAGAGCAUCCCUUGAUGAGGAGGAACUAGCCAGACAAAUGCCUGAUUUGCACCCAAAUCUUUCCAUAACAACUCUUGGUGAGUUGUGUGCUUCCUUUGUUUCUUUUCCUGAAACUGACUUUGAGUUGCUUAGCAAAAUACCUUACUUUCUAGUAUUCUGGAAACAUCAUAACUGUUGGAGUUUUUGGGUUGUGUAUUAGUGGUGUUGCUGACUAGUUUUUGGAGUUUGAUACAUGUUGGGUUGUUGUUACUGGUUUUUGCUUCAAGUUUGCCUUGAUACAUGUUGAGUUGUUUAGCAAACUCUCUUGACAGAUUUUGGUUUUCUUUCGCACAAGGUAUUGUGAUACAUCUCUGUUCAUAUUCCCAUUUUCAUUCUUAUUCUCAUGUACUAAACAUAUACCCUUAAGGGCAUAUGUUCUCUUCCAAUGUUAGAACGAAACAGAUCAUGAUCAUUGUUUUUGGGAUAUGUUCUUUUAUCUGAAUAUGAUAGAGCUAUUACAGUUAAUGGUUACUUCGUAAGAAUUGUAAAUUCUUCCAUUGAUAUUAUACCAUAUUUUGUACUUUCAUCUUGAUGGGUUCUAAGGUAAUCCAUGGCUCAUUUUUCAUUCAUUUUGUUAGUAAUGAUGUAUAAGAUACUCGUAGCCAAUGUUUUGAAAAUCAGACCAGUCGUCCAACCGAUUGAACCGUCAAUCAGCCAUCUCUCUAGUCUGAUUUGCCCUAAGGAACUGUUUUCAUAUUAAGCCAGUGUUGAACUGCUUGAGCCGGUCUGGUUUACCCUAGGGAAUCAUUUUUAUAUUAUACCGAUGUUGAAUUGCUCGAGUCGAUGGUUGGACCAUCUAAUUGGAUGGACUGUCCGGCUUCCUAAGAGUAGUCAAGCCCAAAACCAGGCCAAAUUUGCACUUGUUGUGGAAGCCCAAUAGGCGUCACAACCAAUCACCCAUUAAAAGUCGAAACAGAUUGAGUCCAAAAGGGUUUGAUGAUCAGUCAUUAUGGUCCGACUAGUAAAUCAUAAACUAGUAACUUUUCUAAUUCAAUAAUCGAUUCGGUUUUGAAAAUAUUGCUUAUAACUUAGGUUGUUUCUUCAUUUUCUACCGAGAAUGUUGUCUUAUAAUGCAGGCAAACUAUCACCAAUGGAGAAAACAUAGAGAAAAGAAGAGUUUUAUUUUUCAAUUUGUUUAGCCAAUAAAUACCUUUCUUUAAUUUACUUUUCAAAUAUGAUGACGUUCAGAAAUUAGGAAAACUUGCCCAUGAAAAUAUAAAACUUGGGUCUGCUCUGGAUUAAAGAGAAAUCAGACUUGGCGGUACAUGGAUGUUUGCCCAAAUAUAUGAAAUUAAUUUAAGUGAAAUUAGGGGAAAAGUAUACUAAUACCUGGAUUCUAGCAUAUAGUAAUGGUUAGGCUGGGAACUUGAAAAUAAAUUUUUUGUUCUUUGGAACUGAAAUAAUUUUCAGUUGACAGAUUUUAUUAUUCGAAACAAUUUUAUGGAGAAUUUAUUCUUAAAACAUAAUAUUUUUUAAGAAUAUAUUGAAGGUGUUUUCUUAAAAUAUUAUAAGAAAUAAUUGAAAAUGUAAAGAAUAUUUUAAAUAUUUUUGCAUUAUACAAUAUUUUCAUGAAAAACAAAUCAAGAAAAUUGCUUUUUCAAUACAAUAUUUUUAAGAACUAUUUUUAUUUAUUUUUUAAAUGUUAUCUAAGAAAACCCUAUACCUAAAAAAAGUCGCCAUAAAGCAUAGAAACAAAACGGAGGCAUAAUACCUCCGGAGGCACUGUAGAAUUUUUCAGCAUAAAAAGGUUGUUGUUAUUCUGAUUUGUUAGGUCAGUCUAGGUAACAAAACCUAAGCUAUCCCUUGUAUAUUUCAUGACAUAAGUUUAAGUAAAGAGGUAUAAUUAGCAAAUGAUCAUUCUCUUCCCCUUACUUCCAUCCUCCUCACUGUCCUAAGAAAAAUUUAGCAUCUUCAACCUUGUACUGCGUGUGCUCUCGGGUCCUAUGGCUUUGUAUCUAAUCCCCAUUUGCAAAACGUUCAGUGCGUGAAGCCUAAGGGUCUGAACAAAAAAUCAUGGUAUAAAAUGUGAACCAACCAAAAGGCUUUAUCCAAUUCUUGUGGCCAUGCAAAGCCCUUCUCUUUCUCUGCCCCACUUUCCACCCACACCUCUCACUCCACCCCCCUCACCUCCUCUCUCUCUCUCACCUCCCACUUCUCCAUGGCCACCGCCGCUGCCACCAAGCUCACGCCCCAUCUCCUCUCUCUCUCCUCCCCCCUCCGUCGCCGGAAACCCCUGCUGCACCACCUCCCUCCGCCGCUGCCCCGGAAUGAC